CUCGCGGUAGUGUUUUCAAAAUAAUGGUUUCCGUGUAGGAAACGUUUUUAAAUAGUUUUCUCGAGAUUUUUUGCAGAAUUAGAGUUUUAAAAAGAAAGUCUUCGUGUGGGAGACAUUUUCAACAUCUAUAAAUGAUCGUGAAAUUGAAGUGGAAUAGUUGUGACUAAGGACGGUUAGCUAUAUGAUGUGAAACUUGUGAAAUAAAAAUCUUUGUGACUCGUGAUUAUUAUUUGUGUGAGUGAAAGCCAUGGUUGACAAUUGUACAUGUGACAUGCCGUGCAAAUACUGGAAAGACUCUGUCCGCUUAUUUCAAAAAUCUCGUAUAUUUGUGGCGGUUCUAUUGUGCGUCUUUGGGGUCAAGAUUUUUUUUAAAAAAAAUGGCAGUUUUCUGCUUAUUAUGAAUUAUAAAGAUAGGCCAAUUUCCAAUUGGUUUUCAAAAAAAGACCCUGCGGCGUGACAGAUCUAGAACCCUUGAAAAUUUAAGAGAAUGCUACUGACCUUAAACAAAAUUUUUAAUAGGAUAUAAAUUUCGCUUUGUGAGACUAUAGGUAGUUCUAUAUAUUAAGAUAUAAUAUGGCUAAAACUCUUAUUCCGGCUUAAGUAUUUUGCGUGAUUGCUAGGUCCAAGAGGUUAAGAGAAUUUAGCGUGUUAGGAUGAGAAUAGUCUUAAGAUGGGUGACUUUCUAGAAAGUUGGGGCAUCACAAUUGGUAUCAGAGCCAAUUACCAGCCAGAAGUGUGAAAUGAGUUUUGACUGAGCCAGAAUUUUACAGUGGGAAGAGUGAGACUCUCUCAUACUGUUGACUGUCGUGAGUGAAGCGCAGCUCACCACAAAGUUGGUUUAGGCUAGCGAGAUGAGUCUCACAUCGCCAGGUACUUAUGAGUCUGAGCCUGACGAGAACGUUAGGGCUUAAGGUAGGGAGAAUGUGAGACCUCAGAUAGUUUUAUAUAUAAAGAUAUAAGGGGCAAUUGCUUAUAUACCCCUGAAAAGUUUCCGACUUUUCGAUUUACCCCUCUUAAAAGGCUAAUAUUGAAAAUACCCUUUCUACAUUCCAACCUAUUUCUAAUAUACCCCUAGAGUUAAAAUCUGUUAAUGAACUCUAUUAUCUCUGUAAAAUUACUAUUUUGCCCUUUCAAAUAUACCCUUCCACUAUCACUGACUUUCUUAUUUGCCCUUAAAGUCAGGGGCACAAAAAGUAUUUUGACUUUUGAUCUUUUCCAAUAUACCCCGCUACCGUCACCAACAUUUCUUAUUUGCACUUAAGUUAAAGGCAAAAUUGACAUUUUAAUUUUUUUUAACUGUGGUAAAUGUUUAACUCACGUUUAACCCAAGUUAACUUAACAGAAAAUAACUGCGGGGGCAUUUUGCAAUAACGGUGGAACGUAUGAAGGGUAUUUUAGAAAGAAAAAAAAAAGUAGGGGUAAAUCGGAUAUUUUCAAACGUAUGAGGUGUAUAUAGGCAAUUAUCCCAAGAUAUAAUAUGGCUAAAACUCUUAACCCGGUUUAAACAUUUUGGGCGGUGGCUAGACCCAAGAGAUUAAGAGAGUUAAGCGCGCUAGGAUGAGAGUAGUCCUAGAUGGGUGACCCUUUGGGAAGUUAGGGCGUGACAAUUUUUUUGUACAUGAAAAAUAUAAUUUUCUUGAUAAAAAUAUUGAUGAUGUUGUAGUUGAGUCGGUACAUUUAAUUUAUUUGUGGCUAUUGAAUGAACGAAAUGAGUUGAGAUUAAUAUCGGUCAUAUUUUAAGAUGUUUCCAAAUAUUGAUUAUAUUAUUAAAUCACUACAACAAAAACGGUAUAUAGCGACACUUUUAAAUGCCAGUACAGGUAAAAAAAGUGCUGCUGGCUAAAUUACCGACACUUUUAAAAAGUGUUGCUAUUUAUGGGUCGCUAGGUAUAUAGUGACAGUUUAAGAGUGUCGAUAUAACCUAAAAAAAAUGCUGCUAAUUUACCAAUACUUAUUUAAGAAUUUAGCAACUGUCGGAAUCCUAUCUCGUCGGCUGCGGCGCGGAGGAGGAGGAGAGCGAGGGGCUUUUCAUCAAGGGUUUCAUUAGAUUGAGUGGGGGGAGAAGGGAAGAUGGUAAUCGAUUUUUUUUUUUCUUUUCUAUUUAUAAUCGGACCGAAUGGGUUGGGUAAGGUGGGUUGAGUAGAGUAACCUUUAUUUUUUAAUUGGAUUGGGCUUUAUAUUUAAGCCUUGGUAGAAUUUUUUAAAAAAUUUUGACAUAAAUGGAACACUUACACAAAAGUGUCCCAAAAAUAUGUCGCUAUAACAUAAUUCUGUUGUAAUGAAUAUUUUCAUGUUUGUUUUACAACAUGAUUUCUAUUUAGCAUCAGUGCAUGUAAUUUUUUUUUUUCUCAAAUUAUAAGCGAGAGAAUCACUCCAACGAUUAUACGUCUUACUUAUUUCCAGAAUAAUUCAAAAUACUACAUUUACGAAAUUUACUAUGUUGAAACAUUUGUUAUUGUGGGCAUAAAAAUUAUCAGUUACUUUGGAUGCGUGGAUAAGUUUAUCUGUACACAUUUUUAUUUAUUAGUUAUAGUGCAAAUUCAACACACGUUACAUUUAAAAUUAAAUUUAAAUUUAAAUUUGAAGUUAAAAUAAAUAUUGAAUCUGUAUUUGAAAUUUAAAUGAUUAUUGAUGGCAAAAUCCAUUUUUUAAUUGAUUUAUUUUUGAAAUUUGAUUUGUUUCUAAGCAUGUUUCUAAUUUAAACAUAAAUAUUUUUAUAUGUGUUCUAGAAUAUACAAUUUUUUAAAUCUUUAUCCAAAAUUUAGAAAUUUGAAUUAAUUUUAAAUUUUAAAUUAAAGUUUGAAUUUAGAUUAAAGUUUAUUAAUCAAAUUCAAAAUUUAAAUUUAAUUUGAAUCUAUUAUUUAAAUUUUAAUAAUUGUUGAUUUGAUAGAUAUUUUUUAAACCACUUUACUUUCUAAACCCUAUUUAUUUUUAGUUAGUUAAUUAUUUAAAAAAAUGUAUCCGCAGCCAGGCUUAAAAAUGAAGCUAUUACAGUUUUUCCUUUAUUUUUUUGAAAGAAAAAAGCGAUGCAAUUAGACUUCAAAAUUGGGAUAUGGGGCAUCAAUUAUUAAGUUCUUUAUCACUUGUGCUAUAGAUAGUUUAUGAAGGGUCUUUUUUAUAAAAUGACCCUCCAGAAAUUCGAUUUUGGCAAAAUAACCCUACCAAAAUUUUAUUUGUAAAAUUAGCCCUCUUUUCGCCACGUGAGCACCACGUCUGGGAUUCCUCAAAAAGACGGUGAAUCGUUCACCAUCUUUGUAAUUUUUGUUGUAAAAACGGUGAAUGGUUCACCGCCUUUAGAAAACGGUGAACCAUUCACCGCCUUUAGUGCAAAAUUUUUCUUUCCGCCCUUUCCCCUUUCCGCCCUCUCAAGUCCGCUGUUUCUGUGCCCUCGAGAAAAUGGAGAACGAUUCACCGUCUUAUCAAAGACACCAUAUUAGGACUUGGAAAGAUUUGCGCAGAGUAGGGAUUUGGACUAAAGACGGUGAAUGAUUCACCGUCUUAUGAAGACGGUGAACCAUUCACCGCCUUCACAACAAAUAUCAAAGACAAUGAACGAUUCACCGUCUUUUUGAGAAAUCCCUGACGUAGCGCCCACGUGGCGAGAGAAGGGUUAGUUUCACAAAUAAAAAUUUCACAGGAUUAGUUUGGCAAAUACGAAAUUUCACAGGGUUAUUUUCAAAAAAAGUCCUUAUGAAGCUAUUACACUACUACAAAAAAGCGAACCUAAGUUUACGGCCUAAAUGCAAUUUAACUUAACUAAACUAUAAUUACUUAAACACCGUGAGAAAUAAAAGCUCGAGUCCCAUUCACCUCCAAAAGGAAGUGCGAAACUAGCUCAAAUAAGAAACGAAACGAAACCAAUACUAGAGAGGGUUCACGAAAAUAUUUAAGACCAAUAUUUUCCCCGAAUUACCGACUGUACCUAAAGCAAGUGAUAAAGGGAUUGGUGGUUGAUACCCGAGACCCAAGUUCGAAUCCUAGUUGAUUCAUAUUUCCAUCUAAGUUUAUUUCUAAAUGAAAUAAACGAAACGGGUAGUGUGCUACCUAUCUCUCAAAAAAAAAAAUAUUUUUCCCGAAUUUUCUUCAGAUCUUUCUACAAUUAAACUUGCUCUAAACAGGAUAUAUAUGAAAUCUUUUCUGAUUCAAAAAUAGGAUCAUCUUAACGGAGAUUAGAUAUCCAGUAUAAAAUGUAUGAUCGACGAGCAACAUAUAUAUAAAGCAAUGAAAGUAGGGUUAGUUGCAUUCAUACCACUCGAACUUUUAUCAAAAAUUUCAUCUGCAUGCUAUUCUUUUAGAAUAAACUUAAUGACUCCUAUUUGUCCCGCAAAGUAUUGGGAAGCGGGUCAAAAGGUUGAAAUGUUCGUUUGUGACGAUAUUUUAACCUCUGAAUAGACAAUCUAUACAGUUAAAUAUAAUUUAAAGAGUUUGAACUAUCGAGAAAUAAAUUUUUUUAAUUUUUUGACAUCAUGUGCCGCACAAUUAAAAGACCUCAAAAUUGAUAAUUUUAUAGAUGAAAUUACACUUUUGGUCUUCAAAUUAUAAGGUGUAUGACCCAUGUGCCCUCAAAUUUUAGUUUAUUGCAACUUUUAAUUCGAAUGUUUCAAAUUAUUGCAAUCUAGUUUUCUACUAUGUGGGCAGCCCACUCUCCACCACUUGGCAACCCCCAUUCACUAAGAAAAUCUUCUAUGUAGCAAUCAUACCACGUCUCUCAUAUCCUAACCAAUCAUAUUCUUCUAUCUGAGAGAAAAGUACAAUAUAAAUAUUUUCUAAAGAGCCAUUAUGGCAUGUAUAAAACUUUAGAGACUAAGGCUUCGUUUGGGAUUGCGGGGAGAUUGCGUUACGUGCGGUGAGAAAGUACGUUGGAAAAAUAUCCUGUUUGUUUCCGUACGUAAUAUUGUGUUCCGCAUAUUGCGAAGAGUCGGUUACGAUAUAUUUUCUGCGGUUCCACCGGAGAACGCAGAAGUAUAUCCCUAUAUGCUUUUUCUCCAACUCCAUUUUAUCUAACAGCAUUUCAUAGGCCUCAAUACCAAACUAAACCUAAAUAUGAUUAGUUGGAGAUGCCACAUUAUUCAUGCAACCAUCACAUUUUAGAUAUUUUUCGUUCGCCACCCAACACUCCAGCUGCUGUCAUCCUUCUCCUUCCCUGCUCUCCUCCACCUUUUCCUCUUCUUUCUCAAUACUUUGUACUAUGAGAGUAUGACUAAUCCUACUUACAAAUAAAAUUAAAUUUUUGAAAAUUUUAAUUUAUGUUGAAUAAAUACAAAUAGCCCCUUAUUCUUGAAAUACAUUUAUAUUUUGUAGAUAUUUUUAUAUAACUUAAAAUCAUAAAUUAAUUUAAAUUUAAAAAAUAAAAAUGAACUUUAAAUAAACCGACUAUAAUUUUUACUACUUUUUUGCCAAAUUAGAAGAUUAUAAUUAUAUAAAAUUAAUUAAUAUAUCAAAUUUAUAACUAACAUUUUAAUUUUUAAAUUUUAAAUUCUUUUAGAGCAAAGCGUGGCAUUGUAGGCCCACUUGUAAUCAAUUUAACUAUAAUUAUUUUAUUUAGUGCUAAAAUCAUUAUAAUUGUGAUUUUGUAUUUGUUAAUAUUAUAUUAAGUUUGUAAAACCAAAAAUAUUUUUUAGUCGAUUUCGAAUAAUUCAAAAUACAUAAGAUUCAUAAGAUGAGGCACAUAUAUUUUGAAAUUUAAAAUUUGUGAAGAGAACAAAUAGAUAACGCCAAAUACCUAAAAAUUUGGAGGAAUAAAAUAAUAAUUUACAAUGCUUUAAAGUCACGAAUAUGAACAAAAAAUGAUCGAUAUGUAACGUGUCAUUUGUUAACGGCAUUGUUGGGCCAAUAAAGCACGGCUAGGUGGUACACCGAUACUCUAUCCAAUUGUUCCUUAAGAGUAGAAAUUUUUAUGUACACCAGGAGCAUCGAAAGAUGCACCGCAUAUAACUGAGGGAAGUUACAGUAAACGCAAGCGGUUACAAGCGGUUCCGAUCGGCUGAAAGUGGCCCCGAAAAAUAGGGAGAGUGGCCGAUCAUGGGUGAAAAAUAACUGAUCAACAUGGGCACGUUCUAAAUAGGCAAAUAACGCCCUGAAAAGAUGUCUUUUUUUUCUGAGAACAGAAGAUCACCUUUAUUUUUCUCUGCAAUUUUCUCGCAUUUCCUAGAAGUAGUCUGCUUGUAAUCCUUUAUUUUCUCGCACUUACUGUUUAUCCCUAGGAGUAGUUUUUAAUUUAGAUCAACCAAGUCUGUAUGCUCUCAGGCACACUCGACCUUCGUACUGCUUUCACAAGUCAUCUUCAAUAUAUAUAAAGGCAUUCGACUCUUUCAGCCAACCAGUCGAUGUGUAUUCCAUCCAUUCGGCUCUUCGGCCGACCCUAGUCUUUGUGCAGUCCGUACAUUUGGCUCAUCUAGCCGAACCGGUUUUAUAGUGUAGAUUUUCGAACUCGGCUGAUCUGAUCCCUCAUCAGCCGAAUCGCUUGAUCCAGUCGAAGGGCGCAAGCUUCGAGGGUCAUUAACUGUAGCCGUUCCGCAUCCCUACACUCUUCCCAAGGGAGAUAUUUGACCAGGUCAAGGAUCAGGACAUUCGGCACCUAAUAAUUUUUUGGCACGCCCGGUGGGACGCCAAUUUAGGUAAAUUUAUAUUUUUUGAAAUUAUGGCUGAUAUAACGCCAUGAAUUUACGCAAUAGGGUCGUCCCUAGAAAUUUCGUGAGCAAUCAACCCAACAAUUCUGAUAAUGCUGCAGAAUGCCAAGCAGUCUUACCUGUCGAAGGUGAGACUAGUGGUCAAUCUGACCAACAAAAGCCUAGUUUGGCUCAAGCGCUCGGUCAAAUGACACGGGUCCUACAAGUAUUGGACAAAAACAGUCAUAGAAGCACUGAACGGUUAGAUGCAGUGUUGGCCGCAAUCACGACCUUCAAUGAGAAUAUUGCCCGAAUAGGGCAAUUAUUGACUCGUAAUGAGCAACCUGUAACAGGCCUACAAGGGCAUACAAUGACACCGGUAUUACAAAAUCCCGUAACACCGGCAAGUGGUCAACCCCAAUACCAGGGGGCACUACUUCAGGUAGCUUACAGACCGGUUGUUGUUAAUGCCGGUCAGCAACCAGAAAUAGCAUGGGUAUUGCCACCUCCUCGGCUAGUAGCAGCAUAUCAGCCCCAAAAUGUAGGGGCUAGAGCUGGGGAGCAAGCUCCGAAUAUACAAGGAGCAAACCCUGUGGUACAAAAUUUCGGACUACCACAAAGACCGAAUGUAAUACAAGCACAAGUUCCCUUGCAGGGGAACAAUAAUGAAAUAUACGCACAGAUUGAAGAAGCCAUCCGAAAUACUUUAGAAGUAGGCGCAAGGCCGGCAAUGCGGCCUGUGUUUAGAUCUCCUUAUCCUGCAAAUAUAGAUGCAAAGCAUCCUUAUCCGGCAAAUUGGAAAUGCCGAAGUUUGACAAAUUUUUCGGCGAUGAGACCGAAAACACGGUCGAACAUGUUGCUCGGUUUACGGCACAUUGCCGAGAAGCCGCUGCGGACCCCUUUUUAAAACUUAGAUUAUUUAACAUCUCGUUAACCAAGACAGCUUUUACUUGGUAUACGAGUCUACCGGCUAAUUCCGUCCGAAAUUGGGACGAAUUAGAAAGAAAAUUUCACGAACAAUUUUAUAGAUCAAAACCAGAAUUGUUGGUAGCUGAUCUAGCUCAAUUUAAAUAGAAAACAAGAGAAUCAGUUGAAGAAUACUUGAACUGAUUCAAAACGGCCAGGAGCCGUUGUUUUGUAAGGAUGCCGGAAUCCGAAUUUGCCAAAAUUGUAUUUAACGGCUAACAUUUCAAAAUAAAAGAUCAUUUUGAAGAUAAAUAUUUUUCAAAUCUUUUUGAUUUGGGAGUUCGGGUUGCUCAGUAUGAGCAGUUCCGAAAAGGAGAUAAUGAAGAUCGGCCCAGAUAGGGCCGAAACAAAGAUUGGAACAAAGGGAAAAAGAGGAAUAUCUCUUUCCUUAAAGAAUCUUCGGUCACGAGAAGCCGAAUACAUCUAAAGAAAAAGAGGAUUCGGCUGAUGAAGCCGAAAUAUACGUGGCAGAGAUGGUAAGAAACCGCUAGCCAUACAAAUGUGCUUUGUUAAAACCUGUUAAAUCAAGCGAUGCAAAAGCACGAGUAUCAGCAUAUACUUAUUCAUUUGAUGUAUCGAAGACCGAUUUAAUUUUUGAUCGGUUAUUAAAGGAUGGUCAAAUUCAGCUACAGGAAGGUCAAACUAUACUUCCUGGAGAAGAAUUGAAAAUAAAAAAAUACUGUAAAUGGCACCACUCAUGGAGCCAUAGGACAAACGAAUGCACUGCCUUUAAGAGGCAAAUUCAAAAGGAAAUAAAUGAAGGUCGGCUCAUUUUUGCCGACCAAGAAAACAAAAACAUGGAGAUUGGCAAGAAUCUGUUUCCAUCGCAGGUCAAUAUGGUGGAUGUCAAAGUAAAGGCAGUCGCAGACAAGAAGACCGCCGAAAGCAUUGCCUACACCAAGAGGACUCUUCGGCUUUGCAUUUUAUGCAAAGCCGAAAUAACAAAGAAAGAUUGGGAAGCAAUCAUCAGUGAGAAGAAAACGCACAAUGAAUGGAGAAAAUUCAUGGCGUUUCCUGAGGAAUGGGAGGAAAUUUUUGAAGAAGACAACAAAUCAGAGGACGGCUCAGAUGAAGCCUCCAAUGAGUCCGAGUCAGAAGUCGACUCAAUGAAAAACAAGAAAGAUUUGUUGAUGCAAAAAGUUUUGAAUGACUAUUACAACAGCCGGAAAGAGGAACACAACAGCCGAUGGAGUUACCCAGAAAAACCAUUCGGCUCAAAAUAGAGAUUUCCAGGGUAUCGGCCACACUGGCAACAUCAUGCCAGGCCGAGACCAGAACCAGAGUUUGAGGGGAUGACCGAGGGGGAUAUAGAAUUCCUCGGUCGGAGAUUAGUCUAUGAGCUCGGCAUACAACCGUGGCCGAAACCAUGGACAAGAAGAGAAAUUUUGAGAAACCAUUUAAAAACGGUGAAAAUACCGGCAAACGUGCCAAUUGAUCAAUGGCACGAAGCCAAACCAUCGGCCAAAUGGCAAGGGCCGAUGUUAACAAAAACACAAAAGCGUCGGCAGCAGAGGUUGCAAGCCGAGGCAAGGCAGCACUACGAAGAAGCGAAAGGGAUAAGACUGAAUGUAUGGAGACGACCCAAUGAACCAUAGCUUCCCUUUUGUCUGAUGCGGAAUGAUCACAAAGCAGGCGGUUCAUCACCCAUUUCUUGGCUAAAAUCGAAGAUAGAACGGCUAAUUACGGCCGAACCGGAGGAGAAGAUAAAUCAGAGAGAGCUAAAGGAGAAAAUAGCCUCUCUCGAGACAAUUAUCAAGUGAGAAAGAUAGCCACCCAAGAAAAGGGAGGUGCGAAUGGAAAGCGACUCCUCAGCCGAGACGGCAAAGGAGUCUGAAGAAAAGAAACAGAAGAUACAGGAAAAAUCGGCUAAUGAAAGUCCAGCCGAUGUGAAUAUGGUAUAUACUCUGCCUCAAUCGCUCAAAGAAGAGUAUAUUGAAUACGAGGAGAUGGUAGAUGAAGAAGAUGGGCUCACAGUGGCCCAAUUGUAGCUGGAGGACGCUAAGCGAGCCGAUUCGGUAAUUUUUGAAAAACCAUCGAUUAUGCAAACAAGGUUUGUCAGGACUCUAUUUAUAAGGGCCUUAAUAGGGGGAUGGCCAGUAGGUCGAGUCAUGGUGGACGGCGGAGCAAUGGUCAACGUCAUGCCUACUUCAUUCUUCAAAAAACUGGGCAAGAGCGAAGACGAGUUGAAGCCUACCGACACAAUUAUGACCGACUUCACCGGAAGCGGUCAACAAGCCAGAAGAGUGCUCACAAUCGAGAUUACGGUAGGAUCUAAAACCUUAAGAAUGACAUUUUUUGUAGUGGAUGCAGAUAGCCAUUACAAUUUACUGCUUGGGCGUGACUGGAUUCAUGCCAAUGAACGCAUACCCUCGAUGCUGCAUGGGAAGCUGUUCCAGUGGGUAGAAGAUAAAGUGGAAGAAAUUCGGGCCGAGGGGCGACCCCAAAUGGUAGACAUUAAUGUAGAAGGAAUUGGCUACAUCAAUUGGGCCGAAAUUGUGACGCACUGGACUUUUGCAAAUUGUAAGGUUCGAGUGUUUGUUUCGUGUUCUGAGCUUUUCCACACUUCGUGGAGGGUCGUUUACAGUAUUCCGACCCAUGGUUCAAACCCCGAGAUUGGAGGUUUAAAAUCUAGCACAAAAAUCCAAAAAGUCGAAAUUUUGGUCAGCUCUCGGGUAGCCUCAGCAGGGCUGUGUACCGGUACGGGGUUGAUGGCUGUACCGGUACGCGCUGAUGGCUGUACUGGUACGGGGCUGGUGUACCGGUACACAGACGGAUUUCGUGCAAACCCGAGGCUCGGGUUUGACUGUUUCGCAGGUGUUGUACCGGUACGCGAGCCCAUGUACCGGUACACAGUGCAACGCGAGCAAUUUUUGGGCAGGGGUGUUUUUGCAAUUGUUACAACACCUAUAUAGGUGACCCCAGCCCCCUUAGAGAGCCCUUUUGAGCCCUAAUUCGUGGAGGAACCUGGUGAGGGCCUCUUCUUUGGAUUUUACCCCAUUUUGGCUUGGUUUUUAUGGUUUUGAUCUCUCUUUUCUCCUUCUCCUUACCUCAUGUUGGAUUUCCUCCAUUGGAGAAGCUUUGAGGUUUUUGUUGGAGCUUGUUUGGAGGGAGAACUUCAACCCUAGAACCUUCCUAGCUAGGUUUGGGACUUCAAGAGAGGUGAGUAGGCUUGAUCUCUCUUUUAGAUCAUGUUUUAGUAGAUUUCACAUGAUGAAACCCUAGAUUUUGGAUUUUAGGGUUAGAAAUGGGGAUUUUGAAUUUGUAGCUUCUAGAACCAAAUUAAUUGGUUUAGAACUUUGAUUUAGGUUGGAUUUGAAGGACUCUAGCUCCCUUUUGGAGAUAGAGAGAGGUUCUUUCGCAUUCGGUGGGUUUCUUCACCUUAGCUUAGAUAGCUUAAUGUUUGAGCUUAGCUUUGUUCGUAAGGUCCGUUUAACUCUCAUUUCUAUACCUUUAGGGUGCUAAGAGAGUAGCGGGCAACUUCGUCGGAGGUUACGACGCGCCGCGAAGACUUUGGUGGGUUUGGCUUCAUUGAAAUAGGGGGAAAUGCCUCCUACGUGGUUAAAUGUUUUCGUAUACUAUAAAUGCAUGCAUAUCCAUGUUGAAUAGAAUUUAUAUGAAUUUUAGAAUGCUUAAAAGUUCUAUGUUAUGCAUCAUGAAAAACUGACUCUAUGUUGUAGAGAGAAGCAUCUGCAUUGUUAGUAUGCAUGAGUUUAAUGUUCGAAUGAAUGAGGUAAGAUCAUGUUUCUCGUGUGGAAAAUGAUUAGAAUGACAAGCUUUUAGACUUAUUAUUCAUAUUGGGACAUAGUAAGCAAAAGUGUCAUAAAGGGGCACUUGAACUAGAAAAUCGUUGAACUACAACUUAAAGACAUGAUGAUAGGCCACUGAAAAUCUGCUAUAUUCCAUGUUUUAGACAUGCAUGAUGACAUAAAGAUAGGCCAUUGAGACAGUUACUAUAUUCCGUGUUUUAGACACGAUGACAUAGAGGCAGGCCUUUGGGACAUGUGCUGUAUUCCGGAUUUUAGAUCCAAUGAAACAGUGAUGAACCACUGGAACCUGAGACGGACUUAUUCGCUUGCAUGCUAUUGUGCUCAAUCGUACAUACUUGUGAGGGUCGCUCCCUACAAGUCGGCACUCCGGAGAUAGCCAUCGCGACAUAUGCUCGCCCGUGCGAGAUUGGGCGCCAAAAUGGGAUGCUGUGGGGGAGGCUCAUUCCUAGAGUGGGGAUGUUGACUACCACGGGGUCAUUGUUGGCACGGCGCAGGCCGGACUACCUACGGGUAGCUUCCACAGGAUUGGAUUACUGGUGACAUAUUGUACCUUUUGGACAUUGACUAGAAUAGUAAACAAUGACAUCUGUACUAUUUACAUUGUGGACAUUGGGUUAGUUGCAUACUUAUGCUUUUACAUGUUGGAUACUCUUUUGCACUUACUUGUAGUAGUUGCUUUGUUACUUAUGCAAAUCCAUGCUAAGUAGGGAGCACGUGGUAGAUUAUUGCUGAUGAAAGUAGAGACUUCAUGCUAUAUUGAGCUUCCAUUUCAGUGAUUUAUUUGUUCAUAUUAUUCUCACUUGCCUUACUUACCCUACUUGCUUAGUUUUGGGCCUAGUGGUGCAUUUCACUGAAGUCGGUAAUUGCCCACUGGGAACUAUUAUUUAAUGGUUCUUACGCCCUCUGUUUUAUGUUUUCCUUUCAGAGCCCUCUGCACCGGCGGAGGCACGGGACCGCGGCAAGGGGAUCGCUAGCUAGAUAGCGAGGAUUCACUUUUACUCUUAGGUGGUUUCCCCUCUCUUUGUAUUUUGGGAGAGCAAGAGAUUUUGUUUACCAUGUAUAGAGACCACCUAUAUACUCUUUUAGUAUUUGGGUUUGGAUCUUUGGUUGUACUACUUUAUGGGUUAUUUAGUUUUUUUAGCUCUCUACUCUUCGCAUUGCUUUAGUCUCUAGAUGAUGUAUAUUGCUCUGAUACUUCUAGAUGUUUUCUUUUAUUGUCUCAUUUAUCGUUUUGUUUUAGACGCCUUAUAUGUUUUAGACGUAUAGCGGGUCUGUGCACGUGCCGGGCCGGCUUCCGCUGAGUCCCGGGGCGUGACAGAAACGGACCCUGAUCAAAUUUCUUUUGUAAGAGUGACCGAGAGGGAGUAUAAUUAAUUCUCUCUAAAGAUGAGGGAGCUAUGGUGGCAACCGAAGAGCCACCAAGUUGGUUAAAAUAGAGUACCAAAAAUUAAGAGCCGAAGCUUUAGAAAAGCUUCGGCAGAAUAGGCCGAUCAAUGAGGUCGGCUAUGAAAAUGAUUCGGCCGACCAGGCCGAUGAGAUAACACUUAGCAAGACGGCCGAACUGGCCGACAGUGAUUUGUUAGUGAAAUCGGCCAUCAAGGCCGAUAAGGAAAUAUCUAAUGAACCGAAGAGGCGAACAACUGAGCUAAACAUUGAGGAAUCACCUAUUAAAGUCGGUGACAAGAAGUUAGAAACUCAGGAUCCACUAAUAGAGGUGAACCUGGAAUCUAACGGAGACAAGCAACUGACUUACAUCAGCGCUAAACUUUCAGCUCAACAACAGGAGAAGCUAAAAGAAUUGCUGAUGGAAUACAAGGACUGCUUCGCCUGGAGUUAUGAAGAAAUGUCAGGCUUGAGUCAAGAAAUUGUAGAACAUAGGCUGCUUAUUAAAAAUAGGUAUAAGCCUUACAAACAGCCGGCUUGUAGGUUUGAGCCGAGUAUUGUACUUCAAAUCAAAAAUGAAAUUAAAAAUCUUUUGAAAGCCGAUUUAAUUAGAGCGGACCGUUAUGUUGAUUGGGUAUCCAAUAUAGUUCCGGUACGAAAAAAGAAUGGUAAACUUAGAGUUUGCAUUGAUUUUAGGAACUUAAAUUUGGCUACGCCUAAAGACGAGUAUCUAAUGCCAAUAGCCGAUAUGUUAGUGGACUCGGCGGCCGGGAAUGAAAUCCUAUCCUUUAUGGAUGGGCAUGCCGGUUACAAUCAGAUUUAUAUUGCUGAAGAAGAUGUAGCUAAAAUGGCUUUUAGAUGCCCAGGGUCCAUUGGGACCUUUGAAUGGGUAGUUGUGCCGUUCGGUUUAAAGAAUACCGGAGCUACUUAUCAGAGAGCAAUAAAUUUCAUUUUUCAUAACUUGAUUGGCAAGAUAUUGGAGGUUUACAUCGAUGAUAUCGUUGUAAAAUCUAAAUCGCAAGUCGGUCAUUGGACAGAUCGCAAGUCGGUCAUUGGGCAGAUUUAAAACUCACCUUCAAAAGGAUGAGAAAAUAUAAUUUAAAAAUGAAUCCUUUAAAAUGUGCUUUUGGAGUUUUAGCAGGAAAUUUCUUGGGAUUCCUAGUACAUAAAAAAGAGAUCGAAAUUGAUAAAACAAAGCAAAAGCUAUAUUAGAAUUGCCGCCGCCAAAGAAUAAAAAAGAGUUGCAAAACUUACUGGGAAAAAUUAAUUAUUUUCGGCAAUUCAUAUCAAACUUGGCCGGUAGAAUAGGAGUUUUCACUCUAUUACUUUGGCUCAAAAGUCGGGAAGAAUUUAUUUGGACAGAGGAACAACAGGGAGCAUUUGAAAAUAUAAAAAGAUAUUUGGCAAAUCCUCCAAGUUCUUAUGCCUCCUAAACAAGGACAGCCGAUGAAAUUAUACAUUUCGGCUGUAGAAGAAAAUUUAGGAUACUUGUUGGCUCAAGAAAACGAAGAAAAAGAAGAACAUGCCAUUUAAUAUCUAAGCAGGCGACUGUUAGAUACCGAAAAACGAUAUUCGGCAAUUAAAAAAUUAUGUUUGGCCUUGUAUUAUGCCUGUACAAAUUAAGAUAUUAUAUUUUACCAACCGAAGUAUCGGUGAUAUGUAAAACCGAUCUGGUGAAAUAUAUGUUAUCUAAGCCAGUAUUAAGAGGUCGAAUCAGAUGGUGGAUGUUGGCCUUGUCCGAAUUUUCUCUUAAUUAUGUUCCAGCAAAAGCUAUUAAGGGACAGGCAAUAGCCGAUUUUCUGGCUGAUCAUUCAUGUGUUGAGUUUGAAAAGUCGAAACAAAAUUUAGUCGGCUGUCAACCUUGGAUACUUUAUUUUGACGGCUCAAAAACAGCCGAAUCCGCAGAAGCUGGGGUGGUUAUACAGUCUCCUGAGGGAUAUAUUUAUCGAUUUGCUUUUGAAUUAGAUUUCGGCCGUUCCAAUAAUCAAGCCGAAUACAAGGCCUUAAUAAUUGACCUCGAGAUUCUACAAGAAUUGGGAGUAUACUCACUCAAGGUCAUCGGUGAUUCACAGUUAGUGAUUAAACAAGUAAAUGGAGAAUACCGAUGUGAAAACCGAAAUUUGCAAAAUUAUUUGAGAAAAACAUUAGAAUUACUUUGCAAUUUCGGGGAAGUUGAGUUUGAGCAUUUAGCAAGAGAAGAAAAUGAACAGGCUAAUGAAUUAGCCCAAUCGGCUUUGGGGUAUAGAGAACCGAAACAGGAUUUAGUAAAAAUAGAACGAAGAUUAUUACCAUCGGUUCAUAUACGAGAACCGAUUAUUGCUCCUAUAGCGAUUAAAGAAGACUGAAGAAAGUCUAUAAUUGAAUAUUGAGAAGACCCUAACAAGCGAGUCGACUAUAAUAUUCGAAGAAGAGCACUCGGCUAUUGUCUAUUAAAUGGACAGCUUUAUAAGAAAACAGCCGAAGAAGUAUUAUUGAAAUGUCUAGGGCCUGAAGAAGCUCUAUUAGUGAUGGGAGAAACACAUGAAGGUUUGUGUGGAGCCCAUUUAGUAGGAAAAAGACUAAGAUGGACAAUUCGGCACCUAGGAUAUUACUGGCCGACUAUGCAUCAAGACUACAAAAAGUACGCAAAAGGUUGCCAAGAUAGUCAAUUCUAUGGCUCAGUACAGAGAGUUCCUGCCUUUGAAAUGUACGCGAUAAUUAAACCUUGGCCUUUCCGAGGUUGGGCUAUGGAUUUAAUUGGAGAAAUUCAGCCCAAUUCUUCGGCUGGUCAUAAGUUUUUGAUAGUGGCCGUUGACUAUUUCACUAAGUGGGUGGAAAUAAAACCUGCUAGAUUAGUCACUCAAAAAGAAAUUAUUGAUUUUAUUGAAGACUUUAUAAUUCAUCGUUUUGGAGUUCCCGAGACGAUUACAACUGAUCAAGGAACAAUGUUCACUGGAGGAUAAUUUGUUCGGUUCAUUGAAUCCAGAAAGAUAAAGUUACUUCAUUCAUCACCUUAUUAUGCUCAGGCCAAUGGACAAGCUGAGGCAGCAAAUAAGGUAAUCAUAAGUCUUAUGAAGCUGCAUAUUGGAAAAUAUCCAAGAAAAUGGAAUGAAAAACUUUCCGAAAUAUUAUGGGCAUACCGAACUACAGUAAAAAUGGCAACAGGGAUUACGCCAUUUCAAUUAGUGUACGGCCAUGAGGCCGUGGUACCAGCCGAAAUAACAAUCCCCUCCUUGAGAGUGAAAAAAUAAAAAGAUUUGACGGUUGGUGAAUAUAAUAUUCUAAUGAAUGAAAGAAUGGAAGAAAUAAAUAAAAUUCGGCUGAUAGCAAUAGAUCAUUUAUGAGCUUAUCGGAGCCGAGUACGCAAUGCGUACAAUAAGAAAAUUAGAGCUAGGUCCUUCGCAGUCGAAGACUUGAUUCUUAGGCUAAUAUUUCCAAUUGGUCGAAAGGACCGAGAAUAUGAAAAAUGGUCUCCAAAUUGGGAAGGACCAUUUCAGGUUAAUAGAAUUACAAAAGAAAAUGCAUAUUAUUUAAAAAGUAUAGAUCGGUUAGAAAAUGAGAAACCAAUCAAUGGAAAAUAUCUGAAAAAGUACUACCCAUCCAUGUGGGAAAUUAACUAAGUUAGAGUUAGAAUAUUACAAGUAAUAAGCCGAAUCAAUGUAGUAAAUCCUUAAGUUGGUUCCAUUCGGCUAUUAGGUUGGCUUGAGCGGUUUCGGCUGCUUUCCUCCUGCGCUUCAUUAAGGGAUGUACUUUGUAGAGUUGAGAAAGUUUAUCUUGAAGCUUCAUCCCUUCGCUCUUCUUGAUCUUCAGUUGAUCUUGCAAGAGAAGCCGGCACUCAGAAGUGCGAGCCAGAGCCGAUUCGGCCGCAGCUAGUUCCUCUUUAAGAGUUGAAAUCCUUUGCUGCAAGGCCGAUCUUAGUUUUCUAAGGCUUGAUCUUCUCGGCUUAUGUCAGUUAUUGGAGUCAUCACUUCAGGAACUGUCGAUUUGAAGUGGUCGACUUGAUGGAAGUGGUGGUCAAAAGAUAAAAACUCGGCGGCUAGAGAUUGUUGCCGAGAUAAAAAAAAAAAGAAAGCUGAGAUGAUAAAGUCUCCACAAAGCAUUUGCCAGUGGAAGAAAUGUCAGGCUAAUCGGCUAAAUCAAACAAAAGUGCGCAUAGCCGAUCAAAUUGCUCUGAAUUUUGAGCCAAGGAUGGAAGACCACGACUAUACAAUUUUAGACACUCAUCAAAUUUUUGUUGAGUGUCUAUUGACAUCACGAUGGUUGAUGAGUCGUCUCCCUCGUUGGAAUUAGGACUCGAAACCAACAGAGCAUGAAGAGAUGCAGAAAGAGGGUCUUCAGGAACAGAUGAUGAGGCCUCAGGAGUCGAGUGAAGUACUGGGCUUGUCUCCUUAACACCCUCCUCCAAAGGUGUGCUUACAUCUGCCCUCUCGGUUGUUGUCGUUGGAGUAGAUAAAGGUGGUGCCACAUCACUUGUCGGCACUUCCUUACGCAUUUCUUGGGCGGCCCGUUUCUUUUCUGCCUCUCGCUUCUUCUCAAGACGAGCCUCUCGGCGGAUUUGUCUAUCAAUCUUCAUCUCCAAAGAAGAAGCAAAACGGGUUCUUGAAGUUUCUUCAGGAGGUGACUGUUUUAUCAAGCAUAAAUGAUGAAAAAGAUGAAAUAAUAUAGAAGAAAAAGAGAGCUCGAUUAAUUAAAUCAAUUACCUCAAUCGUGAUUGGCUCAGGAACAGAGGCCUUCUCUGGAACAUCAGCCGAAGGUGUUUCUUCGGCUCUUCCUUCUAGAAUAUCAACCGAAGGUGUGUUUUCGGCUCUUUUUUCCAAAACAUCAGCCGAAGAAAUGCCUUCGGCUCUCAUAGAAAGCGGUUUCUUAGCAACCGACUUGCACCGCUUCGGAGGCGGCGGGGGAGUAGAAUGUUCAGGUUCCAUUGGUCGUUUCUCUGAAGCUAGGACCUAUGAAGAAGUCAGAAUUGGCUAUAUAUGAAACAGAUAUAUAAAAGUAAGCAAUAAUCAUAUAAAUAAAAGAAAAAUCAAAUCAAGAAAGAGUAGAGCUUACUACAGAAGAAGCAGGUGGGACGUCAGAAUUAUGAUCGGAGUUCUCUUCCGAUUCUUCUCUUGGUGCGGAUAGAGCAGCAGUAUCAACCGAACUGGUCGGAAAAGGCACCGCUGUAUAUGAAAGAAAAGUAAGUAGAAAUCAUUUUAAAGAAGAAUAAUUAUAAGAAUUAGCAAGGAAUUUACCAAGUGGAUGGAUGGUCUUGCGAUGUGCCCGAAUAGUGGAUAAAUCAAAACUCGAUCAGUAAACUGAUCCCAAGUCACGGUAUAGCGAAAAAACACCACACCUGUAUAAUUCGGCCUGAAGCUUACUAAUUUGAAGAACCGCCGAAGACGGUUCCCCAUGGCCGAAAUCCGAUCAGUUUCGGCUAUACUUUUGGUAGGAGGCCGAUUGACGGCUGUAUUGGCCGUAAAGAAUUUGGCUGGAGCAGAAAUCGCUUGUACAAAUCCAAAUUGACGCGCUACGUAUUGAGGGGAAUAAACUUCAGUACUCGGUACAGCUUCGAGCGCGAUUUCAGCCCCACAUGCAGAUCCCUUGGAGCCAAAAAAGAAUACCAUACGUCUGAAUAUUCACUGGCACGAGAAGAGGCCAAUUCGCCUUGAAUGGCCUCGUACCAAACAAGGAACAAGGAUGGGGCCAGUGAGACGAUCAGCGAAUGGAGACCAGGAAAUGGCAAAAUGAGGACGCAACUCAUAAAAAGUUUGAAAAUAAGUAAUAAAAUCAAGAGGAUGGCCCGAUGUCUUCAGCUGUGGACAGCCGAGAGCUAACCUAUAAGAAUCAUAUUGAGCAGCCGAAUUUAGAUCUAAAGGAUCUCGGCACAAAUCAGGAAUAUAAAUUUGCAAAACAUUUGCAAAAACCAAAAAAUACCACAACCAGAGCUGAUGGUUACACCAUCUCCAGAAGGUAGUGGUUUGAUAGAAUCAAAAAUCUCCCUAUAGACAAAAGCAAAAGAAUAGGAUCCUAAAGCUAAUCUAUCGUCGUUAGCUAAACCUACGGCAAUCGGGACAAAAUCUCGAUUAAUUUUCUGGAAAUGGGUACAAAAAAGAUUAUGGCAUAAUCAAUACAGAAGGAAGGCUGCGUGCUCCUUUCUCGUAACCGCAGCAGGAGAUUCAAUUGCAAACUUGCGGAGAAAUUUGGACUAAGCCAAGUCAUUGAGGUCAAUGUGAGCCUCAAAAUCAGACACGCCAUCAGGAUUGUAAGACAUGGAGAGGGUAACUCCAUGAGGGCAUAAGCCAAUGAUGGCGGCAACAUCAAAAAGAGUGGGAGUGAGGGGUCCUUUAAAAAGAAAAACGUUGGAAGCAGGAGACCAAAAGUAGAUAGCAGCGGCUAAAGGAAGAUUGUCGGCUACAGGGGGUUGUUGAGAUAAUUUGAUCGCCUCGUAAAUACCUACUUCCCUCCAAAAAUUACCAUAGGCAACUUCCACCCGGUCUAGCCAAGUCAGGUACGCAUCUGAGACACUCGGCCAAGUCCGGAGGCUUUUUCCUGUUGAAUCCGAUAGAUACCAAGACUGGAGAUGAAUGGAUCGGGCCUUCAAGGGGAGGCCAUCACUAGAAUAUGGGAAAUUAGCAGGGGUCGGUUCAUCUAUGAAAGAAGGACAUAAAAUGAAUCGAGAAGGGUCUGAUUCGACGAACUGUCUAAGUAUGGUAUAAUCUAAGGACGAAGAAGAAGGAAAGGGCGGAAGCGGCACCAUUACUAAAACUAAGGAAAAGUGAAGAAAAACCCUAAGGAUGGAAAGAAGGGGGUUAAAAUUCAGAUAGAAGAGAAAGAAGCGGAGAAGACGAUAGAGAGAAACAAAAGAAAAAGGCAAAGAGAAUGAAGCUUGGGGAAGAAGCUUAGCAAAAGGAAGCCGUCGCGUCGAAUCGUCGCAUCGAAGCGAGUUCCGAGGCCGGCUAUAAUGAUGAAGAGACGGCGGCAAUUAAGAUGACCUAAUUAAUGCCGCAUAUAAGACAAAAAGGAUGGCGAGAUCGUGGCUGUAGAAAAGGAAUGAACGGCCGAGACGAAACCGUACAAAGAAUUUGAAAUUGAUUGCAUCGGAAGUCGCGCCUCGGAUCACGCCAACUACCGAAGCGUCCGUUCGGAAGCUGCCGAGGGGUAAUUGUUGGGCCAAUAAGGCGCGGCCAGGUGGUACACCGGUACUCCACCCAACUGUUCCUUAAGAGUAAAAUUUUUAUGUACGCCAGGAGCAUCGGAAGGAGCACCGCAUAUAACUGAGGGAAGUUACAGUAACCACAAGAAGUUACAAGCGGUUCCGAUCUGCUGGAAGUGACCCCGAAAAUAGGGAGAGUGGCCGAUCAUGAGUGAAAAAUAACUGAUCAAUAUAAGCGCGUUAUAAAUAGGCAAAUAACACCCUGAAAAGAUGUCUUUUUUCCGAGAACAGAAGAUUACCUUUAUUUUUCUCUGCAAUUUCCUUGCAAUUCUUAGGAGUAGUCUACUUGUAAUUCUUUAUUUCCCGCACUUAUUGUUUAUCCCUAGGAGUAGUUUUUAAUUUAGAUCAACCGAGUCUGUAUGCCCUCAGGCACACUCAACCUUUGUACUGUUUUCACAAGUCACCUUCAAUCUAUAUAAAGGCAUUCGGCUCUUUCAGCCGACCAGUCGAUGUGUAUUCUAUCCAUUCGCCUCUUCGACCGACCCUAGUCUUUGUGCAGUCCGUACACUUGGCUUGUCCAACCGAACCGGUUUUAUAGUGAAGUUUUUUAACUCGGCUGAUCCGAUCCCUCAUCGGCCGAAUCACUUGAUCCAGUCGAAGGGCGCAAGCUUCGAGGGUCAUUAACUGUAGCUGUUCCGCAUCCCUACACUCUUCCCAAGGGAGAUUUUUUAUCAGGUCAAGGAUCAGGACGUUCGGCAUCUAACAGGCAUGUUUGGUUGUUCGAAAGUGGGUAAAGUGAAAAAAGUUACUUUUACAAAAGUGACUUUUCAGUUCGAUUGUUUGGUUGACUAUAAAGUAAAAAUUAAAACUAUAAUUUUAUAAUUUUAAUUAUUAAAUUAUAUAUAAUGAGGUAAAUAUUAUAUUUUAAAAUUUAAAUUUAAACUUAAGUCUAACUUGAAUUUAUAAUAAAAAUUUAAGACAUAAAUUUAAAUUUUUAAAUUUUAUUCUUAUUUAAAUUUUUAUUUUAUUUAUUUUUAUUUAAAUUUUAUAACUUAAAUUUUAAACUAAAAAUUCAACACAAAUAUUAGAACAUUUAUUCAAAUUUGAAUUCAAAAUUUUAAUUUAAUUUGAAUCAUAUAUUAAUUUACUAUUUGAUCUUAAAUUCCGAAUUCAAAUAUGAAUUCACAAUUUAAAUUAAUAUUUAAAUUUAAAUUUAAAUUUAAAUUUGAGUUUAAAUCACAAUUCUAAUCGAACAUUUGAAUUCAUAAUUCGAAUUCAAAAACUAAAAUUCAUUAUGGAAAUUAAAUGUAAAUAGCAAAUUUAAAUUUGAAUUUGAAUUUGAACUUGAAAAUUUAAAAUUUAAAUUUAAAUUUUGUUCAAUAAUUUGAAUUUAUAGUUUGAAUAAAUUUAAUUCAAACUUCAAAUUGAAGUUCUUAACUAAAAAUAAUUUGAUUAAAAUUUAAAUUUAAAUUUAAAUUCUAAUAUUCAAAUUUAAAUAAAAAUAAAAUUUUAAAUUUUAAAUUUAAAUAUCAAGUCACAAAUUUGAAUUUAAAAUUUUAUGUUGAAUUUUAAUUUACAAAUAAAUUUCAGAAUUUGGUCAUAUUUUUAAUUCAAACUUAAAGAAAAAUUGAAUUUUAGAAGUAAAUUUAAAUAUUAAAGUUAAGAUCAAAUAUAAUCUCUUGGGUAAGUUCUACACUUUUGGUGACUUUCGAAUUUUUUGAGCCGAGGUCAAAAAGUGAGAUUUAGUUAUAACUUAUUUUAUCAGCCCACUUUCAUAAAGUGAUUUUCAUAUUCACUUUUCGCAAACCAAACAACCGAUAAGACGUCAUUUUUUAAAAGUACGUACCAUUUUCCGUGCUCACUUUCGGCAAACCAAAUAUGCCCUAAGUAAAUCUAAGGGCCAACAAACUUACUAUUAAAAAUUAAGAAAAUAAAAAUAUUGUGGGAUAUUUGUGGAUAUAAUAAAUAUAGAUAUCGAUAGAAAAGAAAAAUGUAUGCCUAUGGAUGUGAACAGUGAUAUCAAUAAAACAGAAAAAUAUUGCUAGUAGUUACACUCUUAGUUAGUAAAUUCGCGAAUUUUUGCCGAAUUAUUCACGAAUUUUUGAAAAACCGAAUUAAACAGGCGUUUUCGUAUUUUUUCGAAAAAUUCGGAAAAAAAUGCGAUUUUUUGGAGAAAAUUACUUAUUCGCGAAUUAUUCGCGAUUCGUGAAUAAUUCCUUCAAAAAACGGCCCGUGGGCCAGCGCCCCGGCCCGCGCUCGCGGCAAGGCCCGCGCUCGCUCGCGGGGGCCUCGCAGGUCUUGNAAAAAAAAAUCCUUUUGCGAAAUGUCCGCCCUGCUCUUCCCUAAAAAAAAAAAAAUCAGUCGACCAAAAAAGUUUAAUCUUUUAUGGACUAUCUUAAUCUCUUAUUUGCUUAAUUAUUUAUUUAUUUUGAGGUAUAAUAUAGUUUGCUAUUUUUUUUACUUAAUUAGCUUAAUUUUUUAGCUCUUUGUUCUUAUAUUUAUAAGAAAUAUAAGUAUUUAUGCUAAUAACAUAAAUCUUGAGAGAAAAAAAAAAACUUAAUUUAAUAGCCGAAUUUUUUAUCCCGAAUUUUUAAUUGAUGAACGUAUAAUAUCCGUAUAAAUCACGUAUCCGAAUAAUUGACGAAUCUAUUUUUUAGCCGUAUUUUUCAACAAAUUUAAAAAUUAGAAAACGAAUUUCAUCCGAAUUAUGCCCGUACUGAAUUUUUGUCGAAUCCGAAUUAACUAACUAUGGUUACACUACGCAUACUAACAUGCAAUGCCCAACAUAUAUAACUUAUCGCAGCGGUUCGCACUUGAGUAGGAUUAUGAUUAUCGAUCCACCACCAUUAAUUAAAAGACAACUCAUAAUUUUUAAUAAUUAUCCUAAUCCUGUUAGAAAUAUGUUAGGUUUUUUGUGUUGAUCUAGAACUUUUUUCUUUUUUUUGCUUUUAUUAUAUAUUUCUAUCUCUCUAUUCCCUCUCUUUCCCUACGUCUCUCCCUCAUUCACGCAUGCAUUCAGUGAUCGAUUUCUUUUCCUCCUCCAUAUAUAUAUUCUAGGGUUUGGCUAAGGGUUUAUGGUCAUGGCCAGGUCCACCUUCUUGAUCCCGGCCAACCAAAGGCCUGUCGAGAGCCACCAGCUCGACACCGCGCAGUCGACGCAUCACGAGCACGGCCCGACCACCCCAACGCCGGCAAAGAAAACGACCCCAACUCCGGCGAAGAAAACGACCCCAAUGCCGGCAAAGAAAACGACCCCAAUGCCGGCCAAGAAAACGUCAAACGGCCCCACACGGAAGCAACUGAUGAGGAGCAAAUACAUGCCGAGCAGUACGAUAUCGACGGGGCCGUCGCCGUGGACCGCCCACAGGGUUGCGGUCGUGAUGCUCUGGAGGCACAGGCACCUCAAGAAGUUGAAGGAGAAGAAGAAGGCGAAGGCGAAGGUGGGCGGCGCCAAGAAGGAGAAGGACUUGCAGAAUGUGGUGCUGCCGUAUGAAGGCGACGGCAGCAAGAGAGGGGGGCCCUUCGAGCACCAGGCUAGGGCUUCUGCUGAGGCUUCCGAGAAUAAUACCACAUCUGGUUCCUCAUCUGGCGAUCGUCACCAGUAAUUUUUAGGGUUUUGCUCUUUUCAAGGUUCAUAACGGACUUCGUAUUGUGGAUGGAAUACUUACUUUUCAAUCCGAUAACAGUAUAUAUAGAUUUAAUGAUAUGCUCUCUCUUUUUCUUUCUUUCUUUCUUUCUUUCUUUCUAGGAGACAGUCGCGGGAUAUGUAGUAAUAUUCUUUGCACACCAUCGAUGUGAAGUACAGGAUCGAUAUAUAUAUAUAUAUAUAUAUAUAUAUAUAUAUAUACGCAAUGAGUUGCAAUUUAAUAGUUCUUCGGAUGCUUUGGUUCUUGAUUUUUCAUCUUUGGUUUUCUCAUUUGUGAAACGUAUGUGGCUAUGUUAAGUGGAUUCGGUAGCAAAAAUGCACAUUUAUUGAAAAAAUUCAAGAUUGUUUAUAAUAAACAUAUAAGAUUAAGAUCAACGAAUAGAGAAUGACAUCACAGAUGAAGAGAAACUAAAAACAAUAAUUGGUUUGGAAUAUCCCUAAUCUGUUUUAUCUCUUUUUUCUGAUUAAAACAAACCGUUUGAGUAAAUUUUAUCGAUUACAGAACCAAAUAACAUACAUGCUAGCUUAUCAAUCCGCAGCGAAAGGCGUACAUAAAUACUUAAAAAUUCAAAAAUUUUGUCAUACAUAUACAUCACUGCUACUAUUUCCAAACAAGAAAUAAAACCUAGCUGUAAUUCUUGCUGAAUUUCAUGAACAAAACGACUGAUGUAAGAAAAGAUGAGGCAAAAAAAAACUAUUAUUUUUUAUACAGAGAAAGAACCCACUAAUUUAACAAAACUCAUUAUUUAUCUGCCCUGCUGUCGACCAUCAUCGUCGCAACAAGUCAUGAAACACAACUAGCCGCAUAAGGACUAGCUCUUCCUUUCUUUUCUUUUACUGAUAAGAAAAAAUGUGCAUAUUUAAAACCAAUGAGAAAUCUGGAUAGUUAUCUGUGGCGUUUCUGUACAAAUUAAAGGUUUCAGGAGACCAACUUGAAGAAAACCAUAUAUCUGCUCUCCUUUUUGGUCUCUUCUCCUCGGAGAAAGUUCUCCCGAUUCUCAUGACGCAUAAGUUAGACGAAACUUAUAUAAGUGACUCUGACCACGGGGAAACCAUUCCAGCUCGUACUUUUUGAAGUGUGUGCCAUGCUCCUCUGACAGCGGUGGCGCACAUUGACCGAUAACUCUUGGUCUCGGUUGAGUAACAUCCGCGUGAUCUGUAAUAUUAAUGUUGCUAUCUUCUCAGGGGUGCCUUCUGACAUACGAUUCCAUGAGACUCUAUCAUACAAUUGCCGACUUUGGGAUCCACGUGCUGCACAGAAACCUACUACUGUUUGUUCAGAUAUAUUAUACCGAUUGCUGCUGCGACCUACAAGAGAAUUCUCAAUAGCAAUUGCUUUAAAAAAAGAUGGAAUAGAAGCAAUUGAGAAAUAAUAUUUCCAAAACGCCGGACAUUAUAAUUUAUAUUAUAUAGAGAGAGAGAGAGAGAGAGUGGAGAGAGAGAGAGAGAGAGAGAAAGUCCAGCCUACUACUCUAGAUCAUGUUUAACAGUGUAGAUCGUCGAAUCGAAAACCCCAACAUCAAAAACAACUUUAGAGUAAAAGGGCUUUAUACUCCAUAAGAGUAUACGUAGCCCUACUCUCUCUUCUCUCUCUCUCUCUCUCUCUCUCUCUCUCUCUCUCUACUAUAUAUAUAUAUAUAUAUUAUGAGCAGGGGGCUGCUUUAUAUAUAUAUAAUUAGAGAGAGAGCUGGCUCGGCUGUCAGGAGCACGGAGGCCUCCGGUGCUCCUGAGCCCGUUUUCGGAUGAUGGAAUUUUUCGAAUCGAUCGAUCGACGCUACCGUUAGACUUGAUCUAGCGCAUUUGAAGUUUCUAAAAAAUAAUUUUUGCGCUGAAAAUAAAAAUCCUAUAAAAGUGGAGAUAUAGCACUAAAAUUUUCAAUCAGAAAUAUUGAUCUUGUCGUAGAUAGUAUAAAGAAUUUUCUAUUAAAAUUUCAUCUGAUUUGAAUACUUCUACACCAUUAAACUUGAAAACGGCAAAUAUCAACCAUUAAAAAUUAUGGAUUUUGAAUCCUUUCGAUCGCUAGGUAAAUGAUAUCAAAUCAUCGCAAAAAUUAUUUUCUAGAAGCUUCAAAUGCGCUAGAUCAAGUCUAACGGAGCCGAUCGUCGAUUCGAAAAUUCCAUCAUCGAAAACGGCUCAGGAGCACGGAGGCCUCCGUGCUCCUGAGAGCACAGCAGCCCUGCUCUAUAUAUAUAUAUAUGGAGUCCGGCUUCUAUACUCUUAUGAGUACGAUCGCCCUUGUACUCAUAAGUUGUUUUCGAUGAUAGAGCUUUUGAAUCGACGAUCCAUACCGUUAAACAUUAUCUAGAGCACUUAAAACUUCUAGAAAUCAAAUUUCAUAAUCUUUCGACAUCAUUUACCUUACGAUCAAAAGCUCACAAAAUUGACAAUUUUUAACGGCCAGUAUGAGAAACUUGCUAGUUUAACGGUGUAAAAGAAUUGGAAUAGGUUGCAUUUUUGAUAGAAAAUUCUAUUCACUACCUAGAUAAAGAUCAGUAACUCCGAUCUUAAAUUGAAGGAUCCGAUCAUCCAUUUUUACGAUGUCGUUCGAUUUUGACCGUUCAUUUUAUGCCCAUUUAAUGGACUUUAUUAUGAUUUCGAAAAAUUACGAAAUUUAUUUUUUUGAAGUUUCAAAUACUCUAGAUCAUAUUUAACAGAGUGGAUUGUCGAAUCGGAAGCCCCAUCAUCGAAAACAACUUAUGAGUACGAAAGGCCCAAUACUCAUAAGAGUAUAGUAGCCCUACUCUAUAUAUAUAUAUAUAUAUAUAUAUAUAUAGAGAGAGAGAGAGAGAGAGAGAGAGAGAGAGCUAGGCUGGUAUAUUAUCGGUAGCACGGAAGCCUCCGUGCUACCAAGUUGUUUUCAAUGAUGUGGCUUCCAAAUCAACGAUCGGCUCCGUUAGACUUGAUCUACACUAUUGAAGCUGUUUGGAAACUAAAUUUCAUAAUUUUUCGGCAUCAUUUACCUAUCAAACGAGUAAUCUAAAAAUGAACGGCUGAAAAUAAAAAUCUCAUAAAAAAUGAUGAAAAAACUUGAAUUAAGAUCAGAGUACUGAUCUUACUCUAAAUAGUGAAAAGAAUUUUCUAAAAAAAAUUUAUCAGAUUUGAAUUGUUUUACACCGUUAAAUUCACAAACGUGUUACAUCUACCAUUAAAAUUGUCAAUUUUGAGGCCUUUGAUCACUAGCCAAAUGAUGUCGAAAAAUUAUGAAAUUUAGUUUCCAAAUACUUUCAAUAGUGUAGAUCAAGUCUAACGGAGCCGAUCGCUCGAUUUGAAAGCCGCAUCAUUGAAAACAACUUGGUAGCACGGAGGCCUCCGUGCUACCGGAGCCUCCGUCGUAUCGGAUAGUAUACCAGCCUAGCUAUAUAUAUAUAUAUAUAUUAAUAUAUAUAUAAUAUAUAGGUCCGGCUACUAUACUAUUAUGAGUACGAUCGCCCUCGUACUCAUAAGUUGUUUUCGAUGAUAGAACUUCCGAAUCGACGAUCCACACCGUUAAACGUUAUUUACAGCAUUUAAAACUUUUAUAGAAAUCAAAUUUUAUAAUUUUUCGACAUCAUUUACCUUACGAUCAAGAGGUCACAAAUUUGACAAUUUUUAACGGCCGGUAUGGAAUACUUGCUAGUUUAACGGUGUAAAAGAAUCGGAAUUUGUUGAAUUUUUGAUAGAAAAUUCUAUUCACUACAUAGAUAAAGAUCAAUAACUCUGAUCUUGAAUUGAAGGAUCCGAUCAUCCUUUUUUAGAACGUCGUUCGAUUUUGACCGUUCAUUUUAUGCCCACUUGAUGGACUUUAUUAUGAUUUCGAAAAUUUACGAAAUUUAUUUUCUAGAAGUUUUAAAUACUCUACAUCAUAUUUUGGAUCGUCGAUUCGGAAGCUCCAUCAUUGAAAACAACUUAUGAGUACGAGGGCUCCAAUACUCAUAAUAGUAUAGUAGCCAUGGCCUAUAUAUAUAUAUAUCCCAACAAAAUAUUGAAUUUGUGUGUUCAUCAUCUAAAGUUGAUAUUAUCCUAUUACAUCUCCAAGUCCAUAAGGAAUAAAUUCCUCCGGUUUGACAGCCAUCAUGUUUUUCUAUAAAUCUUUAUUAUGUAUUUUUAGGGGGAUGAGCAAGAAAGCAGCUAACAGUUAUGAUAGCACAAACGACCUAGCAGAAACGGACAACAAAAAAAAAAAUUAAAAAAAAUAAAUAUCAUUGUUAAAUUCUUGAGAGGAACAACUUGGCAAAGUACGUAUAACAAGCAUUUAGAUGUAUCAUGUAAAACAAAAAUCUUUCUUGAGAAUUGAAACUAGUCAAAUGGGAAGUAUACAUGCAAGUGGCAAAGGGCUUAGUGGUUGGUACCCGAGGUCCCAAGUUCGAAUCCUAGUUGAUUCACAUUUCCAGCUAAGUUUAUUUCUAAAUGAAAUAAACGAAGCGGGUAGCGUGCUACCUAUCUCUCAAAAAAAAAUAUUCUAAAUAUGCAAAUAUACUCCUUUCCACUAAUCUAUAAUAUCUAAUUCCCAAUAAAUUUACACAUUCCAUAUUGUUCACAUGUUUGAUAUAUGCCAACAUCAAAGAUACAAGGCACUACAAAGGCAUGAUUGUAUUGAACUUGUGCGGCAAGACAGAUAUGCAGCACACUGAUUUAGUAAAAUUUCUCAAAAGUUAAGUGGCAUAAAACAAUUACCCCAAACAGGUAAGAGGUUGGUCAUUUUGUGUUAUUUGGAAUCACACAUAUCAUAAAUUUAUUGGGUUUGGGGGUGAAGUGCGCAAUUUCUCCCAUCCUUCUUAAGUCAUGACAUACAAGCAUUCCUUCUAUACAAAGGUCUCUAUAUUUUAUUAAUCUAUUUAAGAUGCCACAAGUGUUUUACAUACAAUCUUAAGCGCCUUUUUGGCUUCCCCAGGUAUGAACUGUUUUCUUUCAAUCUUUAACUACCAACAUAAUUCCCUUCAGGUUGUUGUUAGUAAAAAGAAUAUAUAUUAGCAUGAAAAGCCAUGUCACAAUGAAAUCACUUCGUUUUAUUUCAUUUUAGUGAUUAAAAUCUUCUGUUAUAUAGGGAAAACCAAAUAACAAUGGAAAUAAUAGAACAUAAAGUAAUUACCUUUAACCAGUUAGGAAACCCAGUUGAACCUCUUUCGCGAGACUUCAAUACACGUUCAUCCUCAAUCGCAGUGGACAGGUCUUCACACAUAAUUUCAAAACCAGCAGUGCUUGUCAUGGAUUUAUUAGUUAUUCUAAUAAUGGAGAUAUCUUGGUUUUGUAGGAUGAUGUUGCUAAUACUAACAGCUGAUUCUGGAAUCACUUGCAGUUCUUCAAAUGACGACCUGACUUUCUUAUUUGAAGAAAUUAUUUUUCCAAACUCUUGCCUCCUCGUAAUUUCAUUGGUAUGUGCAAUAUCAACACUAAAAACAGACUUUACAGGUUUAUGAUCACUGUCAUUCACAUCGAUGCAAGCUUUGUACCUGAAAAAUUAAGGCACCGAGUCAAGUUAAUUAGGAUAAUGAUGCACUUUUAUCUUUUCUUGUACAUUUAGUACCAAAAACAACUUACAUGGAUAUUGAAGAAACUACAGGGCAUUCUAAAGAGCAUUGAGCUCCUGACACAGAUUGAUUGUCACGAUACAAUAUUCUGUCGCACCAGGCUGGAAUGCGCUUCUUAUCACUAGAAUCAUACCCUAUAAGAAAUUUCUAUAUUUUAGCGUCAUGGUAAUUAUUAAAAACCCAGAAAAAGAUGAAUAUGCAGAAAAUAGUUCUAGUCAGGUUUUUUUUAAUAUUGAUAGAUUCAGUACUAAAUUGUCUAUGAACAUUCAGUUGCCUUUUAUUAGAACAUAACAACAUACCUGAAAGACCUGCUUGAUUCCUUUCAAAUUUGUAUGUAGGAGGAAAAUCGAUUUGUGCUUCACGCAGUCCUUGAAAGACUCUGCCCGCUUUCAUUUCGGCCCGGAGCUGGUCUUUUUCUCUAAGACGGUCAAAUCGUCUUCGAGAAAUCAACUCCAUUGCUUCUUCAUAGGAAACAUCAUGAAGACGGUAGUUGAAAUCACCCAGAAACACGACCAUGUCUGCUUCCGAUAAUUCAGGCUUUCUGUUAUUAGUAGCCUGCCAUUGCAGCAAAAAAGUUUCUUAUAAUUGCAUAAAUUGCCAUAGCAAAUUUUAGUUUCAUGAGAGAGACAACAUGAGAUGUAUUUUUGCAUACAUUCGCUGCACGGUUCAGCUGAACAGAAGUGCAGCCUGCAACAAACAGAAAAAUUAGAAAGUCAUUACAAAGAACCUAUAUGUUGCAACCAAGUGGCGCGUGUGCAAUUUUUAAAACUAGUAUUUUGCUAAAAACCAUGGAGAAAAUGCAACACUAACAUAAGACAAAAAACUAUUUAUUUGGACUUGUAUUUGUAUCAAAACCUGCUGCAGCAAGAAGCCCACUGGACAGGGAAUUGAAAGUCAUUGUACGGAAAACAUGUUCAAAGUCCUCAUUCCGCCGGUCCACUGCUUCCAUAUGAGCAGCAAAGUGGCAAUUCACGAAGCAUAUAUUUCUGUCAUAUAUUCUCAUCCGCAAACCUACAGCACCCUAAAAUAAGCAUUUCACCACAUAUUAGGAAAAUCAACAUGUCAUAAACAAAACGACAUACUACGAACAUUUACUCAUCACAAAAGAAGAAAUAAAUCUCAAAAAAUCUUUUGUGCAUUAUUGAUGAAGAUCUGUGGCAGAUUUCUGAAGCCAUGCAAAGAAAGUGUUGGAUUUUAUUUGACACACUGCAAUAUUCACUAUGGUUGGAUACUCAUUAUAGAGCCACAAGAAUAUCCUGACUCUGUCGCUAAGAUGAGACACCAAAUAACCAAAAGGCACAAAAGUUUUAGAAACCAGUUUAUUCUGAUAAUUUUUCAGAGUUAAUUAAACGUGAUAAAAUAGGAUAGUUUACACAGAUGUAAGCAAUCAAUAAAAUGAGAAUUGUUAUACUUGUACAGAAAGAGAUUUUUUUUUUUUUUUUUUUCAUAGCAAGACUGACUCAACACCGAUAUGGUAGAAAAAAAUGGAAAAAAAAAAUGUAUCGAGACCCCUUCAACUAAAGGACAUUUUGAAAUGGGACCCCAACUUUCAUUUUUUUUUCAUUGACAACCUUUUUAACUUUUAAUUUUUUUCGAAUUUGAGUCUUCUAGUUAGUCAAGUUGAAAGUUAUGUUAAAUUGGGCUUUUUCACAUUUAGCCCCCCUCAAAACUUUUUUUUUUUUACAAAUAGCUCUAGCAAAUUUAUAUUUGCAUAUAUGGCCCUCUCCUUACCACGCGAGCGCGCCACGUUGGUAUUUUUAAGUUGAACACGAUGAUUAAAUCACCAUGUUCAUAUCCACGCUCUAGUCUCUCUUUUUUAACAUAGGGACGGUAAAAAAUACAAAAAGAAACACGACGAUCCAAUCACCGUGUUUAAACAUCGUGAUUGAAUCACCGUGUUCAACAGCGUGGCAAGGAGAGGGCUAUUUAUGAAAAUAUAAAUUUAUUAAGGCCAGUUGUUAAAAAAAAAGUUUUCAGGGGGCUAUAUGCAAACAAAAGCCCUAAAUUGAUCUAUUAGCUAUUAGCCAUUAAUUAUUUCAAUUUCACUCCCAAAAAGUGAUUAAAUCGUUAAAGCCAUUAAAUUCGACGAAAUUCCCAAUGAAUUAACAAAAUCACCAAAAUAUUGACAAAAAUUAUUUAAUUCUACAAAAUUAAAAAUUACGGGGUUCUCAAUCAAAAAAUUUGAAGUUGAUGUCAUUCAAAAUGGUCUAUAGUUAAGGGGUCUCCAUACAAUUUUACCAAAGAAGCCUGCACUGCUCUCUGACCAACCAAAAAUUCUGCUAAAACUUCUGUGCAGAUAAAAGCUAUAUAACCAUAAACUUUUAAUUAAAAGGGAGUAACCAGUGGCAAGUUGUGCUCACAAUUACUUUUCAUGAUCAGUUGCCACAUGAGUGAAAAGGUACAGAACUCUGUGAGCAGUGGAUAGCAAAUGAUCACAUGCCUCCAUUACAAAACAGAAAAAAAAAAAAAAAAAUCCCACCAAGUAACUCCAAGAAAAAAGUAAGAGAAAAGAACCUUGUUCCCAAUUGCGCGCCCAAACCCACAUGGUACUGCAGCAGAAUCAAUGUCACCAAUGUACUGCUUAAGGUUCCUCCUAGCCCUAGAGAAAUGUGAAAACCAGGUGAAUGAGUAUAACCAUAUUAAAAACGAAAAAGUUAAAAAAAAGUUUUUAAAAAGUAUUUAAAAAGCUUUUAAGGAUCUACAUGCAAAAAAAAAUUCGUAGUAAAAUUACCAUACAGCAAUAAGUAAUCCUGCCAACUGCCUUGAACCAACACGCUCGAAGGAGGCUCCAUUUAAGACAUUCCCAAUAGAAUCCAACCACCACUGCCCGUUUGGGCUUCCUUCUAAUCCUACCUAGAAGUCAGUUAAAAGCCAUCAAGAUAACAACAGCAAAAAGGGAGAAAUAUACCCACCAAUCUUGCAAGACCUGACAAAUCAAAGCAUCAUACACUUGGUAAAGCAAUUCAAACUCUCUAAUAUAGCUGCAUAAUAAAAUUUGGCCAACCACAACUUGGCUGCAAAUAUUUCACUAACGGCAACAUUUAACUACUACAAAUAUUAAAAUCCACACUAGUAAUGCUAAAAUUAUUAAGGCCUAUUUGGAUAUUAUCACUAAAUAACUUGUCUACUACUAUGAGAGAAUUUCUUCUGUGAUUGCAAGCUAGGAGUUUGAUUUUAGAUCCUCGGAAGGCCUUGGAAACCAUGGUUUACCAAAAUAGUAUACCUUACCUAUAAGGUGAUUUAUCUUAUUCUGAUGAUAUAAUUCAAAGACCAAAUAUAGUAUAUGUAACACCCCAUACUUUUAUUUCUUUUGUUUGGACCCCAGUUCUUUUGAAAUUUGGACCUUUUCGUAAAUAUUAAAAGUUGAGAGACUUGGCAGCAUUUUGUGUUAAUUAAAUCCCUAAUUUCAAUUUCCUCUCCUGUUCGUAUCUCAGCCAUCCCAUCUCUCAUUCUCUCUCCCUCCCACGAUCCUCUCUUAUCUCGUACCGUACAGGCAUCCCGCACACGCAACGCGGCGCCCAUUGGAUCACCUCCGUCCUCCAUCACCGUCAUUCGCCGCCACCGCCAUCAACCGCCGCACUUCUCAAGCAUGGUCGACAUCUUUGGUUCACUGUCGACGGUAUCUCGUCGUCGUUGUUUCCGCAUUUGAAGAGGUUUCUUUCCUCUCUUCUCUUUUGUCUCUUUUACCAAAUCUUGAGAACAUCCAACCUCCUUGUUCAUGGUUAUGUUACGAUCCUGACCCUUUCGCAACCCGAUGCUAAUCGUAGGAAGGCGAAAUGGAAUGAUGUAUCGCUUACCUGAUCCGAUUCUUUGAUCCGAUGACGUUGCGCGCAGAGGAUCGAAGAAGAGGAGAUGAUGGGAUUCAGAAUUUGACUGAAUCCAGAUCCUUCGGUAUCAGUGGGAAGAGAUCGGGGAGUAAGUAUAGAUCUGAGAUGAGAAGAGAGAUGGGGAAGAAGAAGAAGAAGAGGGGAGAAGAGUGGAGAAGAAGAGAAUUGGGGAGAAUUGGGGAAUUUUAUUCAAACUUCUCAUAGUUCGUUACAGGCGUAGAGUUGCUACUUAUACUCCUCAGCGCGAGGAUCAAAAUGUAAGAAUUACAAUGGCGAGGGUUAAACUGUAAUUGUAAUUACACUCAGUGGGCUAUAGUGGGCCUAAUCCUGACUUGGGCUGGGCUCCUUCACUGGCUUCAGCUUCCACCGCCUCUCUCUAAACCUUCCGGAUUCGGGUCGGUGUCACACAGUAAAAGGUAAGCAGACCCGUUACCGCUAUGGCUCCAUACUGCUUCAGAGACGGCCCGUCACCCGUUAGCUGAUCCAGAGGUCGGAGUCGGGCGCGGUGAUGCUACAGUGAGGGAACACGAACCCGUUGCCCGAUAACCCUUCUUCUAUAGAUUCCACCGCCGCGCCGCUCUUCUUCUUCACCUUCGAUCCUCUCGUGUCUCACCCUCUACUCCGCCUACUUACCCUACUCGUCUAUCUGAUGCAACGGUCGUGACAGGUUAUGUGAUUGUUUUUUGAAUAUUUAUCUCCUGAUGGUUCGAAUUAAAAUCAUUAAAAUAUGAUUUAUAUCAAUCUACAAUUGUUGUUGAUUCUACUGUUAUCUUUAUCUUGUAUCUUCAUGAAUUUUGGUUGUGUGAUUUCCCUACAUUCUACACGUUAGUCAAAAUGCCCUCUAGGUGUUCGACAAAAUGCCUAAGAGAAAGAAUAUGUCAUUUUUGUUUCUAAUUUUGAUCCCAUCUGGUUACAGGUUGCAACCUUAUGUUUCAACAUCUGAAAAAUUGUUGUUUCGAGCACUAGAACCUUCGUUUAAUAAUUAAAGUUCCAUUCAUGUUUUCUUGUUCCAUUGAAUUGUCUAGUUCCUUGGAACCCUUUCUUUUUCUUGAUUAAUAAUUAAAUUUUCGUUGAUUUAUUAUUCUAAAUCUCCUUCGUGCUCCGUCUCAAGCUAUUUGCAGGUAUUUGUAACCGACCUUGUCAGCUUAUGUGAGCCUAUAUGAAUUUAAUUGUUUGUAUAAGCUUUUCUUUCUAAGUGCUUAUAUCAUCUUUAUAAUCUUAUUUUUAGUAGCUUAUAGAGAAUCGUAAUUUUUAAUUUAGGUUAAGGUGAUUGACUUCCUGUGCAUUUUCGACCGGAUAGCUUCUUAGCUUCGAAGCUGCUUUUAAGAUAAACGACCAGACACUCGUUAGUUUUUCGCAAAAUAAUUGAGAAAAAUAUUCUGAUUGUCGAAAAUCUUUAUUUUGAUGAUUUUAAAUUAAGGGUUAAGCGUAUUAUUAAAUAUUUCUAAAAAGUUUCAACUGUGAUUGACAUAUUCUAUUAGCAAAACAACUUUAAAAUUUGAUAAUCUGUUCUGCAAAUUAGUGGCUGGAUAAGUAUUUUAAAUUAUAAUGUUUCUUGCACUUUUUUGGUAUUCUGCUAUGCUAAUAUUGGCCAUGUCGACAUGUACUCUGUUCUAAAAGCUAGUUUCGUCUCUGUAUUGCGCCUUCAGGUACUUGCGCCUAUCUACGCCUCUAUUCUGUAUUUGCAAUUUCUAGUGCCUCUGCUCUGUAUAUGUACCUUCGGGCAAGGAUUUAAGUGCCGUGGUACGGGAUCAUGCCGAAAACUUACCGGUACGGUACGAUAUGGUGCGUACCCGGCUGUGCCGAUGAGUGCCGAUCACAAAAAUAUGUCCCGACACGUAAUGGCAUUAAAUAUUUAUUUUCUUUAGCAACAAAAUAUGCCAAUUAUUUACUACGUAUUUUUAUCAAAUCUUUUGAACUUUAUUAAGAAAAUUACUUAGUAAUUUCAAGAAUAAAGAGUUUUGAGUUAUGUCAUUGGUAGGGAGGUUGUAUCGUGCCAAUAUCUUGCUAGCACGAUACGACACGGUGGAUACGGCCCCUACCGAUAGGCACUUUAAUCCUUGCCUUCGAGUGCCUCUAUUCUGUAUUUGCGCCUAUAGGUACCUCUGGAUCUCGUUAACGGAUCACAACUAUAUAGUUAGUUACCGAGGCCUUAAUUUUUAUUUCGUUUAAUUACUGCAAGAGAAAAAAUACUUUGUUUAUUGGGUUAAUUUCAUACAGCUCCCUGUAAAUAUAUCGAAUGGCAAAUAUGGUAUUCCUACAAAGUUUAACUUUUCAUAUUUAUCCUUGCAAAAGUCCAGUUAUAUUCAUAUGUGCCCCUCUGGUUUGUUACAAUUAGAGCACUGUUUAUUUUUUAACUGAAGAUAAGUGAAAUGACAUUUUUACCAUCAGAAAUAUGUCCCUCCACAAGUAGGGGUGGAAACGUGCCGAGCUCGAGCGAGCUUGCCUCGGCUCAAAUUCGGCUUGAAAUUAAUUUCGAGCCUAAAUUUAAGCUCAAGCUUGGAUUGAAAUUAAUUCGAGCUGAGCUCGAGCGAGCCUAAUUUCGAGUCGAGCGAGCUCGAGCCCUAAACGAGCCGCUUGAAAUUCUCAACAUCAUACGAUCAAUAGUUUAAUUUGUAUAGAACAUUAUCUAUAAUUUGAUACAAAAAUAUGUUUAAUAGCUCAAAGUAUAAAAUAAUUAUAUAAAAUAUAGUAUUAUAAUAUGAAAAAAAAAAAUUAUGAGUUGAAUAUCUAAUCUUUUCAGCCUCACAUGUCUUUUCUUCCGCCUUCAAUCUCCAUAUUAUUCAUUUUCAUUUAUGCAGUCAAAAAUAAAUAAAUUAUAUAGAUAAAUAUUGGAUUAAACUAUCCAAUCAUAUAUAACUAAAAUUAAAAUUUUAUAUGAACAAUAAUUUUUUACUUUAAAAAUAUUCUGUAUAUUUUCUCAAGCAUACAAUUAAUAGCAAGAUAGGCAACGGCAGACAUAUGCUGCUACUUGGUAACUUGGAGGGCUUCCGGCUUGGCCACAUAGGGUGAGAGACAGAAAAAGAGAGAGAGAAACAUAUUGAAAAUUUAGAGCUCUGUGAAAGAAAGAAAGGAAAAAUAUAUAAAUUUAGUAAAAUUUUGCUCUUUUAUUUGUCUAUUGGGUUUGUUUUUAUGGGCCAACAAUAUUGGCCCAAUUUUAACUAAACUCAGAUUAUUCACUCAGCCUUUAUAUAAUUAAAAUAUAUUAUAUUUAUAUAUUUUUUAAUAAAUAUAUAUAUAUAUAUAUAUAUAUAUAGAGAGAGAGAGAGAGAGAGAGAAAGAAAGGGGCAGUAGGUGUAAGAUCAUUUGGGGAGCUAAUUAAGUGUUUGAGAUUUGUGCAUGCAGGUGCAAGGAUGAAGCGAAUCCACCAAAGAAGGGGUACAAGUUCAGCAACCAGAGGCUCCAGGAACUGGGGAUUGAGUUCACUNAUGGUAUAUAUAUAUAUAUAUAUAUAUAUAUAUAUAUAGCUUGUAGGUUUUUAGCCGUUAGAUCUGCAUUGUUGACCAUUUACACCCUUUAGAUUAUACUAUUGGACCAACCACCCACUCAACCCUAGGGGGCCCACAUUAUCCUAACCAUACAUUUCUUAAUCCAAAGGCUGAAAAUCUACAAGCACCAAUAACUUGGUACUUUUAAAAGCAUAGGAUAGAAGUCAUGAUAUAGGGCUAGGAUGAUAUAUAGUAGGUCACUUUGGAUGAAAAGUGGAUUGUUCCCGAGAAUAAGAAAAAUAGUGUUUGGAUAGGUGCGAAAUAAGAAAAUAACGGGGAGUUAUAAAUAAAAAAAUUAUGAUAUUACUCCUCUCAUUAAACUUGAUUUUAAAAUUUUAAAUUUUAUAUUUGACUUUUUAAAUUUAAAAUUUUAAUUUUUAAAUUAAAAUUUGAAUUUANAUAUAUAUAUAUAUAUAUAUAUAUAUAUAUAGAGUUGAGCUGGAAUACUAUCGGUAGCAAACGAGCUCCGUUACCACCUAUUUGUUUUCGAUGAUGGAGCCUUCAAAUCGACGAUCGGCACCGUUGAAAAUGAUCUAUACUACUUGAAGUAUCUAGAAAUCAAAUUUCAUACUUUUCCGAUAUUGUUUUCUUGUCCAUCAAGUGGGCGUAAAAAUGAAUGGCUGAAAAUGAAUAUCCCCCAAAAAGUGAUAAUAGAAAUUUUGUAAUCAUGAUCGAGAGUAUAGAUCAUGUUCUAAAUAGUUUAAAGAAUUUUCUAACCAAAAUUCAAUUGAUUUGGAUAGCUUUACACCGUUAAACGAGAAAAGCCCUCAUAUCAACCAUUAAAAUUACUAAUUUUGAAACCUUUUGAUCAUUAGGUAAAUGAUGUCGAAAAGAUUUGAAAUUUGAUUUCUAGAUACUUCAAGUGAUAUAGAUCAUGUUCAACGGUGCCGAUCGUCGAUUUGAAAGCUCCAUCAUCGAAAACAAAUGGGUGGCAACGGAGCCCGUUUGCUACCGAUAGCAUUCCAGCUCAACUCUAUAUAUAUAUAUAUAUAUAUAUAUAUAUAUAUAUAUAUAUAUAUAUAUAUAUAUAUGUAUAGAGUCCGGCUAUGGUACUUUUAAAAGCACAAAGCACUUGGUGCUUGUAGGUUUUUAGCCGUUAGAUCUGCAUUGUUGACCAUUUACACCCGUUAGAUUAUACUAUUCAACCAACCACCCACUCAACCCUAGGGGGCCCACAUCAUCCUAACCAUACAUUUCUUAAUCCAAAGGCUGAAAAUCUACAAGCACCAAUGUCUUGAUACUUUUAAAAGCAUAGGAGCUCAAUUCUAUAUAUAUAUAUAUAUAUAUAUAUAUAUAUAUAUAUAGUGUAGAACUACUAUGCUAUCGAAAAUAUAGAGGAUUUGAUGUUUUCGAAUUUUUGACCCUUUGAUUAAGAAUUGUAUGGUUGGGAUGAUUGCGGUCCCCCCUAGGAUUAAAUAAUAUCCCUAAGAUUGAGUGGUCCCUACAAGAUAAUAAUAGUAUUAAUUCAAAGAAAUGAUUAGUUGAUCUAAAAAUCAAAAAAUCGAAAGCACCAGAUCCUCUAUACUUUCGAUAGCAUAGUAUAUAUAUAUAUAUAUAUAUAUAUAUAUAUAUAUAUAUAUAUUCGAGCUUUUCGAGCCUAAUUCGAACGAGCCGAGUAAUACUCAAGCUCGGCUUGAAAUGAAUUUCGAGCCUUUUUUUUUGUUCAAGCUCGGCUCAUUUAAUUUCGAGUCGAGCUCGAGCGAGCCAAAUAUCGAGUCGAACGCGAGCCGGCUCGCUCAUUUGCCAGCCCUAUCCACAAGCGCCAGCUCUUAAAAUUAUGCAAAAUUUCUUCCCAAAAAUCUCCAACUAUCAUUUUCUUCUUUUCCACCAUCACAAAUAAUAUAAAAGAAGCAAAAAGGUCAAUGUACCUCAUGCACUAACCAGAGUUAAGUAUUUACCUAUGGUUAACUACAUUUUUCUAAUGGAUCAUAACAGCUGGGAUAUAUUUAAAAACAUUAGGAUUUUUGCAAGGAUAAAUAUAAAAAGUUGAACUUUAUAGGGAUAUAUAUGCUAUUCGAUAUAUUUACAGGGAGCUGUAUACAAUUAACCCUUGUUAAUUUAUAGUCCUUAUUGUUGGCUAUUUAUUAUUGGGCUAAAAUAGGUCCAACUUCCUGCCCCGUGACUAUAGGUCUAGGAGACUAAUAAGUUGAGUUGGGUGAACCUAAUAACUUGAGUGAGGCUGUGGUCCACCAGAGACCUAAUGGCAAGAGGCCCAACAAUAGACCCAAGUCCGGGUAGGUGAGUUAGGUCGAAGCCACCUGUAAUAUACUGAAUUCCCCAUAUGUUGUACCGAACUUUAGUCAAAUUGACCGAAGUGUGGUGAGGGACGAUUGCAGAGGUUUAUGUAAUGUUCCAAAAGGCUUCGGAGCUGCUGGAAGAGAGUUUGGGGAGUAUUCGAGUGUUUUCGGCUCAAAUUGGGCGCAAAUACAAGCUCCGUAAUGCCAAAUCCGUCAAAGCUGUAGGCUUUGCAUUGAAUACCGGUAUUGGAUUCUAGGUACUGUACACAAUACAAAGUGCAGAAGAACUAGCUCUCGGAUUUUGCGGAAUUGAACCGGGGGUACCGAUAUCGGAAGGUUGAGUAUCGGUACUGGAAAACUGUGUAUCGGAACCCAAAAGAAGACCCAAAAAUCCAACGUUCGGGUUUUGAGGAACCAGGUUCGGGCUACCGGUAUUGAAGGCUCGUAUACCGGUAUGCCAAUUUAAGUACCGGUACGUAGCUCUACAAGAUGCAGAAAUACAAGGGGUGUAAAUAUUGAAAUAAGAAGGGUUAAAUUGCAAUUGUUUGGGGCUUAUAAAUAUGCCCAAUACACACCUCUUAUUCUCCACAUGAGAACCCUCUUUCUUUCACUCUCACUCAACUCCUCUCCCUCUCUCUCUAGAAUCUCUCCAAGAGCUUGGGGAGUAAAGGAGGCAAAGGUGAGGUUUUGAGAUUUUGAGUUAGAGUUUGGUUUUAACUCUCUUUUAAUGGCAUUUUGGGAAUCCCUAUGAAGUCCUAGCCUAGACUAAACUUGAAAUCCCAAGAGAUUUUGGUGUUCAAACCCUAUGACUAAAAUUGGGGGUUUUGUGGAAAUGGGGUUUAUGGUGAAAUUGAUCCCUUAUUUCCCUAAGUGAAGGGUAAAUCGACACGUAAGGCAACUCAAAUUGGGAUUCCUCCGAGCCUACGGCAUCCGAUUGAGAGAAUUGUCGGUUUCGUCUUCGUUAGCCUUGGGUCGAGCCAAAUCGGCGACGAUAAAUUGUGAGGCUUGGUUUCUCGCUUCUAGACGACGACACGAGGUGGGUGGUGCUAUCCGAAACAGUUGGAUUUUUUCCUAUGUCUAUGUUGCCAUUGUUGGUAUGUGUGUAGAAAUCAUGCAUUAUAGGGUUAUCAUUAUAUUAGGCUUUCAAUUCCUUGCAUGCUCCUAAAGUAGAGUUAGAUAACUUGAAUCGGAAACUCGGACAUUGGACGCAUAAGGAUUGGGUCAUUGAAUAUUGGGAACCCUAUAAGUGCAAAGAACCAAAAUGUGAACCUAGAUAACAUAGUGAAACAUUGGUAGCAUUUUAUGACUAGAUGUGUUCAAUAGCACCUUGUGGCAUUAGAUGCUUGGGAUUGGUAGAUUUCCGAAUGUUAAUACCCUGGUUAGUAGGGUAUCCUCGAGAUUAGAGGAUUGAAUCAUACUCACAUAGUCUGUUUGGCUUGUUGGUGGUCGCGACACCACAAGCAGUGAGCUCCGGAGUUGUCACAUAUGGGUGUAGCGGAAUUCUCCCCAACAAACAAUCUCAGAAGGGUUGUAGCGGAAUUCUCCCCAACUAAGGGCCUUAGUUUUGUGAGUUGGGCUUGACCCUCGAGUUAGCUGGUAAGAUCGGGUUAAAAGAACAUGCAUCAUGAGCAUAGUUGUAUAUUUGUUUAUUCAGUUUCAUACCGUAGAGGCAUGGCAGUUGCAUCAGCUGUGUAUUAUUAUUUCCCUUUCUUACUACUCAUGCUUGAUUAGACCUAGUGGGAAAGUCGGCGGGGUCGGUGGCUGAACCUACUGGAAACUUCUUUUAGUUCUCACCCCUUUGUUUUCCAGAGUCUAGCGUGAGUGGUGCGGUCGAGGAUUGCGGCAAGGGCAUAACGCCCUAGGUAGUGGACUUCCUUGUGUUGGCAAUACUUUAUGUUGUGGAGAGAUGUCUUGUAUAUUGUGAGAGAACUUGUAGAAGCUUCACUGGAGAAAUGAAUAUGUAUAUGUCAUGUAAUAAAGUAUGUAUGUAAUAUAAGUAGAGAUGGUUGUAUUUUGGAUUGAUGUAUGUGAAGCUUAAGUGUUUAGUUGUAAUAGUUAAGUUAUUUUUCUCUCGCUCUUGCAAAUUUUGCUCGUGCAAAUCAUGUAUGUUGUUGUUUUUCGUGGGCGAAACUCUAUGUCAUGAUGUUGUUGAACCUUGGGCGAACAGGGGAGACUCUGUCAGUUCGGUGGUCUGUGUACGCGCCCGAACCAACCAAAUUGGCGGCCCCGGAGCGUGACAGACUAGAGUGGUAUCAGAGCGUAGAGAAGUCUAGGAAGGACCUAGGAAACCGUAGGACGGUAACCGUAAGGGCAUACGUACGCGAGUGACGUUGAUUAAUAAGUAGUGGCAGAAGUCAAGUAAAUUGAGUCUAGUUGUUAGCAUGUCUCUAAUGGUGGUUGGAGACUGAUUCAAGGUGUUAUUUAUUCUCAACUCAAGAAGGUUAUGUUGGCGGCCGACAAUAUGAUACCUAGGGAUGGGAAUAAGUACACUUGUAUGCUUUCGCCUAAUUUGGUUUUGUUUGGUUUAGCUCUUGAGUUGCGUGGAAUUCGUGGGUCAAGGUGAUUAAUCUAGUUGUUGCGUUUUAGAAGGUAAUGGUGCCGAAGAAACGCCCUGCGACGAGAUCUACUCCGACACCACCUUCUGAGGUGCAUGGGUUAUCUGGGUCUGGUGAGGUUCAGGAUUUGCGUGCUCAAAUAACUGCAUUAGUUUGGGUGGUGCAGCGACAGGAGAAGCAGAUUGGGAAGCUUCGGGAAUUGGUGUCGCAACCUGCAGCGACGACGACGGUGACGGUGACAGCACUCAAAAGCCAGGAACCGCCUGCGACUUCGACACACAUUACCAGUGCUACUCAGGGAGCGAAUGUGACAGCGGUGCCAGUGACGACUCGCCCUGUUCCGGCGAGCACUCCUCCGACGGCUUCUAGCUCCUCGGCCCCCGUCCCCGAAUUAGCGGCAGUGAAGGCAAAGAGAGAGCGAGCGCUUGCAGCCCUCAUAACCUUCAAGAGGUUCAACCCUCCUACUUUUGAUAGGGAGGUAGUGGAUCCUUGGGUUGUGGAGACUUGGAUCGCCUUGAUGGAGACCCUGUUCGAAGAUAUAUAUACUCUGGAGCGGGACAAAAUUAAUUUGGCCGUGCACUGCUUUGAGAAGUCAACCCAAAUCCGGUGGAGGGGAGUUAAGAAGAAUCGAUCCCCGGACCUUCCCCCAGUUACGUAGGAGUUUCAAGGGUUGUUGUUCAUUGAGUGCUUCCCCUACAGUGACAAGAGGAAGCUGAAAGAGGACUUCCAAAAAUUGAAGGGAGUCGCUCAGUAAGGGAGUAUGAACGAGAGUUCUCGCAUAUAGUGAACUGUGUCCCAGGCGUGGUUCAGGGAGACUAGGACAAGGCGGAGUGUUUCGAACGAGGACUUCGGCCGAGAUUUUCAGGGUUGUGUACUCCUUCAAGCUUCAAACCUUUGUUGAGGUUUUGAACCAGGCUCUUGGAUGGAGCAAGGAAAUGCGGUCGCACGAGAGGAGCGCGAGUCGUUUGAGAAAGAUAAAGGAAAGAAACGGACUAUGAGUGGUGUCGGGGAAUAGUCGAGUUCUAAGAAGCCCCCUAAGUAUCCGCGAGCAUAGUCGAGAAGCCGCGGAGCCCUUCGGUGUGUUAUUUGUGGCGGGGAUCAUCGACCGACAAGCUAUGGACGGCGAGACGGGAGGUGUUAUAGGUGUGGCCAGGCUAGACACAUCAGUCGUGAGUGCCCGAGUGGACUAUCACCUGUCCCGUCAUCUGCUUUGGUUCAGUCAACCCCUAAACAAUAUGCAGGAGUUUCGCCCACCACCAUAUCAGCUAGGCGCGCUAUGAUGCCGCAUCAAUCCGAGGAACCCAGAUUAGCGCCUAAUGGUCGUGUAUUUGCCGCUCAGGUGGAGAAACCUGUCGUGGUUGACGAUGUCGUGGCAGACAUUGUGUUAAUAAAUAGAAUCGGAUCUAGAACUUUAUUUGACACGGGCGCAUCUCAUUCAUUUAUUAGUCAACCAUUUGCAAGUGUACAUGGCAUAGAUGUUAAAUAGGGCAUGCAUGCUAAGUGGGUCCAUAUUUCUGAUCAUGCGUUUUGUGCUACGGAUGUAUGUGCAGCUUGUCCAGUGCAAGUAGGUGAUUGGAUUAUGUCGGCGAACUUGCUUAUGUUGAGGCAGUUGAAAGGGUUUGACCUAAUUUUAGGUAUGGAUUGGCUCUUAAAGUACUACGCGACUAUUGAUUGUGAGAGCAAGGUACUAACUUUUCGUGAGCCUAGGCAAGAGGAGUUCACCUAUCGUGGGUGUAAGAGCUCACUCUUCGCCAUGACGAUGACUACAUCCCGUGCGAAGAAGUUAAUUAAUAGUGGCUGCGUAGCUUAUUUGGCAACCGUGGUGAAGACUUGUAGGGAGAUUCCGGUGCUCGAAGACAUUCCAGUGGUCCAAGAGUUUUCGAAUGUAUUUCCCGGAGAGUUGCCAGGAAUGCCAUCAGACCAGGAAAUCGAGUUCAUGAUAGACUUGGUUCCUGGGACCGCGCCAAUUUCGAAAGCCCCGUAUAGAAUGGCACCGGCCGAGUUGAAGGAGUUAAAAGCUCAAUUGCAAGGUCUUUUUGAUAAAGGCUUCAUCAAACCAAGUAUGUCACCUUGGGGAGCCCCGAUACUAUUUGUGAAAAAGAAAGAUGGUACGGUCCGGCUUUGUGUGGAUUAUCGCGAGCUAAACAAAGUCACGAUUAAGAAUAAAUACCCGUUGCCCCGCAUUGACGACUUGACCAAUUGCAAGGGUCUCGGGUGUAUUCGAAGAUCGAUCUUUAGCCGGGGUAUCACCAGUUGAAGAGCAAGCCGGAGGAUGUACAUAAGACCGAAUUCCGUGCGCGAUAUGGAUAUUAUGAAUUCAUGGUUAUGCCGUUUGGGCUUACCAAUUCCCCUGCAGCAUUUAUAGAUUUAAUGAACCGUGUCUUUAAGUCCUUCUUAGAUCAAUUUGUCGUAGUGUUCAUAGACGACAUAUUAGUCUACUCUCGAAGUGAUGAAGAGCACGAAAAGCAUUUGAGAAUUGUGCUACAAGUUCUUCGGGAGGAGAAGCUUUAUGCGAAGUUGAAGAAGUGCGACUUCUUCCUUCAGUUGAUCUGUCCUUCAUGCUCACUAAGCAGGAUCACUUGAUAGAGGAGUUUCGUCGGUUGGAGUUGGAGAUUCUACCCACUGGAGCCACUGCCCAGCUGUUGACUCUAGUAGUGCAGCCUACCUUGGCAAACUAGAUUUCGCUCGGGUAGCAAUCAGAUCCGCAUCUAUAGAAGAUUCAGGCAGAUGUCAAGCAGGGUAAAGUGGGGGAUUUCACGGUCCACUUCGACGGAUCGCUUCACUUUCAAGGCUGGAAGUGCAUGCCUGAGGAUCCGGAUUUGAGGAGAGACAUCCUAUCAAAGGCACAUCGAUCCCCAUACACUGUGGCAGGUUUAAAGUGUCGUAGCACAGGGGUGUGCCGCUGUCUGCCUGGCACAGUACGGCACCGGCACGCUUCCGUGCCGACACAUGGUACUCUUGUCUGCCAAUGGAUACGCGUAACAGCCUACUGGCACGCUUUGGCACGGACUUAUUUCAGUUUUUUUAUUUUCAAUAAGCUCUUAUAAUAUUAUUUUGAAAGAUUUAAUCAAAUAAUUAUGAAUAUGUGCUAUGUAUAACUUACUAUACUCAUCAAUUAACAUGCUUGUAAGCUUUUUUGUAUGUAAUAUAAUUAUAUCUAAUGCAGAACAAAAAUUUUUAAAGGUUAGAAUUUUUAAAAUGCAAAGACAUUUUUUUUUCUUUUUUUUUCUUUUGACCAUAUUAGUCUUUCUUUUAUAAAAGAAAAAAAAAUUUAUUUUAAAAAUUAUUUUAAAAAAUAUUUUAAAAAGUAUUUGAAAAAAUUAUUUUUUUAAUGAAUUUUUUCAAUAAAUUAAUGGAUCUAUCAAAAAAAUUAAGCGAUAAAUUAUAUGACAAAUAAAUUAAAUAAAUUUCAGUAUCAAUUGAUUUAAUUUAGCUUUUAAUUUUAUCAGUAUUUUCAAUCUUCUAACGCAAAAAUAAAAUUUUAUAUUUGAUGUGACUCAAAAUUUGUUUAUUGAGUUCAAUUUUGUUCCCUUAAUUCGCCAAAAAUUUCGUGGUGCGACAAAUUUUGAUAAAAUAAUUUGUGAAAAAAAUAGAUGUCUGUGGUGGAAGCGAAGGGCUAGGACAAAUCUUUUGUCCGUAUAUUGAUAAACAAAAAAAUUAAUUUAAUUUUUUUGACUUACCUAAUAAGUAAAUUUUCGAUUUGCAAUGUCUUUGGGGGAGUGUGGGAUACCCAGAAUGCUAUGAAUACUUCAAAGAACAAAACAAAAAUAAAAAAAAAUAAAAAAGCAAAAAGAAUAACAAAAUAGCAAAAAAAAUUAGUAUAGUGCCGGCACGGCACUGUGUAGUGGCACACUACGCCGUGCUGCUCUGUCUCGUGCGGCACAGCGCUGCGUGCCACGGCACGCAGGGAGGUCCGAGGCCCCCCGUACCAUGCCACCCCAUACCGUACGGCACUAGUCGGCACUUUAAACCUUGCACUGUGCAUCCCGGCGGAACCAAGAAGUACCGCGACCUGAAGCAACACUUUUGGUGGCCCAAUAUGAAACUGGACGUAGCUCAGCACAUGGCUCAGUGCCUGGUUUGUCAGCAAGUGAAGGCUGAGCACCAGCGACCUACUAGAAAGCUACAACCACUUUUGGUGCCUAUGUGGAAGUAGGAACAGAUUACCAUGGAUUUCGUCACAGGUUUGCCUCAAUCAUAGCGAGGCCAAGACGCGAUCUGGGUUAUCGUGGACCGGUUGACAAAGUCGGCCCACUUUCUGCCGGUGCACACGACUUAGUCCCAUGACUGACUGGCACAGCUUUAUCUCGACGAGAUCGUCAGGCUUCAUAGGGUGCCAGUGUCGAUCGUCUCGGAUCGGGACACUCGCUUCGUAUCCUAGUUCUGGAGGAGCUUACAACAGACCUUGGGUACAAAGCUGAACUUCAAUAUGGCUUUCCACCCACAGAGCGACGAUCAGUCCGAGCGAGUCAUUCAGACGCUCGAGGACAUGCAUCGUGCUUGUGUCCUGAACUACGGCAAAUGAUGGUUCAAGUACUUACCGCUGGCAGAAUUCGCCUAUAACAAUAGUUAUCAGGCGAGUAUCGAGAUAGCGCCGUAUGAGGCAUUGUAUGGACGUCGAUGUCGGUCCUCUAUCAGUUGGGACGAUGUCAGUGAGCACCGGGUGAUCGGGCCAGACUUGUUGGAAGAUGUGGAAGCCAAGAAUCACAUUGCGAGGGACCAGCUACUGACCGCGCAGAGUCGAUAGAAGAGCUAUGCGGACCAGCGACGGUGUGACUUGUUCUAGGUCAGCGAGCAUGUGUUGCUUAAGGUGUCGCCGUCUAGAGGGAUCAAACGGUUCAGGUUGCGGAACAAGCUUAGUCCGUGAUUUGUUGGACCGUUUGAGAUCUUAGAGCGUGUUGGUCCGGUGGCGUAUCGGUUGGCUCUUCCUCCGAGUCUCGCCCAAGUGCAUGAUAUGUUUCACGUGUCCAUGCUUCGGAAGUACAUCCCAGAUCUAGUCCCACAUUAUCAGUCCAACAACUAUUCAGCUACAGGAGGAUCUGAGUUAUGAUGAGGCUCCGUUGCGGAUUUUGGCACCAGAGGUGAAGCGGCUGUGGAAUCGGAGUAUUCCGUAUGUGAAGGUUCUGUGAGAGAACCACAAGCGUGAGGCUACCUAGGAGCUUGAGUCUGCUAUGCGGGAGCAAUAUCCUCAAUUGUUUAGAGGAGCUGAGUGAUUAAAUUUCGGGGACGAAACUUCUUGUGGGGGGAUGAUGUAAUACCUAAGAAUUCGAAUUUGAAAUUUGAAUUUGAAUUGUUAUAUAUAUAUAAAUAUAUAUAGGUAUACUUGUGGAGGUAGAGAGAGAUGACUUUUGUCGCAAAUCGACAACCAAUUCUGGCGAAAUAAAAUCACAGGUUUGAUGGUCGGGCAGUGCCGGAGGUGCUAGCGUGAUCCAUUCGUAAAUCCGACGAACCGAUUGUCCAGAAUCGCACGUUGUUUGAGGAAGGGUCAAGAUUGCAUAUUAGGUUUUCCGCGAAAAAGCUAAUAUUUUAUGUACCGAAUCGCGAGGGAUCGCGCGUAUUACACGUGCCUAGAGGGACUAGGGUAGAAAUGUUGAGUUUUUAGGGAGUUACCUGCAAUUAUACUUCUACGUAUAUAAUGGCAUUUAGGGUUUCCUCCUCCCAAACCCUAACCCUAGCCUUCCCUCUCUCCUCUCUCGAGUCCUAGCCAGCUCCCCACCCUCUUCUGGCAGCGCCGUGCACUUUCCCAGCCGCCGGCAAGCCUCCUCCGGCCGGCCAAACCUCGGCAACAGCACCCUCUCCCUCUCUCUCAACUCUCUCCCUUUCCCUUUUUCAUUUGGCUAGGCCUACCUGGGAGAAUAGCAGCACCCUGCGGAGAGGUUUUAAGUGCCCGUCGGCACGAGCCGUAUCCACCGUGCCGUACAGUGCCAACAAAAUACCGACACGAUACAGACCCCGUGCCGAUGGCACAGCUGAAAACCCUCUAUUCUUUAAAUUAGUAAGUAAUUUUCUCAAUAAAGUUCAAAAAAUGUGAUAAAAAGACAUAAAUAGUUAGAAUAUUUCGUUGCUAAAGAAAAUAAAUAUUUCAUACUAUUAUGUGUCGGCACACAAGAAUUUUUUUGACCGGCAUGUAUCGGCACGGCUCGACACGCACCGUGCCGUACAGUGCCGACAAGUUUCCGGCACGACCCCGUGCCACGGCACUUAAAUCCUUGCUGCGGACCUCACCUCUGGCAGCACAGGGCUCCAAUCCUACUCCCUCCGGCAACCCCGUCGUCGCUGAGCGCCACCGCGGGCUCCACAGUCAUCUCGGGCUAUCCCUAGCAAUGGCAGCUCCACCUCCUUGCAGCGACGCCGUCGCCGCCCCUAAGCAGUGCCACCACCUCCCUCCGGUCCUGGGGAACACGCCACUCCCCGCCGCUGGCCAAGGUGAGCAUUGUGUUCCUUCCCCCCCUCCGCACUCACCCCUAGGUCACACGCCGACAGUCGAUGGCCGACCGAAGCGAGCAGCUCCCUUCCUGGCCCAGAUUUGAGCCUUUUUGGCUCUACUUACUGUUCCGAACAUCUAGGAGCUCCCCGACUCUCCAGAAAGUGAGCACGGUGACCUAGAGUCGUCGAUGAUCACCGUGCUCACCUCGGUUUAUGUCUGAGGAGCUCCGACUCGCUGUUUUUGCAUUGUCACCCCCAAAGCCUUUAGUUAAUUGUAGUAAUCUUGGCCCUGGAGCGUUCCUCAGCUGACUUUCUUACCCCAGAAAGCGAGCAUGAGCUUCGCUGCGUCAAGACCAAUCCGCUGGUGCUCUUGGUUGGUCUAGCAGACGCACGGUGUUCUCUAUCGGCCCUAAUUUGCAUGUAAUUUAACUUAUUUUGUGAUAUAUCUCUUGUUUAGGGGCCUGUUUGCAAUUGUGAUAGCAGAAGCUGUCUUGGGCAGCAUGAGGCCACUUGGUGUGACUCUCUAGACUGGUUGUCCAAGCUUUCGAUGCCCUCGCGGAAUCAGAGUUAAUUCCUGAAGCGUUUUUCGAUAAAAUCGUAGGCGAAACGCGGUGACUGUUGUGGGGUCCACUUGUUAGUAGUGUUAUCACCCAGAUGCGUCGCAGAACCUUGUUGGCUGGUUACACUCGUUGUCUCGAGUUUCCAAAGACAACGAGUGAGCGACGGAGGGUUCCGAUGCCGAAAACGGCAUUUCCGGAAACCCAGAAUGGCAUUAAGUGCUUUGGUGUAUCUGUAUUCCUUUGGCUUAUGUUUGCUGUCCGAACACCUAUGUCGGUGUGUUUCGGGACAGCGGGUGUCCAGGAUUAUGCUUGGGUCCCUUGGGAAACACUUCGUUGAGUUUGAAAGUGUUUCGGCGGACUUUUUGAAACUUUUGACUGUUCCGGGGCUAUAUGUUUAGGGUUUUGGAGUCGACCUAGUGAGUCUUGACUUGGUGGGUCGUUCAUAGGUCCAAUUGAUGUCCCAGAGCGCCUCGAGUAUUAGACGCUGCUACGAUUACAGGUGGGUGCUUCGAUUAGGAGUCGGUACAGUAGUGCUAGCUCGGUGAUAUUCUUCCCUUACUCUUUCCCGUUAACUUGCAUUCUCUUGAUGAGCAUUUUACCACUAGACUUCUGGUUUGUUUACUCUACUUCUGCUCGUUCACAUAUUUGUAGUAGAGAGGUGUUGGAUUUAUUGCAUGAUCUCUACUUGUGAGACCUGAUUGGUCGAUGCCGAUCGGUUCGCCGAUCUGGUGAUCUUGUUUAGAAAGGUGUGGAUUGUUGACUUCGGCUAUUUGCCGUAUUGAUUGACUUUUGAGCAUUUUGCAUCGAUCGUCACAGCUCAUGUAGCAUAUCAUGUACACCAGCAGUUUGGCCACUGCGUGGGUGUUCUUUUCCGGAAAAGUGGUCGUCUCUACAACCUACGGGCCCCUGCAAGGGUUUUGUGCUAGGUGGGUACGCAUACUGUGACACUUCCUACGGUCUUUAAACCUAUACGGUGAGGUGUUUGGAUACCAGUUUUCAUACAGUUGAUGUAUAUGUUAUUGUUUACAGUAGCGGUAGGUGAUUACUAUUAUGCAUAUCUAUAUUUCCUUAAUCCGCUAUUGUACAUGAGUAUCUAUCUAUCUAUCUUAGUUGUUUUUCUCCCGCAAGUGAGUACACUCGCCCUCGUUGGCUUGCGGUAUCCACUGGAAGACCCUUGUUGGUUUCUCAUACCCCCCUUCAGAUGAUCUCGGUGGUGGGAGUCGAGACGGUGCGCGAGGUGCGAUAGCUAGCGAGCUCUAGAGGUCCCGACACAUCUGCAUUGGUUACGGUUACUCCGAUUAGACCGAUUUUAUUUAUGAUUAAUAAAUUAGAAAUUAUAGUUAAGUUACAUGUUUUCUUGACUAUUGGUUUUAAAAUAAUCCUGGUUGUGGACGAUCAUUUAGUUGCAAGUAUUUGAAAUAACAAUUCUUUUGGAAUUUUCGGUGAGAUGGUAUUUUAGUUGUAUGAUAUGUGGUUUUCUAACCCUCGAGGUAGUCGGCAUUUUCAAAAGAUGGGUUUCCGUGUAGGAGACUGUUUUCAAAAGGCUUUUUCGGUUUUAUCGAUCCUUAGUAUUUAAAAAUAAAGUUUCCGGAUGGGAAACACCUUCAAACGAUAGAAUUGAUUGCUGUAAUGUGCAUUUGCAUCAUCCUUCGUCUAAGGAGUGCUUAGAACAUGCAUCAUUUCAAGGAUUGCUAACUGAAUGAUUGUCGUGAGCGUAUACAUUGUGAAUGCUGCUUGUGUGAUUGAAUGUAGUGUUGCAACGACUCUUGUAGUAGUACACCGUGUAAAUAUAGGGGAGACCCUGUCCUAAUGGAUAGGGGAAAACCUAUAGUUGUGGCAGGUCUGGUCUGUUCUGUCCUAUGGCAUGUUUGUAUUUCAAAAAAAAAAAAAGACAUUUUCCGAUGGCUUCACUUUCGAACCGGCUUCUUCUUCGAAAAAACUUUACAAAAAGAGCCCCCGGGCGUGAUAGAUUAAGAUGGUAUCAGAGCCAGGUUACAGCUACACACUCAUUCAAGGUGUUUAACUAAACCACUGGUUAGGUUGACCCAUAAGAAGACCUAAGGUGUAGAUGCGCGAGUACGGGGUGUUUGGGGUUGAGUUCCAAUGCGAGUCGAGUCAAUUCUUAUCACUUGACAGUGUUCUUUGUUGAUAUAGAUGGCUCGUGGUAGACCCCCACAUCCAGGUCGCGGUGCUGGACGUACACAUGAGGAGGCAUCCGACAGUGCGCGGACUCGUGUGUCUUUGGAGGGUGUCUGUGGAGACUAGAUGGGCGCCGAGCAGCUGGGGGCUUCUCAUAAACAAUAGCUCGAGGCCGAAAUAGCCGAUAUGAGUAGUCAACAGACAACCCUCUCAGGCAUGUUUCAGCAGUUCUUGCAGGAGCAAGCUAUAGCUGCUGUCGCUCCGGUCCCACCUCCGGCGCAAAGUACUCCAGUGACCACAGACCCCCCUGUAGCACCAGCACCAAUCACGACUGCGGCCAUGACGACGACAACUAUGACGACUCUUCCCUCAAGGGUGCUGACUUACUGUCAGCAAAUGGCACCCGUAUCAGGGCUAGGUUGUCAGAGUUCAAGGAGUUCGACCCGCCGUAGUUCGAUGGCAAGCAUAACGACGGUUGGGCAGUCGAGCGUUAGAUCGCCCACAUGGAGAAGCUGUUUUGCAACCUCACAUCGACAAACAGGAUAAGGUCCCGUACUCACGUUAGCCGCCCACUGCUACGUCUCGUUGAGAAAUUAACUUUCUCUACAUUGUUUCUCUGUUUAACCACUUAAACAUGAGACCCAAGCACAACAAAAGUUAUAAUUAACAUGAAUAACUUACUGUAUUUUAGCAUUGAAUGGCUUGCUUGAACUUUUAUAUAUAAGUACCAUCAGAAAAUUCGAUAAAGUUUAGAUGUCAACAAAGUAAAACCAUUUAAUGUUCAAUAAUGCCUUAUCCACUCUAAUAGUCUUGCAGACCACCUAAUUCAGGUAAUGAACUCGACAACAAAGUACGUUUCAGAUCUUAGAUAAGAAUAGGCCACCAAACUAAAACUACCAGUUGAUAUGAUCUGGAUGGACAUAACAAAAGCUACCAUUAUCUGUUUGGACGGAUCAAAUUGGUUCAAAAAUUGCACCAUGGACCAACAUUCGAGUCAAGAAGCAAUUGUUCAGUUAAGUUCUAACACAGUUUAAAACACAGAAUGGUCUGACGAAAAUCAUGCUUCAAUUUUUUUUAUGAUCAUCUGGUGGACUAUUCUUGAGCAUUAUCAACUAAGGCUAAGCAAUACAAGCUGUUAAACUGAAAAAAUGGUCAAAGAGGUGUCUUACUUUCUCUUUAGCAGCAGCAAUCGCAAGAUAACCAGCACCCAUUUCAACCUCUUGCAGCCCAACAACAACUAAUCCAACCUCUGAUUCAGAGAAGUCCAGCAAAGCUGCAAGUGAAUUAUAAGAUGCUCUUUCUUGCCCAACAUUCCAAGUACCCACUAGAAUUUUCAGAUGUUCAAAUUUGCUGUAUAGUGUCUCUUUCUGUAUCAACUCGGAUUGCAAGAUGUUGUCAAUAGGCCCUGGAGAGGACAGAUUCCAUCCACAAAUCCCCCCGUGAUUAGCCAAUGUAAAAAUAUACAAACCAGCAACAGCCAUUUUUAUAAUUGGAUUGUUAUGGGCUACCCAUCCUCCUAUCAAAUUUCCUUCAAUAUCCAUUAAAUGGACUGUACCAUCCAUGUAACCCACCCACACUCUCAAACCGAAUGUACAAAUGCACAGAAUAGAAGAAGCGUGAUGUUGAAACUCUUGUAGCCGAUUACCAUUACCAUCCCAAAGAGCAAGUGAGCCAUUUGCACUACCAGUCCAAAUCGUUCCAUCCAUUGACAUUGCUAAUGCCUCUAUUCUUCGAUUAUCAUCCCCAAAUCCAGCCUUGACUGCAACUCUCCGAACAGCAUCAGCUGCUCCUAUCAAGGCAUUACGCGACCUCUGGAAAAAACUGACAGAACUUUGUGAUUUAUCCUUCUUAAAAGAGGAGAAAAGGUUUAUCUUUGUAUCAUCCUCUUCAUAAGCACCCUGAACAGACAAGAUAUCAAACCGAGUCUCAACCUGGACGUCUAUGUUAAUGACCUUGAGAAGCUCCUUUGUACGAGAGUCCCUGUUUGGUUAAAUAGUGAACAUUUUGAGUCGAUAACAGUUAUAGUCAAAAUUAAACUAUGGUAUCUUAUUUAAAAAUAGCAAAGGAAAGGGAGCUAGUGAUGGCAUACCAAAGUGCAAAUGAAAGAUAACCACCACUCCACACUUUUGAUCUAGAAUUAUCAGACAACAAAUGUUUAACAUCUACAGUAGGUAAGGGGCAGACUCCUCCAUAAGUGACUAGGCUCUUAAGGUCAACAUAUGACCUCUCAACCAAUUGAGAAACUUUAUGACUUUCUUCUAUUGCUACAGAGAGGGAGUGCUCAAGAGCAUCCUUAGACCAAACUUUAACAAUUCCAACUUCAGAUCCGGACCACAAGUCACCUGGAACAAAGGAAGUAAAGAAUAACAGAGUAAGAAUAGCUCGAUUGAAAAGAUCAAAUAAUUUCAGCUAACAUAAGUAGGAAAACAGGACUCCUAGUAGAGGCACUUAAGUUAAAGGAAAUCCCAAGUCUAUGCCAACCGUCAUUUCCAUGAGCUUCACAUACUUAUAUGCACCAGGGGAUAUGUGUAAGAGCGUAAAGAAGUUGUCUCUUGUCAAAGCGAUCCUUCAGACACAAAUCAUUCUUGGCUGUGCAUAUCAAUCUCUUUUGGUUCAGUGUGAACCACAUAAACCAAGAAUACUUCCACCCGUUAAACUCCUUGUUUAUGAGAUGAUGUCAUUGAAACAUCUUAAAAGAACUUUAAUCACCUUUAUCUCACCUUCAUUCCUAAAUCACUAGAGUUCCUAAAGAUACAAAAGAAGAGCCACCUAAUCAAAUUAAAUGUGGAAAAAAAGAGAGAAGAAAGUAGCUUAAAAGCAACAAUUCAGAACUCCCAAGCAUUUCAUUAAUUAGCAUACAGAUGAACAUAUAACUCUUCUUAGAGCAUGUAUUACCUACUCAAGAGAGUGGAAGAGACACAAGGAGAGAGAAUAGGAAGGUAGAAAGUGGAUAUUUGGAAGAGGAAAGCAGAAUUUAGGGAAGAAAUAGAACAGGCUUACUAAGUAGUGGGGAUUAAAUGCAAUUUCAUCGAGAAAUUAUUGCCUGCACCCAAUGGAUCCUUACGCUCCAUUCACCACAUACAAUCUUUGAUGAUCAAUGUCGUAAAAUAAAAUAUAAUCUGCUAGAUGUGAUCUGCAACAUCUAAAGGUCCUAGGUAUGAAAAUCAUAAGUUUUAAAAGCCUACUAGCUAGGCAUCAAGUAAUUUCAAAGAUCAACAGUAUAGAAGGGGACCAUUUUUUAUUCACCAGAAGUUAGUGUCCAAAAUUUAUGAGUUUUUAUAUAUAGGCCUUUCAAACAUCAUAGAACACAUCAAGCGAAUUAGAUUUUGAUUUUGAGACCUCUAGCAGGGGAGUUUUAGGGUGCGGUGUAUGUGAUGUACUUAUACACCUGGUGCAAGCAAUAGCUUCUCCUUUUCAUCUCCUGAUACUAAACCCGCUCAAAAAGACUUUCCAGGACAACUAAUGUGCACAAGAAAAAAUUAUCUGAGGGACCAUCAUGUAAAUAACAAGAAUUUAGAGAACUAUAGCAAUAUUGGAAAAUUCCAAAGGAUAAUACAAUAGUUGCCUAGAAAGCAGAGAGUUGUUGCAUUUUGUAAUAUCCCAAACUUGUCGCAACCCGCCGAUGACGAGAAUUUGCCGAGGCGUGGACGGCGACGAGGAUGAUGGUUGAUGUGGGCCUUUGAGCUAGGGUCUCGCAAUGGGAAUUGAGAGGAAGAAGGGGAAGAAUUAGAGGAAGAAGAGAAGCUGAGAGGAAGAGAGAAGGGAAUCAGAUUGAGUGGGAUGGAGAAGAGAGGGGAGAGGAUGAGAGGAGAAUUAGGAAGGAAGAAAAGCUCUAUUCAUUUUCUAUAAUCCCAAAAUUACAUCUGCCUGCUACUUAGUAACUGUAUUUGUGCUGAAAUGAAAAUUGAUUACAUUGGUUGAUUAAACUGUAAAAAUAUGGAAAGAAAUAGUAUAGGCCUGGUGGGCCCAAACUGAUGGAGUCGUGGGCCUUCUGGGCUGUUGGAGAGCCCGACACCUCUGGCUUCUAGCGGGUUUGGAUCCGAUGCUCGACCAACCCGACCCGGUUGGAGGUUUGAGAUACUCCACUUCCAGCAUGGAAUUACUAGAUCCUGUCGUUGCACAUCUUGUCUCUUGACCAGGCGAUCUGAACCCUAGGUCUGCUCCGCCUCCCGCCAAUGAUCUCUAGCCUCCUUCUCUCUUCUUCAAGAACAAGCAACAUCAAAAUCCCCUAAAAAGCUACGGUCUCCAUCUCCUUCUUGUUCCUCACCAUGCUUGAUCUCUCUAUAUAUAUCUAUAUGUAUAUAUGUGUACUUAUGCUUCAUGCUCUUCCCGGCAGAUGUUACACAUUUUCAGAAGAACAGUACUUCAACCAUCCAAAGGAUCAACCCUUUGUUUUCCAUGACAAUUAGCUCUUGAUAGGAAGUUAGAUCUCCGUUCCACUAGUCAAAAAUUGCUCGAUGUGUUCGAUAACUUAUACUUUUGUGGAUUGUUUAGUUGCUGUGAUUUCAAUAAUUCCCUGUUCGCACGCAUUUUAAUUUUUCUCUUUUUCGUCGGAUGUAAUAAAUUUUUUCCACAAAUGCUUAAAACACGUUUCAUCCAAACACAAUACGGCGCGUUCUGAGUGCUACUUUUCAGUCGUGCAAUUUCCAAGCUAUGUUAUCUACACAAGUUGCUGAAUUCAUAUCUCGAAGAGAAAGAGCAAGAGUAAACAAGAGUUAUCUACACAAGUUGCUGAAUUCAGAUCUCAAAGAGAAAGGGCAGGAGUAAACAGAGAAUUACCGUACGGAGUAACGACCAUCGAGAGGACCGGAGCACGGUGGGCGUUCCACGCGAGGCACUCCUUGAAAUCGCCGCUCUGAUCCACCGACGAGUUUGGCGGCGGCGGUGGCGGCAAAGGGCCCCUCGACUCCGUCCUCCAUCCCAGGAUGCGCCCGUCCCGGUGCCCGCUCCACACGACCCUGCGGCCGCGAUCUACGGCGAGGCACAGGGCGGGCGCCGUGCGGCACGACUCCCAGAACGGCGCGCUCUCCUCGUCGCCCCUCCUCGCCCUCCCCCGCGCGCCUCCGUCGCCGAAGGCCUCGCAGAGGUUCCAGAACCGGACGCCGGACUCCUGGGCGGCCCAGAUCUGGUCAUCGUCGGCGGCGGCGGCGAUCGCGCGGAGGAAGGAGCCGGCCUGCGUCUCGCGGAGCGGGCGCGGGCGGAGGUCGAGGGAGGGGGGGCGGGACGGGCGGGGCGGGGGGCUGAAGAUGCCGUCGGCGCGGCCGGAGAAUUCGGGCAGGGGGCCGGCGGGGCCCGAGGGAGCAGGCCAGCUGGUGUCGGCGGGGGCCGAGGGAGGAGGCCGGAGGGGAGCGGUGGGGGUGAUGGUGGCGGCGGUGAAGAAUUCGGCGGGCAGGUCGUCCCAGUCGCUGAAGAAGUCGGGAUUUCGGGACAUUUUGGUGGUUUGUGGGAGGUGGGAUUUUGGGGGGGAAUAUGAGGGGAGUGAGAGGUGGAGUGGCUUUCACGAUGGAGGACGUGGGGGAGUGUGACCGUACGUUAUUAAAUUAUGUAGUUUUGGUCGUCAGGAGAGGUGACCGUCAACAACCGGCGGCGGUAAUCCAUGAGUUUGGUUUCCGAAGGGCUUAGUUUGGAGUUUGGAGGUCAUUUGCUGGAAGGGAAACGAUCAACAAUUCCUAGUCCGAGAGUGUUAAAGAUUUACUGUUCACUUUUCGGUCUUUAGUAAAAAAUAAUAAUAAUAAUGAUAACAGAUUUAGUAAAGAAAAAAAUAUGUGUUAGGGCUAAUAAUAAAAUGUCACUUGACGGGUUGGUGCGUGAUUCAAUCGGGAUUCAGGCUUAAAUAAUAUUUGGUGCUGUUGCGUGCCGAAUUUUUUGACCCUUGAUCCGGUCAAAAAUCCUCCUCGGGGAGCGCAUCGGGAUGAAAACGGCUUUGGAUAGUAAUCCUCGAAGUUUGCGCCCUUCGAUUGAUCAAGUGAUUCGGCUGACGAGGAAUCGGAUCAGCCGGGUUCGAAACCGAAUGCCUUUAUAUUAACUGGUGAAGAGCCGAAUGACUAAAGAACACAAAAAUUGGUCGGCUUGAACAGCCGAAUGCCUUUAUAUUAACUAGUGAAAAAUACAGGAUUUGAGUGUGUCGGAUGACAUGCAGACUCGGUUGAUCUACUUAAUGAACUACUUCUAGGAAGAACAGUAAAUGCGGGAAAGUAAAAGUUACAAGUAGACUACUCCUAGAAAAUACGAGGAAAUAAGGGUAGUCUUUUGUUCACAGGGAAAAGAUCCCUUUUUAGGACGUUAUUGACCCAUUUAUAGAUCGCCCCUUGUGAUCAGUUAUUGCCUAUACAGGAUCGGCCACUAUUCCUGAUUCUCCGGACCGCUUUCAGCCGAUCGGAACCGUUUGCAACUGUUUGCGGUUACUGUAACUUCCUUUAAAUCGUGCGGUUUAAGAUCCUUCCGAUGCUCCUGGUGCAUUGCGAAUCAAUGCAACUGAAUGGAGUACCGGUGUACCAUAUGUCCGCGCCUUAUUGGCUUAACAAUUACCCCCUCGGCAGCUUUCGAAGUAACGCUUCGGUAGCUGGCUUAAUCCGAGGUGCAAUUACUUUUCAAAUUCCUGGUACGGUUUCGUCUCAACCGUCUGCUUCUUUCUACCGCUAAAAUCCCGCCAUCACUUCAAUAACAAGCGCGAUCCGAGGCAUGGUUCUCGAUCCAAUCAAUUUCAAAUUCUCUGUACGAGUAGCUGAUGUAACCCGAGGCGUGAUUCCAAACCCUCUGUACGGUUUAGUUUCGGAUGUCAAAUUCUUUUCUACGGCCCUGAUCUCGCCAUCUAUUUUUGUCUUACCUGUGACAUUAAUUAGGUCAUCUUAAUUACCGCAGUCUAUUCAUCAUUAUAGCCGACCUCGGAACUUGCUUCGAUGACUAUUCGACACGACGGCUAACCUUUCUUCUUCGCCAAGCCUCUAAUUCCCUUUUAUACUCAACCUUUGUCUUUUUCAUUUCUCUUUACUUCUUCCUCGUUCUCUUCGACCUCUUCUCCAUCUCUCGUCCACAGCUUUUGCUCACUUUCUUCUUCCUUAGCAUCUUUUCGCUUCGAGUAAUGACGCCACUUCCGCCUUUACCGACUCGUUCUUCGCUAGAUUAUACCCUGCUUGAAUCAUAUCUCGCCACGGACCCUACUAGAUUCAUUUUGGGUCCUUCCUUUACUGAAGACCCGUCUGUCGAUGAUUUCCCUUAUUCUAGCGACGGUCUCCCAUUGGUGGCCAAAUCCAUUCAUCUCCAUUCCUGGUACCCUUCGGCUUCAACAGGAAAAAGCCUUCGAACCUGGCCAAGUGUUUCAGAUGCUUAUUUGACUUGGUUAGAUCGAGUGGAAGCUGCCUAUGGUGACUUUUGGCGGGAAGUCGGGAUCUAUGAAGCUAUUCAGCUAUCUCGGAAGCCUCCUAUAGCCGACAACCUUCUUUUGGCCUCUGCUCUUUAUUUCUGAUCCCCUGUUUUCAAUGUUUUUCUUUUUAAAUGGGGACCUCUUACUCCGACUCUCUUAGAUGUAGCUGCCAUUAUUGGUUUACGGCCUGAUGGUGUUACCCUCUCCAUGGCCUAUAAUUCUGAUGGCGUAUCUGACUUUGAGGAUCAUCUUGACCUCACUGAUUUGGCUUUUCCAAGUUUCUCCAUAAAUUUGCAGGUGAAUCCCCUGCUCCUGUCACUAGGAAGGAACACACAGCGUUCCUCCUAUAUUGGUUAUGUCACAAUCUCUUAUGUACUCGUUCGCAGAAGAUUAAUCGGGACUUUGUCCCAAUCGCCGUUGGUUUGACUAACGACGACAGAUUAGCUCUUAGGCCUUAUUUUUUUGCCUUUGUUUAUAGAAAAAUUUUUGAUUCCAUCAAACCUGUCACGCCCCGCGACCGCCUGCCUAUUUGGCCGGGUCGCUGCAUCGUCAACAGACAGCCGAACGGACAGAGUUUUUCCUGUACGUCCUAGGUGUCGCAAUCAAAACAAAACAAAGAGUCUUCCAACCAGGAACUGAUAUCAAUCAAGAUUGCAUAAAGAAGUAUCAAUAACAAAAAACUAACUGAUAUUACAACCAUUCAUUUCAUACAACAUUUUUCUCUUACAUUUACUUAACUUCCAAAUACAAUCACAUUAUUACAUUUAAUACAAGUUGGUUGUUGUCAUUCCAUUCUAACCCCUAGGCCCUGCUGACUCGGGGUACUGCUAGCUCUGGUCUCUGGGGUAGGGCGCUAUCUACGAAGCUACGCCCUUGCCUUGCGCCGCCGCGCCGCUCACGUGCGAACCUGAACGUGGGGUGAGAACCAACUCCAUGGUUCCCAGUGGGUACGGCCACCCAAGGAAAAAGCUCGACCAAUAGGUCCGAGGAGGCACUGCAACAUGUUAGUUCAACAAUAUACAACAGAUACAUAUAUUCAAUUGAAAUACAUGCCAUGCCUCAUGAUAUGCGAUAUGAAAAUCAUGCAACUCUAUGCAACAACUAGUAGAUCAAUUGAUUCUACACUUUACUUGGCUACUCUUAGCUCAUAUCAUUCACUCUAAGGUUUCCAUUACCUUAGUAUCUCACUCAAGUCCACUGGCUACUAAGGUCUCUAUCCCCUUAGCCCAAGCCUCUAUCUCUAGCUCAUAAAGGUUCCACUACCUUAUCGAACCUAACCACCCGACUCGGCUUAGAGUCAAUCAUCCGCGGAUAGUCUGCGCACUGGCUGCUCAACAGCCUACCGCUCUCCGUGACUUAGCCUCUUAGCGGCGAAAUCAUCGCACACGUUGAACCCGGCUCAAGUCCCUUGACAUAGCCAUUCUGGCGACGAACACGUUGCACUUACCCAGCGAGGACUCAAGUCAUGACCUAUCCAUCUGGCGGUAAACUAAUCGCACCUUACCCAACAAUGGUUUCAGUCACGACUCAGCCACCUAGUGGCACCCGCACCGUACUUACCCAGCAAUGGUUUCAGUCAAUCCUAACGGUCUGAUCCACAAUCGGCUUAACCAUCCGGCGGCGAAAUCGUCGCACACGCCACGUCGAUGGUCCAAGCCCCGGGCGGUGAUCUCCAUGCGAUCGCCCCCAAUCCUCCCUCGGUAUCAACCUCGGCGGUGAAGUCGUCGCACACGCCCUAGCCUUGAUACCACAGUCAUCACAAGUCCUGGGAUUCCGGAAUCCACUUUUCGCAGGUCAAGGAUUCAUAACCAACCCUAUGCUGUCGACCUAGAACAUCCUAGUGGCUAAUACCACUAUACUCAACAACCUAGAUUCAAUACCACUCUAGGCUCCAAGUCUCAAUCACAUAACCUAGGGACAAAUGCUAGGUUCCAAGUCAUCUCUACCUAGAUGUCAAUUUCUAGGAUUACUUGUCCGACCUAUGUUUACUAACACUAGGUUCGAUGCCACACACCUAGACUUGUUCAACUCUAGGUUUACUCGUUCAACCUAUAUUCUUUAACACUAGGUUAGGUGCCACUCGAUCUAAUUGACAUCCUAAAUGUCCAAUCGAGUAUUCUAUUGUUCUCAUGUCAUUCAACUCUACACUUCUAGAGUUAUCACCUAGUUUACAUGCAUAUAUAUAUAUAUAUAUAUAUAUAUAUAUAUAUAUAUAUAUAUAUAUAUAUAUAUAUAUAUAUAUAUAUAUAUAUAUAGUCAUGCUACUCAUGCAUUCAUGCGAUCCUUUAGCAUUUAUACAUCAUGUUCAUCAUGCAUUCUACUUAGCAUUUUAAUAUAUGCAUUAUCACUAACAUGUAUCAUUUAACAUUGUCUACAUGCAUCAACAUGAAAACGUAUGUUCUUAGACAUAAAGGGCGACCUAGUCGCUUCGGUAAGCACCUUAGCUAGCUUUCCGAUUGCUCGACAACACUUGCAAUCGGCCUCCCGCGGCACUCGGCACCCUUUUGGACCCGAUCUUGUAGUUGCACUCUAAUAGCGCGUCGCUUUGCCGUUUCAAAAGUUAAAGGUCUUUGCCUUGCUAUUACGGCGCUCGGAACUCGAUUUCGCGAUUUAUGGACAUCGCUUCGGCCUUCCAGGCGGAAACGAAGCUCCAAAUGUCCGUUCCUUCAAUAUCUUUGUAACGGCUUGUUGGAUUGCCAAACCGACUUCGCCAACGCGUUUCGUUACCUAUCAAUUAGGUUAACAGAGGGUCAAAUGAGAUCAAACUCUCCCAAAUCACAAAACCUCAUUUUGGGUGCCCUAGAUGCUAUUAUAGCCAAAACCACCAAAUCGAUUCAUGAUUUGAGCACAAUACAUCUCAAUAGCAUGCUAGGGUACCAAAAAUACCAUUUCUAGGGUUUAAAAUCCCCUCCUUAAAGAUUCACCAUGAGAGGAGGCAAAGAGCUUACCUCUCUAGGUUGCUCCAAGCACGAGGAAGACGAAGGAGAGGAUGAAGAUCUCCUUCUUGAUCUUCUUCCCCCUUCCUUUCUCUUUUUCUUCUUCUCUUCUCUUCUCUUUUCCUUUCAUUCUUCUUCACGAUCGGAGAGAGAGAGAGAGAGAGAGCAGUGAGGGAGUGAGAGAAAGAGAGAGAGAAACCCUCUCUUAAUCCCCUUUCAUAUUGUAACAAAAUGCUAAGAAGCCCCUCAACUUUCCAUCUCUCAACUGGCCUUCACUGGGCAAAACCAGCGCGGAGGGACCGGUCUCCCCGACAUGGGACCGGUCCCAGAGGACCUUCCUAUUUUCCACGCAUUCGGGGACCGGUCUCUCAGGGAGAGGCCGGUCCCCCGGAGACCGGUCUGCCCACCAGAGACCGGUCCCCGAGAGCUCUUUCGCGGGACUUAGCCAAUUUUUGGCCAUUCUCGCUCGUGUCGCUUGCAGGGACCGGUCCCUCCCUGCCAGGGACCAGUUGCAUCGGCAACCCCGCAACCCUCGGCCGAUGGGACCAGUCUCUCCUGCCAGAGACCGGUCCCCGAGAGCAAAUCUGCUAAAGAUGCAGAUUUUGCAUCUUUGCUCUCGCGGACUCCAUUCCAAUGCACUUUUUGUGUUUCGUGCAUCCUUAGCUUUUCCAAAGCCUACCAACUCGACCAUUAGUCGAUUCUGUACGAAGUCCAACUCUCGGAUUUUGAGAAUUCACAUUGUUACAAAACCACUACCCUCUGGAGAUGGUGUAACGAUCAGUUCGGGUUGUAGUGUUUUCUGGUUUUUACAAAUGUUUUUAUAGAUUUAUUUUCCUAAUUUGUGCCGAACUCCUUUGGAUAUGGAUUCGGCUGCUCAUUUUGAUUCUUACGGGUUAGCUCUCGGCUGUCCUCCGCCGCUAACAUUGGGACACCCUUCUGAUUUUCUCUCUUAUUUUAAAAUGUUUUAUGAAUCUCGUCCUCAUUUCUCUAUUCAUUGGUCUCCCUUUGCUGACUGUGUCACCGGCCCGUCUUGGCUUCUAGCAAGGUAUGAAGCCUUUCAAGGCGAACUUGCUUCUUCUCGUGCCGGCGAAUAUGCAGAUGUUUGGUACUCUUUUUUGGCUAUAAGGGAUCUGCACAUUGGCAUGAAAUCGCGCUCGAAACUGUUGCCUAGUACUGAGGUUUAUUCUCCUCAGUUCGUAGCGCGCCAAUUUGGUUUUACCCAAGCAGUCCCCUCUCCAGCCAAGUUCUUCAUGGCCAAUACUGCCGUUAACCGAGCCCCUACCAAAAGUACAGCCGAAGCUGAUCAGAUUUCGGCUAUGGGGAAUCGCCCUUGGUGGUUCUUCAAAUUAGUGAGCUUCAGGCCGAAUUAUACAGGGGCGGUAGGUUUCCGUUAUACGGUUACCUGGGAUCAUUUCGCCAAUCGCAUCUUCAGCUUAUCCGCGACACAGGCGUACCGCCAGACCAUUCAUCCUAUUGGUACAACUCUUACUUAUAAUUAUUUUCCUUUCUUUUUGUAACAAUAGUUCUUACUUACUCGUCUCUCAGCUACAACAAUACCUUUCCUAAGCAAGGAUCUUCCAGUUGAUCCCGCUACUCCAACUAUACCGAAAGAAGAAUCAGAGGAGAUUUUUGAUACUGCCUCUGAUGUCCCACCUUCUUCUUCUGUAAUAAACUCUGCUUUACUUUAACUUUUCUCUUUUUAGUACAAGUAAUGCUUAUUUUUCUUUAUUUGUUUUUGUCUAUAGUCAUUUCCAGUUUCUCCAUCGGGUCCCGGCUUCAGAGAAAAGGCCGAUUGAAACUACACAAUCCACUCCUCCACCGCCCCCAAAGCAGCGCAAGUCGGUCGUCAAGAGACCACAUUCGCAUUCCCAACAGGCCGAAGGCGCUUCUUCGGCUGAUGUUUUAAAGAAAAGGGCCGAAGAUAUACCUUCGGUUAUGAUUCCAGAAGGAAGAGCCAAAGAAAUACCCUCGACUGAUGCUCCGGAAGAAAGAACCAAAGUACCAUCUUUGGCUGCUGAACAAAGCUCUGUUUCUAAUGAGCCGAUUGAGAUUGAGGUAAACCCAUUUAGUUACCUACACUCAAUCCUUUUGUUUCUACAUCUAUUUAUCAUUUUCUGUUAAUAAAACAGUCAUCUCCUGAAAGAGUCCAUUUUGCUCAUUCUUUGAAGACGCAGAUGGAUAGGCAACUCCGUAGGGAAGUUUGCCUCAAAAAGAGACAAGAAAUUGAGAGAAAGAGGGCUGCUGAGGAAAUGAGCAAAACACUGCCGACAAGUGAUGCAGCACCACCUCUUUCCACUCCAGUGCCAGCAACAGAGGGAGAAAAUGUAAGUGCACCUUUGGAAGAAGGCGUUGAAGGAACACGAACAAUGUCUUACUCGACUCCUAAAGCCUCAUCAUCUACUCCAGAAGACCCUAUGUCCGCAAUCUUUCACUCUUUAUUAGUUUCGAGCCCCAAUUCCAAUGAAGGAGAUGAUUCGACUACAAUUGUGAUGUCGACAGACACUCGACAGAAAUUUGAUGAGUGUCUAUAAUUAUAUAGUUAAGGUCUCCCAUCUUUGGCUCAAAACUUAGAACAGUUUGAUCGGCUAUUUGCCCUUUUGCUUGCUCUAGUCGAUCAAUCAGAUAUUUAUUCUGCUGCUAAGUGUUUUAUAGAGACAUUAUCGUCUCAACUUUCCUCUUUUUUAUCUCGGCAACAAUCUUUAGGUGCCGAGCUUUUAUCUCCGGAUCAACAUUUUCAUCAAAUUGAUCAUUUUAAGAAAACUAUCCCUGAAGUAGCGGCUCCUAUCACUGAUGUGAGCCAAAAAGAUCAAGCCCUAGAAAACUAAGAAUCGGCUUUGCAACAGCGAAUUUUGACUCUUAAAGAACAGCUAGCUGCAGCCGAAUUAACUUUGGCUCAUACUUUUGAGCAUCGACUCCAACUGCAAGAUCAAUUGAAGUCGAAGAAAAGCAAAGGGAUGAAACUUUAAGAACAACUUUUCCAACUCUAUAAAGUGCAUCCCUUGAUGAUACGCAGAAGGAAGGCCGCCGAAACUGCCCAAGCCAAUUUAAUAGCCGAAUGGAACAAGCUCAAAGAUUUACUAUCUUGAUUCGGCUUGUAAUAUUUUAACUCUAACUUUGAUUAUCUUCUCACAUGGAUGGGUAAUACUUUUUUAGAUACUUUUCAUUGAUUGGUUUCUCAUUUUCCAACCCAUCUAUAUUCUUUAAGUAGUAUGCAUUUCCCUUUGUAAUUCUGCUAACUUGAAAUGAUCCUUCCCAAUUUGGAGACCAUUUUCCAUAUGUUCGGUCUUUUUGACCGAUUGGAAAAAUUAACCUAAGAACCAAGUCACCAACUGCAAAUGACUUAGCUCUAACUUUUUUUAUUUUAUGCAUUACGCACUUGGCUUUGAUAAGCUUGCAAAUGAUUCAAUGCCAUCAACCGAGUUUCAUGUAUUUCUUCCAUUUCUUCCUUUAUCAACUUACUAUAUUUAUUAGCUGAUAGUUCUUUAUGUUUCUCCACUCUUAACGAAGGAACUGUUAUUUCGGCUGGUAUCACGGCCUCGUGGCCGUAUACUAAUUGAAACGGUGUCAUUCUCGUUGCCGUUUUUACUGAAGUUCGGCAUGCCCACAGUAUUUCAGAUAGUUUUUCAUUCCAUUUCCUUGGAUAUUUACCGAUAUGUCGCUUCAUAAGAUUGAUGAUUACCUUAUUUGCUGCUUCGGCUUGUCUAUUCGCUUGAGCAUAAUAAGGAGAUGAGUGAAGCAACUUUAUCUUCCGAGAUUCAAUGAACCGAACAAACUGUCCUCCUGUGAACAUUGUUCCUUGAUUGGUUGUAAUUGUCUCAGGAACUCCAAAACAAUGAAUUAUCGAGUCUUCAACAAAAUCAAUAAUCUCUUUUUCAGUGACCAACCGAGUGGGUUUUAUUUCUACCCACUUAGUAAAAUAAUCAACGACCACUAUUAAAAACUUAUGACCAGCCAAAGAGUUCGGCUGAAUUUCUCCAAUCAAAUCCAUGGCCCAACCUCGAAAAGGCCAAGGUUUAAUUAUUGCAUACAUCUCAGAGGCAGGAACUCUCUGUACUAAACCAUGAAAUUGACAAUCUUGGCAACCCUUAGCAUAUUCUAUACAAUUUUGAUGCAUAGUCGGCCAAUAAUAUCCUAAGUGCCGAAUUGUCCAUCUUAGUAUCUUUCCUGCUAAAUGGGCUCCACACAAACCUUUAUGUGUUUCUCCCAUCACUAAUAGAGCUUCUUCAAGCCUUAAACACUUUAAUAAUACUUCUUCGGCUGUUCUCUUGUAGAGCUGUCCAUUCAACAGACAAUAGCCAAGUGCUCUUCUUCGAAUAUUAUAAUCGACCCUUUUAUUGGGGUCUUCAAAAUAUUCGAUUAUAGAUUUUCUCUAAUCCUUUUUCACUUCUAUGGGGGCAAUAAUCGGCUCUCGAACAUGAACUGAAGGUAAUGGUCUUCUUUCUAUUUUUAUCAGACCUCUUUUUGGCUCUCUAUAUUCUGAAGCCGAUUAGGCUAAUUCAUUCGCCUGUUCAUUUUUCUCUCUUGUCAAAUGCUCAAAUUCAACCUCUUCGAAUCUGCAAAGUAAUUCUAUCGUCUUUCUCAGGUAACCUUGCAAAUUUCGGUUUUCGCAUCAGUAUUCUUCGUUGACUUGUUUAAUCACUAACUGCGAAUCACCGAUGACCUUGAGCGAGCGAACUCCUAAUUCUUGUAAGAUUUCAAGACCAAUUAUUAAGGCCUCGUAUUCGACUUGAUUAUUGGAACAGCCGAAAUCUAAUUCAAAAGCAAACUGAUAGGUAUAUCCCUUAGGAGACUGUAUAACUAUUCCAGCUCCCGCGGAUUCGGCUGUUCUUGAGCCGUCAAAGUAAAGUAUCCAAGGUUGACAGCCGAUUAAAUUCUGUUUCGGGUCUUCAAUGUCAACACAUGGAUGAUCAGCCAGGAAGUCGGCUCUUACUUGUCCUUUAACAGCUUUUGUUGGAACAUAAUUAAGAGAAAAUUCGGACAAUGCCAAUAUCCAUUUUCCGAUUCGACCUCUUAAUGCUUGCUUAGAUAACAUAUACUUUACCAAAUCAGUUUUACAUACUACCAACACUUCAGUUGGUAAAAUAUAAUAUCUUAAUUAUACAAGCAUAAUAUAAGGCCAAACACAAUUUUUCAAUUGUCGAAUAUCGUUUUCGGCAUCUAAUAAUCGCAUGCUUAAAUAAUAUAUGGCAUGUUCUUCUUUUUCUUCAUUCUCUUGGGCUAACAAGCAUCCUAAAUUUUCCUCUACAGUCGAAAUAUAUAGUUUCAUCGGCUGUCCUUGUUUAGGAGACAUAAGGACCGGAGGAUUUGAUAAAUAUUUCUUUAUAUUUUCAAAAGCUCCUUGUUGUUCCUCUGUCCAAAUAAAUUCUUCUUUACUUUUAAGCCGAAGUAAUGGAGUAAAAACUCCUAUUCUACCGGUCAAAUUUGAUAUGAAUCACCGUAAAUAAUUGAUUUUUUCCAAUAAACUCUGUAGUUCUUUUUUACUCUUUGGUGGCGACAAUUCUAAAAUAGCUUUCGCUUUGUUUUUAUCAAUCUCGAUCCCUUUUUUAUGCACUAAAAAUUUCAGGAAAUUUUCUGCAGAAACUCCAAAGGCACACUUCAAAGGAUUCAUUUUUAAAUUAUAUUUUCUCAUUUUUUCAAAGGCACGUUUUAAAUCCGCCCAAUGUUCGACUUGUGAUUUGGAUUUCACAACUAUAUCAUCGAUGUAAAUCUCCAACAUCUUGCCGAUCAGAUCAUGAAAAAUUAAAUUCAUUGCUCUCUGAUAAGUAGCUCCGGUAUUUUUUAAGUCGAACGGUAUGACCACCCAUUCAAAGGUCCCAAUAGACCCCGGGCAUCUAAAAGCCGUUUUAGCUACAUCUUCUUCAGCAAUAAAAAUUUGAUUAUAACCAGUAUGUUCGUCCAUAAAAGAUAGGACUUCAUUACCGGCAGCCGAAUCCACUAAUAUAUCGGCUAUUGGUAUUGGAUACUCAUAUUUAGGAGUAGCCAAAUUUAAGUUCCUAAAAUCAAUGCAAACCCUAAGUUUACCAUUCUUUUUUCGUACUAGAACUAUAUUGGAUAUCCAAUCAACAUAUCGGGCCGCUCUAAUAAAACCGGCAUUUAAAAGAUUUUCAAUUUCAUUUUUAAUUUGAAGUACAAUACUCGGCUCAAACCUAUGAGCCGGUUGUUUGUAACCCCUUUUUAAUAGGUAGCCUAUGUUCUACAAUUUUUCGACUUAAACCUGGCAUUUCUUCAUAGCUCCAGGCGAAGCAGUCGUUGUACUCCAAAAGCAAUACUUUCAGCUCCUCCUGUUGUUGAGCCGAAAGCCUGGCACUAAUAUAAGUCGAUCGCUUGUCUUCAUCAGAUCCUAAGUUUACCUCAAUUAGUGGAUCCUAAGUUUCCAAUUUCUUCUCACCGACUUUGAUAGAUGACUCUUCUAAGUUCAAUUCAGUUGUUCGCCUCCUUAAUUCAUCUGAUAUUUCUUUAUCGGCCUUAACCGCCGAUCUCACCAUAUUUUUCGUAUCGGCUUUAACAGCCAAUUUUACCACAUCAUCAUUACGGUCAUUUCAACCGCCUUCCUAACUUUUUUGUUAUUGGCCUAUUUGGCGGAAUCAUUUCAUAAUCGAUCUCGUUGGUCGGCUCCCUCAGCCGAAGCUUCUCUAAAGCUUCGGUUUCUAAUCUUUGAUGUUCCAUUUCAACCAAUUUGGUGGCUCCUCGGCUGCCACCAUAGCUUCAUAUUUAGAGAAAAUCAACUGUACUCCCUCUUCAGUAACUCUCACAAAAGAGUCUGGAUCAGCAUUGGCCCAAUUGAUGUGGCCGAUUUCUCCCGCGUUGAUGUCCACCAUUUGGGGCCGCCCUUCGGCCCGGAUUUCUUCGACUUUUUCUCCAAUCCACUGGAAUAGUUUUCCGUGGAGUGUGGAAGGUACGAACUCGUUUGCGUGGAUCCAAUCACGCCCAAGUAGUAGGUUGUAAUGACUAUCUACAUCUGCCACAAAAAAUACAGUUCGUAGAGUUUUAGAACCUACCGUAAUCUCGGUCGUGAGCACCCUUCGAGCUUGUUGACCGCUUCCAAUAAAGUCUGUCCUAAUUGUAUCGGCGGGCUUCAAUUCGUUCUCGCCCUUGCCUAACUUUCUGACCAUUUGGGGUUACCCUUCGACCCGGAUUUCUUCGAUUUUUUCUCCAAUCCACUGGAAUAGUUUUUCGUGGAGUAUGGAAGGUACGCACUCGUUUACGUGGAUCCAAUCACGUCCAAGUAGUAGGUUGUAAUGACUAUCUGCAUCUAUCACAAAAAAUGCAGUUCGUAGAGUUUCAGAACCUACCGUAAUCUCAGUCGUGAGCACCCUUCGAGCUUGUUGACCGCUUCCAGUGAAGUCAUAAUUGUAUCAGUGGGCUUCAAUUCGUCCUCGCCCUUGCCUAACUUUCUGAAGAACGAAGUGGGCAUGACGUUGACCAUUGCUCCACCGUCCACCAUGACUCGGCCUACUGGCUGACCUUCGAUCAAGGCCCGAAUGAACAGCGGCCUCACAAAUCUUGUCUGCAUGGCCGAAAGUUUUUCGAAAACCACCGCAUCGGCCGGUUUGGCAUCCUCUAAUUGUAAUUAAGCCACAAUGAGCCCAACUUCUUCAUCAACUAUCUCCUCGUCAUAUUCAAUAUACUCUGCUUUGAAAGAUUGUGGCAGAGUAUAUACUAUAUUGACAUCGGCUAGUCCUUCGUCAGCCGAUUUCGAUUGUAUUCUUUGUUUUUUUUCUUCAGACUCCUUAGCCGUCUCGGCUGAGGAGUCACUCUCCAUCCGUGCCACCCUUUCCUUAGGAAGUCAUCUCUCUCUCUUGAUUAUUGUCUCGAUGGAGGCUAUUUUGUCCUCUAACUCCCUCCUAGUCAUCUUCUCCUCUGGUUCGGCCGUGGUUGGCCGUUCUAUCUUCUAUUUUAACCAAGGGACGGGCGAUGAACCACCCGCCUCAUGAACGUUUCGCAUCGGCCAAAAAGGGUGUGGUGGCUCAUUAGGUCGUCUCCACACGUUCAGCCUCAUCCCUUUCGCCUCCUCAUAAUGUUGUCUCGCCUCAGCUUGCAUCCUCUGCUGCCGGCGCUUUUGUGUUUUUGUUAACAUCGGCCCUUGCCAUUUGGCCAAUGGUUUGAUUUCAACUUCAUGCCACUGAUCUACCGGCACAUUUGCCGGUACUUUCACAGUUCUCAAAUGAUUCUUUAAAAUUUCCUUUCUUUCCCAAGGUCUCGGCCAGGGCUAUAUACCGAGCUCAUUGACUAAUCUCCGACCAAGGAACUCUAUGUCUCCUUCGGUCAUUCCUUCGAAUUCUGGUUCUAGUCUCGGCCUGGCUUGAUGUUGCCAGUGCGGCCGGUACCCAGGAAAUCUCUGCUUUGAACCAAAUAAUUUUUCUGGAUAACUCCAUCGGCUGUGAUGUUCCUUUCUUCUACUAUUGUAAUAAUCGCNGGUUCUAGUCUCGGCCUGGCUUGAUGCUGCCAGUGCGGCCGGUACCCAGGAAAUCUCUGCUUUGAACCAAAUAAUUUUUCUGGAUAACUCCAUCGGCUGUGAUGUUCCUUUCUUCUACUAUUGUAAUAAUCGCGCAGGACUUUAUGCAUCAAUAAGUCCUUCUUGUUUUGAACCGAAUCAAUUUCCGGUUCAGACUCAUUGGAGGCUUCGUCUGAGCCAUCCUCCGACUUGUCAUCUUCUUCAGGAAUCUCUUCCCAUUCCUCCGGAAAGGCCAUCAUCUUUUUCCAUUCGUUGCUUCUUUUCUUGUCGUUGAUGAUGACUUCCCAGUCCUUCUUUGUCAUCUCGGCUUUGCACCUUAUGCAAAGCCUAAGCGUCCUCUUGACAUAAGCAAUGUUUUUAGCGGUCUUCUUAUCUGCAACCGCUUUUCCUUUGGUGUCCACCAUAUUAACCUGCGAAGGAAAUGGAUUCUUGUCAAUUUUCAAAUUUUUAUUUUCUUGGUCGGCAAAUAUGAGCCGACCCUCAUUUAUCUCUUUUUGAAUCUGCCUCUUAAAGGCAGUGCACUCAUUUGUUUUAUGGCUCCAUGAAUGGUGCCAUUUGCAAUAUCUUCUUCUUUUUAAUUCUUCUACAGGAGGUAUAGUUUGACCCUCCUGCAGUUGAAUUCGGCCAUCUUUUAGCAACCGAUCAAAAUUAGAUUGAUCUUUGAUACAUCAAACGAAUAUGUAUAUGCUGAAAAGCGCGCUUUUGCCUCACUUGAUUUAGCAGGCUUUAGCAAGGCACAUUUAUAUGGCUGUCGGUUUUUAACCAUCUUGGCUGCAUAUAUUUUAGCUUCAUCAGCCGAAUGUUUAGCCUCUUCAGACGAAUUCGGCUCUUCAUGAGCCGAAGAUUCUUUAAGGAAAGAAAUGUUUUUCUCUUUCCAUUUGUUCCACUCUUUGUUUCGGCUCCAUCUGGGCCGAUCCUCAUUAUUUCCUCUUCGGAAUUGCUGAUAUUGAGCAACCCGAACUCCCAAAUCGAAAAGAUUUGGAAAGUACUUGUCUUCAAAAUGAUCUUUAAUUUUGAAAUGCAAGCCGUUAAAUGCCAUUUUGGCAAAUUUCGACUUUGGCAUUCUCACAAAAUAACGGCUCCUAGCAGUCUUGAAUCGGUUCAAAUAUUCUUCAACCGAUUCACCCGUCCUCUGUUUAAACUGAGCCAAAUCAGCAACCGAUAAUUUCGGUUCUGAUCUAUAAAAUUGUUCAUGGAACUUUCCUUCUAAUUCGUCCCAAUCUCGGACGGAAUUAGCCGACAGACUUGUAUAUCAAGUAAAAGCCGUUUUUGUCAAAGAAGUGUUGAAAAACCUCAAUUUCAAAAAAGGAUCUGCCGCAGCUUCUCGGCAUUGUGCCGUGAACCGUGCAACAUGUUCGACCGUAUUUUCGGUCUCAUCUCCAGAAAAUUUAUCAAAUUUCGAUAUUUUUCAGUUUGCCGGGUAUGGAUGCUCUGCAUCUAUAAUCGCAGGAUACUGUGAUCUAAACACAAGCCGCAUUGCCGGCCUUGCACCUACUCCGAAAGUAUUUUGGAUGGCUUCUUCUAUUUGCGCAUAUAUUUCAUUAUUGUUCCCUAAUACGGGAACUUGGGCUUGUGCUGGAUUCGGUCCUUGCGGUGGUCUGAAAUUUUGUGCUAUAGGAUUCACUCCCUAGAUAUUUGGGGCUUGCCCUUUAGCCCCUAUAUUUUGGGGUUGGUAUGCUACUACUGGUGGAGGAGGUGGUAACCCCCAUGCUAUCUCCGGUUGCUGACCGGCAUUCCCAACAGCCGGCCUAUAAGCCGCUUGAAAUGGUGUCCCCUGGUAUUGGGGUUGACCAUUUACCGGUGUUACAGGAUUUUGUAACACUGGCGUAAUUACAGGCCCUUGUAGGCCUGCUAUCGGUUGCUCAUUGCGAGUUAAUAAUUGCUCUAUUCGGACAAUAUUCUCGUUAGAGCCCGUAAUCGCGGCCAAUACUGCAUCUAGUCAUGCAGUGCUAGCAUGGCUAUUUUGGUCUAAAACUUGUAGAGCCCGUGUCAUUUGUCCGAGUGUCUGAGCCAAACUAGUCUCUUGCUGGUCAGAUUGACCACUAGUCUCACCCUCGGCAGGUAAGACUGCUUGGCGUUUUGCAGCAUUUUUCGAAUUACUGGGCUGAUCGCUCCCAGAACUUCUAGGAACGGCCCUAUUACGUAGAUUCAUGGCAUUAUCAUCAGCCAUUAUAUCAACAAAUAAUAAAAAUUACCUUAAAAAGUGUCCCACCGGGCGUGCCAAAAAUUAUUGCGUGCCGACUUCCCUGACCCUAAACCCGGUCAAAGAUCCUCCUCGAGGAGCGUGUCGAUAUGAAAACGGCUUCGGAUAGUGACCCUCGAAGUUUGCAUCCUUCAAUUGAUCAAGCGAUUCGGCUGACGAGGGAUCGAAUCAGCCGGGUUUGAAACCUCUGCAGUAAAUUCGGUUCGGCUGGAUAUGCCGAAUGUACGUACCAAACAAGAACUAAGGUCGGCCGAAGAGCCAAAUGACUAAAGAAUACAAGAAUUGGUCGGCUUGAAGAGCCGAAUGCCUUUAUAUUAAUUGGUGAAAAAUACAAGAUUUGAGUGUGUCGGAUGGCAUGCAGACUCGGUUGAUCUACUUAAUGAACUACUCCUAGGAAGAACAGUAAAUGCGGGGAACUAAAAGUUACAAGUAGACUACUCCUAAAAAAUGCGAGAAAAUGCGAGGAAAUAAGGGUGGUCUUUUAUUCACAGGAAAAAGACCCUUUUUUAGGGCAUUAUUGACCUAUUUAUAGAUCGCCCCUUGUGAUCAGUUAUUGCCUAUACAGGAUCGGCCACUAUUCCUGAUUCUCCAGACCACUUUCAGCCGAUCGGAACCACUUGCAACUGCUUGCGGUUACUGUAACUUCCUUUAAAUCGUGCGGUUUAAGAUCCUUCCGAUGCUCCCAGUGCAUUGCGAGUCAAUACAACUGAAUGGAGUACCGGUGUACCAUAUGUCCGCGCCUUAUUGGCUUAACAGGUGCAUCGGGAGUAGAAAAAAAAAAAAGAAUUACAGCAUAAUCGUAAGGCAUAACCGCAAGCGAUUUUGAGUAGAGAUGUCAACGAGUCGGAUUCGGGGCGGAUUUUUAAAAACCCGAAUCUAAACCCGACUCCAAAUCCGAGACCCGAAUCCAAACCCGAACCCGACGGAUUUUAAAAAUCCAUAUCCAAAUCCGAACCCGACCAAAAAUCCAAAACCCGAACCUAAACCCGAAAAUUUGAACCCGAAACAAUUAUUUUUUUUUUCAAUAUUUCAAAAUAUAUUAUAUUAAAUCUAAAUUUUUAAAAUACAAAUUCAAAUAUAACAUCAAAUUUAUAUAUAUAUGUUAUAUAAUACAAAAUAAAUUCGGGUUCGAGUUGGGUUUGGGUCGGGUACAGUCAAAAUCCACAUCCGAAUCCAUAUCCAUUUAGCAUCGGAUAUAUCAAUUUCAUUCGAGUUCGGAUUCGGAUAAAAUUUCGGAUAUCCAUAUCCAUUGACAUCCCUAGUUUUGAGCGGUUAUGAUCGGUUCGUAGUGGCCCAUAAAAAUAGGAGAGAGGCCGAUCGUGUACAUAACUGCACAAUAAUAAGCGGAAUAUAAAGAGGUGAGUAACGCCUUGUUAUGAGCCAAAUUCCUCCACCGUUGACCUGGUCAAAGGCCUUCAUAGGGAACCGUGCAGGAACUAGAUCCGGCUUCAGAUGGUGACAAGCUUGCGCCCUCCGACGGAUCAAACGAUUCGACUGAUGAGGGAUCGGAUCAGCCAAGUUCGAAAACCCUUACUAUAAAAACAAAUUUGGCUGAAUGAGCCGAAUAGAUGAAAUACACAGUAAUUGGUCGGCUGAAAGAGACGAAUGCCUUUAUAUAUUGGAAUUAAAUAUGCAAACUUGUACAAACGCUAGUGUGCCUUCGGGGCAUACAGACUCCGGGAAUCUUACUUAGAACUACUCCUACGAAAAGCAGUAAAUGCGGAAAAAGGAAAAGAUUACAAGUAGACUACUCCUACGAAAAGCAAUAGAAAAUGCAAAGGGGAUAAAAGUGGUCUUCUAUUCUUGGGAAAAAGACCUCUCUUUUGAGCGUUAUUUGCCUAUUUAUAGUCCGCCCUUACUGUUCAGUUAUUGCUUCAUGAUCGGCCACUUUUCUAUUUUUGCGGGCCACUUCAAGCCGAUCAAAAUCACACAUAACCGCUUGUAGUGAUACCUUGCGGUUAUUGCUAUUAAUUCGCUAAUACUCCUGGUGCACCAAAAACCCCCUUUAAUUCUGGCUUCUAAAGAUCUAGGCUGAACCUUGCACCGAUAUGCCACAUGGUGAUUUAUUAUUAGCCCUAACAAUUCCUCCCUCGGCAGCUUCCGAACAGACGAUUCGGUAGCUGACGUGAUCUUCUCCCGAGGUGCGAUUUUCGAAAUAGUCAUUUCGAAUUCCCUUGUAUGAUUUUCUUCUCAGCCGUCCUUUCUCCUUCGACGGUCAUGAUCUCCACAUUCCUUUUGUCUUAUCUGCAAUAUUAAUUAGGUCAUAUUAAUUGCUGCCAUCUCUUCAUCAUUAGAGCCAGCCUCGAAAAUCGAUUCGACAGCUUUUCUCUUCCUUAUUCUCCAAGCUUCUUCCCCUUUGCUUUGCUUUUCUUUGGCCUGAACCUUCAUCUUCUUCACCCCCAUCUUCAACCUUCUCAUCCUCGAUUUUUUAGGAUUUUUCUUCGUCGUUUCUUUUCUUUUCUUCUUAAAAAUGGCACCACUUCCGCCUCUUCCUUCUUCCUCAUCUAUUGAUUACACACUACUUCGACAAUUCGUCCUGUCAGACCCCACUCGAUUUCUUCUAGGGCCUUCCUUCACUGAUGAUCCUGCUCCUGAAGAUUCACCCUUCUCAGUUGAAGGCCUUCUUUUAAUGGCUAACGCCAUUCAUCUUUCUUCUUGGUAUACUUCGACAACUUCUAAGUCGUCUGGAAAAAAUCUUCGAACAUGGACAGGUGUUUCAGAUGCUUACCUAGCCUAGUUAAACCGUGUCGAGGUUGCGUAUGCUGACCUUUGGCGCGAAGUCAGAGUUUAUGAAGCUAUUCAACUUUCCAGAACUCCUCCUAUAACCGACAACCUCCUUUGGGUUGCGGUUCUUUGCUUCUGGUCCCUUAUUUCCAAUGUCUUUCUUUUCAGAGUUGGGCCUUUCACCCUUACUCUUCUAGAUGUGGCGGUGAUUGUGGGCUUACGCCGCCGCGGCAUUACCCUUUCGAUGGCCUAUAACCCUGAUGGUGUAGUUGAUUUUGAGGCCCACCUUGAUUUGGCUGACUUAGCUUAUACUAAAUUCAUUUGCUGAUUUGCUGGUCAAUCUACUACCCCUGUCUCUAAGAAGGAACAUACAGCUUUCCUUCUUCACUGGUUAUGUCGCAAUCUUUUCUACACUCGCUCGCAAAAGAUUAAUCGCAAUUUUGUUCCCAUCACCGUUGCUUUAGCCAACGGCGAAAAGUUAGCCUUAGGUACUUAUUUUCUUUCCUUUGUUUAUAGGGAGAUUUUUAAAUCCAUCAAAUCAUUGCCAUCAGGUGGCGUGGUUAUUACUUCAGGAUGUGGUGUUUUGUGGUUUCUGCAGAUGUGUCUGCAAAUUUAUUUUCCCUAUUUGUGCCGAACUCCUUUAGAUUUGGACUCGGCUACUCAGUUUGAUACUUUCGAUUUAGCUCUUGGUUGUCCUAAACCUUUAACUCCUGGUCAACCGAGUAAUUUUUCCCGCUACUUCAAAGUGUUUUAUGAGAAGGAUUUCCGCCUUCAUGUCCACCGAUCCUAGUUUGGGGAACGUACUACUGGUCCCUCAUGGCUCCUGAUUCGAUACGAGGCCAUUAAAAAUCAGUUAGCCUCUUCUCGAGCUAGUGAGUAUGCCGACGUGUGGUUUUCUAUCUUGGCCACCAGAGAUCUGCAUGUCGGCUUAAAGAACCGUUCUAAAUUGACGCCAAGCACAGAGGUUUAUUCUCCUCACUAUGUUGUAGCACACUGGACUUUUGCAAAUUGCGAGGUUCGAGUGUUCGAUUUGUAUUCCGAACUUUUCCACACUUGGUGGAGGGCCGUCGAUGGUAUACCGGCCUAAAAGUUCGAUCUCGAGAGUUUUGGCAGAGUCCUGAGAGUUUUUACUCUCGGGGACCGGUCCCUGAUAGGAGAGACCGGUCCCCCAGUAAUCAGUGCUGCACUGCCGGCGAGGCAACCGGUCCCUGGCUGUCGAGACCGGUCCCCGAGCGCGUCUGCGCGGGGAGAGACCGGUCCCGCGCAGGGAGAGACCGGUUCCCGAACGUUGGAUUUUCGGGGGCAGGCUUAGAGACCGGUCCCAGGUCCGGAAGACGGUUCCCUCUGGGCAAAAACUGCCCAGACGGCUGAUUGAAUUUGAAUUUUUGAGGGACUAAUGGAUUUUGUUGGCUUUUAAUGGCCUAUUUGGCCAUUUCACCCUCUUCUCUCCUCAUUUCUUCCCUUCCACCCUAUCUUAGAGAGAGAAGAAGAGAGGGAGAAGAAGAAGAAGAAGAAGAAGAGAGCAGAAGGAGCUUGCUUGGAGCUUGUGGAGGCAAUCAUCUUCUUCCCCAUUUUCUCACCUUGUGCUUCGAGCUGUGGUUGGAGCUUUGUGGAGAUCAAAACUUCAACCUACUAGGUUUUGAGCCUUAGAUGUGAAGCUCUCUUUGAGGGUUGGUACAGUAUCUCUACUUGAUACAUUUUUCUAGGUUUUACUAGAUGAACCCUAGAUUGGGAUUCAUAGGGUUAGAUUUGGGGCUUUUUGAUUUGAGGGCUUUGAAACCUUUUUGAUGGUUUGGAACCUUUAUAUAGGUUAGAUUGGAAGACCCCUACCUUCCAUUUGAAGAUUAAGAGAGGGUUUUUCACUGAGGUGAGUUUUUUUCCACCCUAGCUUGAGUUGGUUAAUGAUUGAACUUAGCGUCAUUCGUUUCGACUAGAUGACACUUGUUUUCAUACCUUUGGGUACUAGGAGUGUGGUGGACGCCUUCGUCGUGGCAAACGAAAGCUUUCGUUGACGACGGUGGUUUGGCUUCGUGGAAUGGGGCGAAUGGACCUUAUCUCUUUCUAUUUGUUGUAAAAUAUUUUUAAUUCAUUUCUAUGCCUAAAUGGAAUUUAUAUGAAUUUAGAGCACUUAAAAUCAUGCCUUGUGUAUAUAAAAUUUCACUAUAUAGUAGAGAUAUAUGAGUAGAAUGCAUGCAUAUGGGAAAAGUGUUUAUUUGCAAGUGGAAAAUACAUCACUUAUGAUGAUUAUGACUUGGAAUAUGUACUUUGGAACAUAGUUGCCAUGCUCUGACAUAGAGAAACAAGAGUGUCAUCAAGGGCCACUUGAAACUCAGCAAACUAUGAAACUGCACAUAGAGUAUAUUGAUAGGCCACUACUUAUCCGCUCAUUCCAUGUUAGAGACAUGAUGACAUAGGGAUAAGCCGUUGAGAUACUUGACACAUUCAUGUUAUUAGACAUGAGGACUUGGUACUUGCGACAGAUCGUUGCCGACUUGCCAAUUGUGCUCAUUCGCACAUGCUUGUGAGGGUCGCUCCCUACAAGCGGCACUCCGGAGAAAGCCAUCGCGAUUCAUAUUCGCCGUGCGGGAUUGGCGCCGAAGUGGAUUGCCGUGGGACAGGCUCAUUCUAGGUGGGGAUGAUGAACUACCACGGGGGCAUUAGGCUCGGACCGGCCAGACAGCCUACGGGUGAUUCAGGCCAUAGACAGUCUCGGUGGGUCUCUUCAGAUUUACUUUGAGUAAUAUUAUGACAUGGGACAGAUGAUGACUUAGUGUACUAACUUGGACAUUGACUAGAAUAGUAAACAACGGAACUUUACUAUUUCGCAUUGUGACAUUAUGAUAUUGGAGAUUUUACUUCAUGCAUAGUUGCUUCAUACUUAUGCUAAUUAUGCUAAGUAGAGAUAUCAUGUUGUAGUAAGUUACAUUUUUACUUACCUUUCGCUUUUCUACUUUUAUAGUCACUGACAUCUUUUGUAGCUUUGGGCCUCGUGGUGCAUUCACUGAAGUCAGUAAUUGCCCACUGGGAACUAUUUUUAAUAGUUCUCACGCCCCUGUUUUAUGGUUUACUUUUCAGAGCCUUCGGCACCGGCGGAGGCACGGGAUCGCGGCAAGGGGAUCGCUUAGCUAGCUAGCGAGGAGCGGUACUUUGCCUAGGUGGUUUACUUUUUCUUUUUGUAGUUGAGAGAGUAAGAGGUUUUUGUAUCCAUGUAUAGAGACCACCUAUGUAUCUACCUAUAGCACUUGUAUCUGGAAUUUUCUUGUAUCACUUUAUGUUUUAUUUAGUGGAUUUAUAGUUCUAUCCUUAUCCCUUGUUGUAGCAUUUAGACAUUUAUUAUGCUCUGAUACUCCUAGAUGUCUCUUAUUAUUGCUUUUAUUAUUAUUGUUUUAGAUGCCUCAUAUGUUUUAGACGUAUGGCGGGUCUGGGCACGUGCCGGGCGGGCUUCCGCUGGGUCCCAGGGCGUGACAUAUGUGGCGCAUCAAUUUGGUUUGGUUCAGGGAAUUCCGGCUCCAUCUAAACUCUUCACGGCCAAUACUGCUCGCGACCGUCCUCCUACAAAAAGCAACGCUUAAGCCGAUCGCAUUUUAGCACUGGAAAAUCGUCUUGGACGAUUUUUCAAGAUGGUGAGCUUUCAGCCCAAUCAUGCAAGAGUGCUAGACUUUCGUUUCACUCGGAGUUGGAACACCUUUUGCCAGCAACAUUUUUACAAUAUUAUGACCUCUCUUUUUGCCAAGAUUUUUCAUACAGAAGGUAUCUUAUCUUUUGAUUAAUUUGAAUCUUUUUCUUUUUCUUCUUCUUUCUUUUAACUCUUUGCAUUUAAUCCUGGUAUUUCAGGCAAUGAGCCUUUACCCAUUCCACAAGAAGAUGUAUAAGACGAAGACCCUACGAAUUCACCUCGUCCAUCUACGAUAAACUUUACUUUUGUUAUGCUUUCUCUUUUUCUUUGUAUGUAACUAUGUCAUCUGAUACAUAUUGUUUAAGCCGAUUCCUACCAUCCGACAAACGACUGAUGGACUCUAUACAAUUGACUCAGCCGCCGCCACAAAAGUGGCGUAAAACAGUUGCCAUCAGGAUCCGUUCUGCUUCUCCGUCUCAGCCACCAGUACCUGUCGAAGAAUCUCCGGCAAAAGAACCAAGUGUUGAUGUCCCAGUCGACAGGGAAAAAUCGACUCCCCCUAUUUUCGUCGCCCCGAUUUCUUCUGAGGUAACUCAGUCUAUUCAAAUUGAUUCCUCUUCUUCUCAUUCUUCAGCAGGGUCAUCUCCACUAUCUUCCGUCAAAUACACCUCAUCACAAAAAACUUCCCAUGCCCACUUCACUUCAUCCUUGGGCCGAGAAAUGUCUGAUAUUGGACGACAGGCUCGUCGAGAAGCUCGCCUGGAUAGAAAAUGAGAAGCAGAGCGAAAGUGAAUAGAAGCUGCGACGGGUAAACAGGAAAAGAAAAGAGAAAAAAUGAAGAAAACAUCUGCCUCACGGGAACUAGAGAAUGAAAAGAGAGACAGAGAAGAGAGUGAAAAAGCAAAAAUCCCGAAGAAAAGAAAUGAGGAAGGAAAAGAACAAGAAAAAGAAGGACAACAGAAGAAUGAUGAAAGAGAGGCGGAAAUAAGUACGGUUCCUCCUUCAAAUCCUCCAACCGAGGCCUCAACAUGGGUUCCUUUAUCGAUACCUAAAACAGAGGAUUUCAAUCAAGGAUUGCAUAAAGAAGUAUCAAAAACAUAAAACUACUUGCUAUUACAAGCAUUCAUCCUCAAGGCCCACAUAAUACAAUCCGAUUAUUACAAUUAAUUUAUUUACAAGUUUUCGUACAUCAUGUUCUUUUCAUUUCCCUCUACCCCUAGGCUAUGCCGACUCGGGGUACCGCUAUCUCUGGUCUCUGUGAAAGGCGCUAUCUACGGAGCUACGCCCUUACCUUGCGCCGCCGCGCUGCUCACGUGCAAACCUAUAACACCCCAAAACAACGUGGGGUAAGAACCAACUCCAUGGUUUCCAGUGGGUACGGCCACCCAAGGGAAGAGCUCGACCAAUAGGUCCAAGGAGGCACUGCAACUAACAGAUAUUAUGCAACUAAUAGAUAUUAUGCAUCGCAACAUGCAGUAUGAACAUUAUGCACCAACUAGUAGAUCUAUUGAUUCUACUCACAACUUUGCUAUCUUUAGCUCAAGUCAUCUAGCCUCUAAGGUUCUACUACAUUAGUUCACAAUUCAAGUUCCACUUGCUCAUAAGGUCAUUAUCGCUUUAUCUCUUGCCUUUAUCACUAGCUUAUAAGGUUUCCACUACCCUAUCCAAGCUAUCUACUCGACUCGGCCUCGAGUCAAUCGUUCGCAGACUACCGCGUGCUGGCUGCACCUCAGCCUACCGCCCUCCGUGACUUAGCCCCAUAGCGGCGAAAUCGUCGCACACGCUGAACGGGCUCAAGUCACCUGGCGGCCUAAUCCACAAUCGGCUUAAAUAUCUGGCGGUGAAAUCGUCGCACACGCCCAGCCAUGGUUCAAGCCUUCGGGUGGCGAAGACUGUACACACACCCAAUCCACCUUGUUAUCCAUCUCGGCAACGAAAUCGUCGCACACGCCCUAGCCUUGAUACAGAGGUCAGCACAAGUCCUCGGAUUCCGGAAUCCACUUCCACAGGUCAAGGAUCCAUAUUUAACCCUAUGCUGUUGACCUAUCUAGGUUCGACCCAGAACAUCCUAGUGGCCGCUGUCACUAUGCUCAACAACCUAGGUUUAAUGCCACUCUAGGUUUACUACAUGUCAUAACCUAGGUUCCAACACUCUAGGUUCUGUACCAUUCAUGUCUGACCUAUGUUUAUUAACAUUAGGUUCAAUGUCAUUCCUGUUCAACCUAUGUUCACGACACUAGGUUGGAUGCCACUCACCUAGAUCUAUUUAACUCUAGGUUCAUUCACAACCUAUAUUCUUUAACACUAGAUUAGAUGCCACUCAUGAUUCACCCUAGGUUCAACAACACUAGGUUCGAUGCCACUUGAUCUAUUCAACAUCCUAAAUGCCCAAUGUCGAGUUCUCUACUCACUCUAAAGUCAUCGAUCUAGUUCACAUGCAUAUCCUCACAAUGCUAAUCAUGCAUUCAUGCAAUUAUCUAGCAUUUACAUAUCAUGUUCAUUAUGCAUUCUAGUAUUUCUACAUUAUGUCAUUAACAUGCAUUCUUCUAGUAUUAACUACAUGCAUCAUCUAGCAUUUAUAUGCAUCAACAUGAAAUCACAUUUUACUUAGACAUAAAGACGACCUAGUCGCUUCGGUGAGCACAACCCACCUCGAUUCGCUCUCCGAUUGCUUGUCGACACUUCCAAUCGGCCUCUCGCGGCACUCGGCACCCGGUUUGGCCAGAUCUCGCCAACGCUCAACAACCAUGCGUCGCCUCAUAGAUCCGGGUAUUAAAGGUCUUCAGCUAGACGCCACGAUGCCCGGAAACCAUUUUCAUGAUUUAUGAAAGUCGCCUCGGCCCUACAGGCGGAAACGAAGCUGAAAACCCUUUUUUCGGCGAUAUCUUCUCGUAGGUUCGUCAGAUCGUCGAACCGACUUCGCUAACGCGUCGGAAAACCUAGCAAUUAGGUUUACGGUGUGUCAAUUGAGAUCAAACCCAACUAUUUCACAAAACCCCCUUUUUGGAUGCCCUAGAUGAUCACUAUUGCAAAUACUCCAAAUCGAUCUUCGAUUCAUGCAAUAAACAUCUAUCUAGCAUCAAUGGGUUCUACCAAAUCCAUUUCUAGAGCUUAAGAACAAAACCCUAAAAUUCUACCAUUGAAGAGCUCCAAGAAACUUACCUCUCUAAGCUUGUUCCAAGCACAAGAAGAAGAAAAUGAAGAUGGCUCUCCUCCUCCUUGCCUUUUUCUUCUUCCAUCCCUCCUCCUUGCUUUCUCUUUGAUGAGAGAGAGAGAGCUAUCCUAGAGAGAGAGAGAGCGUUAGGGUUGGGUUGAAGGAGAAAUGAGAGAAAGAGAGAGAGGCAACCCUCUCUUAACCCCCUCAUAUGUCCAAAUUGCAUAAAACCCCCUACACUUCUCACCUCUUGCACAGCCCUGCACUGGGCAGAUUCGGGCUACGGGGACCAGUCUCCCUACGGAGGGACCGGUCCCCGAGGGCAAAUCCUGCGGGCAGAGUCUGUCUGCCUAUUUUCACGCUUACGGGGACCGGUCCUCCCGCUGAGGGACCGGUCCCCGACAGCAAAACAUGUAGGCAGGCUCCUUCCUGCGAUUUCCCACGCAUACGGGGACCGGUCCUCCGGCUGAGGGAUCGGUCCCCGAGAGCAUAAUUCCUGCACUUACAGGAAUUCUCCAGCUUGCUCUCGGAGGCCUUCCUCAAUGCACUUUAGGCCUUCUCGAUGCCUUCGGCCUUUCCGAAGCGUCCCGAACUCACCUUCAAUCAAUUUAGAUCGAAGUUCCGGAUCUACACAUCGAGUUUUCAGGUCUUUACAAGAGUUUACUGGCUUCGAGUCCUAAUUCUAAUGAAGGAGAAGACCUUUCUGCCGUUAUAUCGGCUGACACUCAAUAAAAAUUGAAUGAGUGUUUAAAAUUGUAUAGUUAUGGUCUCCCUUCUUUGACUCGAAACAUAGAACAAUUCGAUCGGCUUGGAGUAUUGUUACUUGAUUUGGCAAACCAACCAGACCUUCCCCCUGCCGGUAAGUAUUUUGUGGAGACUUUGUCAUCUCAACUUUCUUCUUUUUUAUCUCGGCAACAGACUCUUUCUGCCGAGUUUCUAUCCCUAGAUCACUACUUCAAUCAGGUCAACCACUUCAAAAUGAAAAUUCCUGAAGUGGCGGCUCCGAUUACUGACUUGAGCCGAGAAGAUCAAACUUUAGAAAAUCAAGAUGCAGCCGAAUCGGCUUUAGCCUGAACUUCUGAGCGACGGACUCUCUUGCAAGACCAGCUGAAUGUCAAGAAGGAUAAAGGGGUGAAGCUUCAAGAUCGGCUUUCUCAAUUCUAUAAGCUGUAUCCCUUGAUGAAACGCAGGAGAAAAGCAGCUGAUGCUGUACAAGUAUAUUUAGAAACCGAAUGGAAUCAACUUAGAGAUUUAUUAUCUUGAUUCCAUUUUUAAUUCGGCUAUUGGCUGUAAUAUUUUAAUGUUCUUGACUCUAGCUCUAUUCAUCCCCCCAUAUAGAUGGGUAGUAUUCUUUAAAUAUUUUCCAUUAACUGGCUUAUCAUAUUCUGACCCAUCUAUAUUUUGUAAGUAAUAUGCAUUACCUCUUGUGACUUUGCUAACUUGAAAUGGUCCUUCCCAAUUUGGAGACCAUUUUCCGUACGCUCGGUCCUUUCGACCGAUUGGAAAUAUUAAUCUUAACACUAAAUCCCCAAUAGCAAAGGAUUUAGUCUUAACUUUUUUAUUAUACGCACUGCGUACUCGGCUCUGGUAAGCUUGUAAAUGGUCAAGUGCUAUCAGCCGAGUCUCAUUCAUUUCUUCUAGUCUUUCAGUCAUCAAAAUCUUAUAUUUACUUGCCGUUAGUUCCUUUUGUUUUUCUAUUCGUAAAGAAUGAGCUGUUAUCUCGGCUGUGUUGCGUGCCGAAUUCCCUGGUCCUUGACCUGGUCAAAGAUCCUCCUCGGGGAGCGUGUCGGAAUGAAAAACGGCUGUGGAUAGUAACCCUCGAAGUUUGCGCCCUUCGACUGGAUCAAGUGAUUCGGCUGACGAGGGAUCGGAUCAGCCAAGUUUGAAAACUCUCUUAAAGAUUUGGUUCGGCUGGAAUGAGCUGAAUGUACGGACCAACUACAGAUUUGACUCGGUAGAUGAGCCGAAUAGAAGAAACACACACCAGCUGGUCGGCUUGAAGAGCCGAAAGCCUUGGAAAUUAAGCUUGAGGAAAAAUACAAGGGUUCAGUGUGCCGAAUGGCAUACAGACUCGAUUGAUCUACUUAGGAACUACUCCUAGGAAAAAAUAGUAAAUACGGGAAAGUAAAAGUUACAAGUAGACUACUCCUAGAAAAUACAGAAAAUUACAAGGAAAUAAGGGCAGUCUUUUGUUCACAGGGAAAAGACCUCUUUUUAGGGCGUUAUUGGUUUAUUUAUAGAUCGCCCCUAUUGAUCAGUUAUUGCCUUUCCACGAUCGGCCACUAUUCCUGAUUCUUCGGACCACUUUCAACCGAUCGAAACCGCGUGCAACCGCUCGUGGUUGCUGUAACUUCCCUUGAUUUGUGCGGCAGUUUUGCUUAAAAAUCCUUCCGAUGCUCCCAGUGCACGUCAAGAUUAUUACUUUAAAUGGAAUAUCGGUGUACCACGUGUCCGCGCCUAAUUGGCUCAACAAUUGCCCCCUCGGCAGCUUCCAAAGUAACGCUUCGACAGCUGGCGUAAUCCGAGACGCGAUUAUUUUUCAAAUUCCUGGCACGGUUUUGUCUCAACCGUCCGUUUCUUUCUAUUGCUAAAAUCCCGCCAUCGCUUAACGCGAUCCGAGGCGUGGUUCUCGAUCCAAUCAGUUUCAAAUUCUCUGUACGAUUACGCCUCAGUAGCUGGCGUAAUCCGAGGCGCGAUCCUCGAUCCAAUUGAUUUCAAACCUUCUGUACGGUUUAGUUUCGGCCGUCCAUUUCUUUUCUACAGCCUCGAUCUCGCCGUUUAUUUUUGUCUUAUGUGCGGCAUUAAUUAGGUCAUCUUAAUUACCGCCAUCUAUUCAUCAUUAUAGCAGACCUCGGAACUCGCUUUGAUGCGACGAUUCGAUGCGACGACAAUCUUUUCUUCUUAGCCAAACUUCUCAUUCCCUUUUAUACUCAGACCUUGUCUCCUUCGCCUUUUUUUUGCUUCUCUUCGUCUUCUUCGCCCUCUUCUUCAUCUCUACUUUCCAGCCUGGCCUAUUUUCUUCUUCUUAUCGAUUCUUAGGGCUUCUUCUCCCUUCUUUAGCAAUGGCGCUGGUUCCAUCUCUUCCCUUUUCUUCGUCCUUAGAUUAUAACAUCUUUAGAAAACUCGCCAACUCAGACCCAUCUCGCUUCAUUUUAGAUCAUUCUUUUACAGACGAACCAACGCCUAGCGACUCCCCAUAUUCCAAUGAUGGCCUUCCAUUUUCAGCUAGAACUAUCCAGCUCUAAUCUUGGUAUUCAUCAGCUUCAACAGGCAAAAGUCUCCGAACCUGGCCAAGUGUUUCGGAUGCAUACCUGGCCUGGUUAGACCGGGUAGAAGUUACUUAUGGUGACUUUUGGCAGGAAGUCGGGAUCUAUGAAGCUAUUCGGCUAUCUCGGAAGCCUCCUGUAGCCGACAACCUUCUUUUGGCCUCUGCUCUCUGUUUCUGGUCCCCUGUCUCCAAUGUUUUUCUUUUCAAAGAGGACCUCUUACUCCGACUCUCUUAGAUGUACCUGGCAUUAUUGGUUUACGGCCUCAUGGAGUUACCUUCUCCAUGGCCUACAAUCCUGAUGACGUAUCUAACUUUGAGGUUCAUCUUGACCUCGCUGACUUGGCUUAUUCCAAGUUUCUCCGUAAAUUUGCAGGUGAAUCCCCUGCUCCUGUCACUAGGAAGGAACACACAGAGUUUCUCCUAUAUUGGUUGUGUCAUAAUCUCUUCUGUACUUGUUCGCAGAAGAUUAAUCGAGACUUUGUCCCAAUCGCCGUUGGUUUGACUAACGGCAAUAAAUUAGCUCUUGGGCCUUACUUUCUUGCUUUUGUUUAUAGGAAAAUUUUUGAUUCCAUCAAACCACUACCCUCUAGAGAUGGUGUAACGAUCAGUUCGGGUUGUGGUGUUUUCUGGUUUUUACAAAUGUUUUUGCAAAUUUAUUUUCCCAAUUUGUGCCGAAAUCCUUUGGAUACGGGUUCGGCUGCUCAUUUUGAUUCUUACGGGCUGGCUCUCGGCUGUCCUCCGCCACUAACUUCAGGCCACCGCUCUGAUUUUCUCUCUUAUUUUAAGAUGUUUUAUGAAUCUCGUCCUCAUUUUUCCAUUCAUUGGUCUUCAUUUGCUGACCGUGUCAUCGGCCCGCCUUGGCUUCUAGCAAGAUAUGAGGCCUUUCAAGGCGAACUUGCUUCUUCUCGUGCCGGCGAAUACUCAGAUGUUUGGUACUCUUUUUUGGCUACAAGGGAUUUGCACAUUGGUAUGAAAUCACGCUCGAAACUGUUGCCCAGUACUGAGGUUUAUUCUCCUCAGUUCGUAGCGCGUCAAUAUGGAUUUACCCAGACAGUCCCUGCUCCAGCCAAGUUCUUCACGACCAAUACUGCCAUUAAUCGACCCCCUACCAAGAGUGUAGCCGAAGCUGAUCGGAUCUCAGCUAUGGGGAAUCGCAUUCGCCGGUUUUUUAAAUUAGUAAGCUUUAGGCCGAAUUACACCAGGGUGGUAGGUUUCCGUUAUACGGUUACCUGGGAUCAUUUCGCCGAUCGCAUUUUUAGCUUAUCCGCGACACAGGCAUACCGUCAAAUCAUUCACCCAAUUGGUACAACUCUUACAUAUACCUAUUUUUCUUUUCUUUCUUAUAAAUUAAUUUCUGUUUACUUAUCUCCCAGAUAUAGCGGUACCCUCUUCGAUUGAUCCCGCUGCUCCAUUUGUCCCAAAAGAAGAACCGGAGGAUACUUCUGAUAUCCCGCCUCCUUCUUCUGUAAUACACUCUACUUUUCUUUUGAUUUUUCUUUUCUUAGUACAUCAAUGCUUACCUUUUCUUUAUUCACUCUUACUUGCAGUCGUUUUCAAUUUCUCCAUCGGUCCCAGCUUUAGAAAAAGGACCGAUUGAUCCUGAACAAACUACCCCUCCGCCGUUUCCAAAGCGGCGCAAGUCGGUCAUCAAGAGACCACGUUCGCAUUCCCAACAGGCCGAAGGCGCUUCUUCGGCUGAUGUUUUAGAGAAAAGGGCCGAAGAUAUACCUUCAGUUACGAUUCCAGAAGGAAGAGCCAAAGAAAUACCUUCGGCUGAUGUUCCGGAAGAAAGAACCGAAGUAGCACCUUUGGCUAGUGAACAAAGCUCUGUUUCUAACAAGCCGAUUAAGAUUGAGGUAAACCAAUUUAGUUACCUACACUCAAUCCUUUUGUUUCUUUAUCUAUUUAUCAUUUUCUCUUAACAAAACAGUCCUCUCCUGAAAGAGUCUAUUUUGCUCCUUCUUUGAAGACACAGAUGGAUAGGCAACUUCGCAGGGAGGCUCGCCCCAAAAAGAGACAAGAAAUAGAGAGAAAGAGGGCUGCUCAGGAAAUAAGCAAAACACUGCCGACAAGUGAUGCAGCACCACCUCUUUCCACUCCAAUGCCGACCACACAGGGGGAGAAUAUAAGUGCACCUUUAGAAGAGGGCUUUGAAGGAGUACGGACAGUGCCCCACUCGACCCAUAAAGCCUCGACAUCUGCUCUUGAAGACCCACUGCCUGCAAUUCUUCACUCUUUAUUAGUUUCGAGCCCCAAUUCCAAUGAAGGAGAUGAUUCGACUACAAUUGUGAUGUUGACAGACACUCGACAGAAAUUUGAUGAGUGUCUACAAUUAUAUAGUUAAGGUCACCCACCUUUGGCUCAGAACUCAGAACAGUUCGAUCGGUUAUUUGCCCUUUUGCUUGCUCUAGCCGAUCAAUCAGAUAUUUCUUCUGCUGCUAAGUGUUUUAUAGAGACAUUAUCGUCUCAACUUUCCUCUUUUUUAUCUCGACAACAAUCUUUAGGUGCCGAGCUUUUAUCUCUGGAUCAACAUUUUUCAUCAAAUUGAUCAUUUUAAGAAAACUAUCCCUGAAGUAGUGGAUCCUAUUACUGACGUAAGCCGAGAAGAUCAAGCUCUAGAAAACCAAGAAUCGGCUUUGCAACAGUAAAUUUCGGCUGUUAAGGAAGUGCUGGCUGCAGCCGAAUCAACUUUGGCUCAUACUUCUGAGCGUCGGCUCCAACUGCAGGAUCAAUUGAAGUUGAAGAAAAGCGAAGGGAUGAAACUUCAGGAACAACUUCCCAACUCUAUAAUGUGCAUCCCUUGAUGAAACGCAGGAGAAAAGCUGCCGAAACUGCUCAAGCCAACCUAAUAGUCGAAUGGAAUCAGCUAAGGGACUUAUUGUCUUGAUUCGGCUUGUAAUAUUUUAACUCUGAUUUUAUUCGCUUUCCCACAUGGAUAGAUAAUACCUCUUUAGAUAUUUUCCAUUGAUCAGUUUCUCAUUUUCCAACCCAUCUAUAUUCUUUAAGUAAUAUGCAUUUCCCUUUGUAAUUCUGCUAACUUGAAAUGGUCCUUCCUAAUUUUGAGACUAUUUUCCAUAUGCUCGGUCUUUUCGAUCGAUUGGAAAAAUUAACCUAAGAACCAAGUCACUAAUUGCAAAGGACUUAGGUCUUACCUUUUUAUUAUAUGCACCGCGUACUCGGCUUUGAUAAGCUUGCAAAUGGUUCAAUGCCAUCAACCGAGUUUCAUGAAUCUCUUCCAUCUCUUCAUUCAUCAACUUACUAUAUUGAUCAGCCGACAGUUCUUUCUGUUUCCCCACUCUUAACGAAGGAACUGUUAUUUCGAUUGGUAUCAUGGCUUCGUGGCCGUAUACUAAUUGAAACGGUGUCAUCCCCGUUGCCAUUUUUACUGAAGUUUGGAAUGCCCAUUGUAUUUCGGAUAGUUUUUCAUUCCAUUUCCUUGAAUAUUUUCCAAUAUGCCACUUCAUAAGAUUUAUAAUUACCUUAUUUGCUGUCUCGGCUUGUCCAUUGGCUUGGGCAUAAUAAGGUGACGAAUGGAGUAGCUUAAUCUUUCGAGAUUCAACGAACCGAACAAACUGUCCUCUUGUGAACAUUGUUCCUUGAUCAGUUGUAAUCGUAUCGGGAACUCCAAAACCAUGAAUUAUAGAAUCUUCAACAAAAUCAAUGAUUUCUUUUUGAGUGAUCAACCGAGCGGGUUUUACUUCUACCCACUUGGUAAAAUAAUUAACAGCCACUAUAAAAAACUUAUGACCAGCCGAAGAAUUCGGCUGAAUUUUUCCAAUUAAAUCCAUAUCCCAUCCUCGGAAAGGCCAAGAUUUAAUUAUCGCAUACAUCUCAGAGGCAGGAACCCUCUGUAUUGAGCCAUGGAAUUGACAAUCUCGACAACCUUUAGCAUAUUCUAUGCAAUCUUGAUGCAUAGUAGGCCAAUAAUAUCCUAAAUGCCGAAUGGUCCAUCUUAGUCUUUUUCCUGCUAAAUGGGCUCUACACAAACUUUCGUGUGUUUCUCCCAUCACUAAUAGAGCUUCUUCAGGCCCUAAGCACUUUAAUAAUACUUUUUCGGCUGUUCUCUUAUAAAGCUGUCCAUUUAAUAAACAAUAGCCGAGUGCUUUUCUUCGAAUAUUAUAAUCGGCCCUUUUAUUGGGGUCUUCUAAAUAUUCGAUUAUUGAUCUUCUCCAAUCUUCUUUCGCCUCUAUGGGGGCAAUAAUCGGCUCUUGAAGAUGAACCGAAGGUAACAAUCUGCGCUCUAUUUUUACCAGACUCUUCUUCGGCUCUUUAUACCCUGAAGCCGAUUGAGCUAAUUCAUUAGCCUUUUCAUUUUCCUCUCUUGCUAAGUGCUCAAACUCAACCUCUCCGAAACUACAAAGUAAUUCUAUCGUCUUUCUCAGGUAACUUUGCAAAUUUUGAUUUUCGCAUCGGUAUUCUCCGUUGACUUGUUUAAUCACUAACUGCGAAUCUCCGAUGACCUUGAGUGAGCGAACUCCCAAUUCUUGUAAGAUUUCAAGGCCAAUUAUUAAGGCCUCGUAUUCGGCUUGAUUAUUGGAACAGCCGAAAUCUAAUUCAAAAGCAAACUGAUAAGUAUAUCCUUCAGGAGACUGUAUAACUACUCCAGCUCCCGCGGAUUCGGCUGUUCUUGAGCCGUCAAAGUAAAGCAUCCAAGGUUGACAGCCGAUCAAAUUUUGCUUCGGCUCUUCAAUUUCGACACAUGGAUGAUCAGCUAGAAAAUCAGCUAUCGCUUGCCCUUUAACAGCUUUUGCUGGAACAUAAUUAAGAGAAAAUUCGGAUAAAGCCAGUAUCCACUUUCCGAUUCAACCCCUUAUCACUGGCUUAGAUAACAUAUACUUCACUAGGUCGGUUUUGCAUACUACCGACACUUCGGUUGGUAAAAUAUAAUAUCUUAAUUUUGUACAAGCAUAAUACAAGGCUAAACAUAAUUUUUCGAUUACCGAAUAUCGUUUUUCGGCAUCUAAUAAUUGCCUAUUUAAGUAAUAAAUGGCAUGUUCUUCUUUUUCUUCAUUCUCUUAGGCCAACAAGCAUCCUAAAUUUUCCUCUGCAGCCGAAAUAUAUAGUUUCAUCAGCUGUCCUUGCUUAAGAGGCAUAAGGACCGGAGGAUUUGAUAAAUAUUUCUUUAUAUUUUCAAAAGCUCCUCGUUGUUCCUCUGCCCAAAUAAAUUCUUCUUUAUUUUUAUGCCGAAGUAAUGGAGUAAAGACUCCUAUUCUACCGGCCAAAUUUGAUAUGAAUCGCCGCAAAUAAUUGAUUUUUCCCAAUAAACUCUGUAAUUCUUUUUUACUCUUUGGUGGCGGUAAUUCCAAUAUAGCUUUCGCCUUGUUUUUAUCAAUCUUGAUCCCUUUUUUGUGCACCAGGAAUCCCAGGAAAUUAUCUGGCGAAACUCCAAAAGCACAUUUCAUAUGACUCAUUUUCAAAUUAUACUUUCUCAUCCUUUCAAAAGCAAGCCUUAAAUUUUCCCAAUGUUCGGCUUGUGAUUCGAAUUUCACCACUAUAUCAUCGAUGUAGACCUCCAACAUUUUGCCGAUCAAAUCAUGAAAAAUAAAAUUCAUUGAUCUCUGAUAAGUAGCUACGGCAUUUUUUAAAUCGAAUGGCAUGACUACCAACUCAAAGGUCCCAAUAGACCCCGGGCAUCUGAAAGCCGUUUAGCUACAUCUUCUUCGGCAAUAAAAAUUUGAUUAUAAUCGGCAUGUCCGUCCAUAACGGACAGGAUUUCAUUACCGGCAGCCGAAUCUACUAACAUAUUGGCUAUUGGUAUUGGAUACUCAUCUUUAGGUGUAGCCAAGUUUAAGUUCCUAAAAUCAAUGCAAACCCUAAGUUUGCCAUUCUUUUUUCGUACUAGAACUAUAUUGGAUACCCAAUCAACAUAACGAGCCGCUCUAAUAAAACUGACCUUCAAAAGAUUUUCAAUUUCAUUCUUAAUUUGAAGUACAAUACUCGGCUCAAACCUACGAGCCGGCUGUUUGUAAGGUUUGUACCCUUUUUUAAUAGGUAGCCUAUGUUCUACAAUUUUUUGGCUUAAACCUGACAUUUCUUCAUAGCUCCAGGCGAAGCAGUCCUUGUACUCCAAAAGCAAUACUUUCAGCUCCUCCUGUUGUUGAGCUGAAGGCCUGGCACUAAUAUAAGUCGGUCGCUUAUCUUCGUCGGAUCCUAAGUUCAAAUUAGUGGAUCCUGAGUUUCCAAUUUCUUCUCAUCGACUUUGAUAGGCGAUUCUUCUAAGUUCAAUUCGGUUGUUCGCCUUCUUAAUUCAUCUGAUAUCUCUUUAUUGGCUUCUAGAACCGAUUUCACCAUAUCAUCAUCGGCCAUUUCGACCGUAUUGUUGCAUAUCACUUCAUCAACCUGAUGGGCCGAAUCACUCACAUAGUCGAUCUUGUUGAUCGACUCUUCUUGUCGAAGCUCUUCUAAAGCCUCGGUUCGUGAUUCUUGACAUUCCAUUUUAACCAGCUUGGUGGCUCUUCGGCUGCCACCAUAGCUCUUUCAUCUUUCGUGAGGAUCAGUUGUACUCCUUCUUCAGUUACCCUCACAAAGGAUAUCUGGUCCGGGUCAAUAUCAGCCCAAUUGAUGUGGCCGAUUCCUUCUGCAUUGAUGUCUACUAUUUGGCCGCCCUUCGGCCCGGAUUUCUUCAACUUUAUCUCCUAUCCAUUGGAAUAGCUUUCCAUGGAGUAUGGAAGGUACGCAUUCAUUUGCGUGAAUCCAAUCUCGCCCGAGUAGCGGGUUGUAAUGGCUAUCUGUAUCAACCAUAAAAAAUGCAGUUCGUAGAGUUUUAGAACCUACCGUAAUCUCGGUUGUAAGGACUCCUCGAGCUUGUUGACCGCUCCUGGUGAAGUCGGUCAUGAUUGUGUCGGUGGGCUUCAACUCGUCCUUGCCCUUGCCCUAUUUCCUGAAAAAUGAAGUGGGCAUAACGUUGACCAUUGCUCCACCAUCUAUCAUGACUUGGCCUACUGGCCGACCUUCUAUUAAGGCCCGUAUGAACAGAGGCCUCACAAAUCUUGUCUGCAUGGCCGAAGGUUUCUCGAAAACCACUGAAUUGGCCGGUUUGACAUCUUCUAGUUGCAAUUGAGCCACUGCGAGCCCAAUUUCUUCAUCCACAAUCUCCUCAUACUCAGUAUACUCUGCUUUAAAAUCUUCCUCCUUUCCCAGGGUUUCGGCCAGGGCUGUAUGCCGAGCUCGUUGACUAAUCUUCGACCAAGGAAUUCUAUGUCUCCCUCGGUCAUCCCUUCGAACUCCGGUUCUGGCCUCGGCCUGGCUUGUUGCUGCCAGUGUGGCCGAUACCCAGGAAAUCUCUAUUUUGAGCUGAAUGGUUUCUCUGGAUAACUCCAUCGGCUUUGAUGUACCUCUCUUCUGCUAUUGUAAUAAUCGAGCAGGACUUUCUGUAUCAAUAAAUCCUUCUUGUUUUGAACCGAAUCAACUUCUGGUUCAGAUUCAUUGGAGGCUUCGUCUGAGUCAUCCUCUGACUUGUCAUCUCCUUCAGGAAUUUCUUCCCCCUCCUCCGGAAAGGCCAUCAUCUCUCUCCAUUCAUUGCUCUUUUUCUUUUCGUUGAUGAUGACUUCCCAAUCUUUCUUUGUCAUUUCGGCUUUGCAUCUUAUACAGAGCCGAAGAGUUCUCUUUACGUAUGCGACAUGUUCAGCGGUCUUCUUGUCCGCGGUUGCCUUUCCCUUAACAUCCACCAUGUUAACCUGCGAUGGAAAAGGAUUUUUGUCAAUUUUCAUAUUUUUGUUUCCUUGGUCGGCAAAUAUGAGCCGACAUUCAUUUAUCUUUUUUUGAAUCUGCCUCUUGAAGGUAGUACAUUCAUUCAUUUUAUGACUCCAUGAAUGGUGCCAUUUACAAUAUUUUCUUCUUUUCAAUUCUUCUACAGGGGGUAUGGUCUGACCCUCAUGUAACUUAAUUCGUUCAUCUUUUAAUAACCGAUCAAAGAUUAGAUCGGUCUUUGAAACGUCAAACGAAUAAAUAUGUGCCGAAACGCGUGCUUUUGCCUCAUUUGAUUUAACAGGUUUCAGCAAAGCACAUUUGUAUGGUUGGCGGUUUCUAACCAUCUCGGCUGCAUAUAUUUCGGCUUCAUUAGCCGAGUCAUCAUUUUCUUCAGACGAAUUCGGCUCCUCAUGAGCCGAAGACUCUUCAAGGAAAGAAACAUUUUUCUCCUUCCCUUUAUUCCAGUCUUUGUUUCGGCUUCACCUGGACCAAUCCUCAUUAUUUUUCUUUCGGAAUUGCUCAUAUUGAGCAACCCGAACUCCCAAAUCAAAUAGAUUUGAAAAAUAUUUAUCUUCAAAGUGAUCCUUUAUUUUGAAGUGUAAGCCGUUGAAUGCCAUUUUGGCAAAUUCAGAUUCCGGCAUUCUCACAAAACAACGGCUCCUAGCCGUUUUAAAUCAGUUCAAAUAUUUUUCAACCGAUUCGCCUGUUCUCUGUUUGAAUUGAGCUAAAUCGACAACCGAUAAUUCCGGUUCUGUUCUAUAAAAUUGUUCAUGAAACUUUCCUUCUAAUUUGUCGCAAUCUCGGACGGAAUUAGCCGGUAGACUUGUAUACCAAGUGAAAACUGCCUUGGUUAAUGAAGUGUUAAAUAAUCUUAAUUUUAAAAAUGGAUCUGCCGCAGCCUCUCGGCAUUGUGCUGUAAACCGUGCAACAUGCUCGACCGUAUUUUCGGUCUCAUCUCCGAAAAACUUGUCAAACAUCGGCAUUUUUCAGUUUACCGGGUAAGGAUGUUCUGCAUCAAUGUUUGCCGGAUAAGGAGAUCUAAACACAGGCCGCAUUGCCGGCCUUGCGCCUACUCGAAAAGUAUUUCGGAUGGCUUCCUUAAUCUGUGCAUAUAUUUCAUUAUUGUUCCCUAAUACGGGAACUUGCGCUUGUGCUAUACUCGGUCCUUGUGGUAGACCGAAAUUUUGUACUACAGGAUUUACUCCUUAUAUAUUCGGAGCCUACCCCCUAGCCCCUACAUUUUGGGGUUGGUAUGCUGCUACUGGUGGAGGAGGUGGUAACCUCCAUGCUAUCUCUGGCUGUUGUCCGGCAUUAACAACAGCCGAUCUAUAAGCCACUUGAAAUGGUGCCCCCUGGUAUUAGGGCUGACCAUUUGCCGGUGUUAUAGGAUUUUGUAACACAGGCGUCAUCACAGACCCUUGCAAGCCUGUUGCUGGUUGCUCGUUUCGAGUCAACAAUUGCCCUAUUCGGGCAAUAUUCUCAUUCGAGGCUGUAAUUACGGCCAAUACUGCAUCUAAACGUGCAGUAUUUCUAUGACUAUUCUGGUCCAAAACUUAUAGGACCUGAGUCAUUUGUCCAAGCGCCUGAAACAAACUAGGCUCCUGUUGGUCUGAUUGACCACAGUCUCACCCUCAGCAGGUAAGACCGCUUGGCGUUCCCCAGCGUUAUCCGAAUUCCUGGGUUGUUGAUCGCUGAUCGCUCCCAAAACUUCUAGGAAUGACCCUAUUACGUAGGUUCAUGGAGUUAUCAUCAGCCAUUAUAUCUUGAUAAAUAAAAAAUUACUUUAAUCAGGUCCCACUGGGCGUGCCAAAAAUUAUUGGGUGCCGAAUUUCCUGGUUCUUGACCUGGUCAAAGAUCCUCCUCGGGGAGCGUGUCGAGAUGAGAAACGGCUGCGGAUAGUGACCCUUGAAGUUUGCGCCUUUCGACUGGAUCAAGCGAUUCGGCUGACGAGGGAUCGGAUCAGCCGAGUUCGAAAACUCUAUUAAAGAUUCGGUUCCGCUGGAAUGAGCCGAAUGUACGGACCAGUUACAGAUUUGACUCGGUAGAUGAGCCGAAUAGAAGAAACACACACCAGUUGGUCGGCUUGAAGAGCCGAAAGCCUUGGAAAUUAAGCUUGAGGAAAAAUACAAGGGUUCAGUGUGCCGGAUGGCAUACAGACUCGAUUGAUCUAUUUAGGAACUACUAGGGAAAAACAGUAAAUGCGGGAAAGUAAAAGUUACAAGUAGACUACUAGAAAAUGCAGGAAAUUGCAAGGAAAUAAGGGCGGUCUUUUGUUCACAGAAAAAAGACCUCUUUUUAGGGCGUUAUUGGUCUAUUUAUAGAUCACCCCUAUUGAUCAAUUAUUACCUUUCCACGAUCGGCCACUAUUCCUGAUUCUUCGGACCACUUUCAACCGAUCGGAACUGCGUGCAACCGCUCGCGGUUGCUGUAACUUCCCUUGAUUUGCACGGCAGUUUCGUUUAAAAAUCCUUCUGAUGCUCCCAGUGCACGUCAAGAUUGUUACUUUAAAUGGAAUAUCGGUAUACCACGUGUCCGCGCCUAAUUGGCUCAACAGGCUGAAAAUGAUGUACUAUAAAAUCUUCCACGAAAUCUAUAAUCUCCUUCUGAGUGACCAACCUAGCAGGUUUACUUCUACACACUUAGUGAAGAAAUCAACAGUAACUAUCAAAAACUUAUGACCAGCCGAGGAAUUCGGCUGAAUUUCUCCAAUUAAAUCCAUAGCCCAACCUCGGAAGGGCCAAGGUUUAAUUAUUGUAUACAUCUCGAAAGCAGGGAAUCUUUGCACAGAGCCAUGGAAUUGACAAUCCUGACAUCCUUUGGCGUAUUUUAUACAAUCUUGAUGCAUAGUCGGCCAAUAAUAUCCCAAGUGUCGAAUUGUCCAUCUCAAUCUUUUUUCUGCUAAAUGGGCUCCACACAAGAGCCUUCAUGAAUUUCUCCCAUAACCAACAAGGCUUCUUUAGACUCUAAAUAUUUUAAUAAUACUUCUUCGGCUGUUCUCUUAUAGAGUUGUCAAUUUAAUAGACAAUAGCCGAGAGCCCUAUUUCGAAUAUGAUAUUCGACCCGCAUAUUAGAGUCUUCUAAAUACUCAAUUAAAGGCUUUCUCCAGUCCUCCUGGAUUUCCACAAGAGCAAUUAUUGUCGGCUCUCGUAUAUGAACCGAUGGUAAUAAUCUUCACUCUACUUUCACUUGAUCUUGUCUCGGCUUUUUAUACCCUGAAGCUGAUUGAGCUAGUUCAUUAGCCUGUUUAUUCUCUUCUCUCGUCAGGUGUAUAAACUCAACUUUUCUGAAACUACAAAGUAAUUAUAUUGUUUUCUCCAAGUAAUUCAGCAAAUUUCGAUUUUCACAUCGGUAUUCUCUAUUUACUUGCUUGAUUACUAAUUGUGAAUCACCGAUGACUUUGAGUGAGCGUACUUCUAAAUUAAUCUUAUAAAAUUUCCAGGCUGAUUAUUAAAGCCUCAUACUCGGCUUGAUUAUUAGAACAAUUGAAAUCUAAUUCAAAAGCGAAUCGAUGCAUAUAUCCUUCAGGAGAUUGUAUAACCACCCCGACUCCUGAGUAUUCGGCUGUUUUUGAACCAUCAAAAUAAAGUGUCCAAGGCUAGCAGCCGACUAGACUUUUCCUCAGCUCUUCGAUCUUGACACAAAGAUGAUCGGCUAAGAAAUCAGCUAUUACUUGCCUCUAGACAGCUUUUGUUAUGACAUAAUUAAGAGAGAAUUCAGACAAAGCCAGCAUCCAUUGUCCAAUUCGCCCUCAUAGUACAGGCUUCGAUAACAUAUAUUUUACUAAGUAUGUUUUACAGAUCACUGACACUUCUAUCGGUAAAAUAUAAUAUCUCAAUUUUGUACAGGCAUAAUAUAAUGCAAGACACAAAUUUUCAUUUGCUGAAUAUCGUUUUUCGGCAUCCAACAAACGCCUGCUAAGGUAAUAGAUGGUUUGUUCUUCUUUUUCGUGAUUUUUCUGUACCAAUAAGCACCCUAAAUUUUCUUCUGCAGCCGAUAUGUACAACUUCAUUGGCUGGCCUUGCCUAGGAGGCAUAAGGACUGGAGGAUUCGCUAAAUACCUUUUUAUAUUUUCAAAUGCUUCUUGUUGUUCCUUUUUCCAACUAAAUUCUUCUUGAUUUUUAAGCCGAAGCAAUGUAGUGAACACUCAUAUUCUACCGGCUAAGUUUGAUAUAAAGUGUCGCAAAUAAUUAAUUUUUCCUAAUAGACUUUGUAACUCCUUUUUAUUUUUUGGUGGCGGCAAUUCCACUAUAGCUUUAACUUUAUUUUUAUCAAUUUCAAUCACUUUUUUGUGUACUAGAAAUUCAAAAAAAUGUCCUGCUGAAACUCCAAAAGCACACUUUAAAGGAUUCAUUUUCAAAUUAUAUUUUCUCAUUCUUUCAAAGGCAAGUUCUAAGUGUGCCCAAUGAUCAGCUUGUGAUUUUGAUUUUACAACGAUAUCGUCGAUGUAAACUUCCAACAUUUUGCCGAUCAAAUCAUGAAAAAUAAAAUUCAUUACUCUUUGGUAAGUAGCUCCAGCAUUUUUUAAGUCGAACGACAUAACUACCCAUUCGAAAGUCCCAAUAGACCCUGGGCAUCUAAAAGCCGUUUUAGCUAUAUUUUCUUUGGCAAUAAAGAUUUGAUUAUAACUUGCAUGCCGUCCAUAAAAGACAGGAUUUCAUGCCUGGCUGCCGAAUCCACUAGCAUAUCAACUAUUGGCAUUGGGUAUGCAUCUUUAAGCGUAGCUAUAUUCAAGUUCCUAAAAUCAAUGCAAACUCUAAGCUUGCCAUUCUUUUUCCGCACUAGAACUAUAUUAGACACCCAAUCCACAUAACGGACCGCUCUAAUAAAGCCGGCCUUUAAUAAGUUCUCGAUUUUAUUCUUAAUUUGGAGUACAAUACUCGGCUCAAAUUUAUGAGCCGGUUGUUUGUAAGGCCUAUAUCUCUUUUUAAUAUGGAGCCUAUGCUCUACAAUUUCUCGGCUCAAACCUGACAUCUUCUCAUAAUUCCAGGCGAAGCAGUCUUUGCAUUCUGUUAACAACUCGUUUAGCUUCUCCUGCUGUUGAGUCGAAAGUCUAAAACUGAUGUAAGUCGGCCGCUUAUCUUCAUUGGACCCCAAAUUUACUUCUAUCAAGGGAUCUUGGGUCUCCAACUUCUUGUCGCUGACCUUGAUAGGUAACUCCUCUAUCGAUUCCUUCAUAGUUUUUUGAGUUUUUGAGCCGUUUUCGUCGUUAGACUCGGUUGCUUUCCGAGUCAUAUAAUCUUUAUUCGGCUCAACUGUUGCAUUUGUUAAUUCAUUAGACAUUUCCUUAUCGGCCCCCAUGGCCGAUUUUGUAAUCAAGUUAUAUUCGGCCUGCUUGGGUGUUUUGAUGCAUGCCACUUUAUCGGCCUGAUCAGUCGAUUUACUCCAAUAGCCGACCUCCUUGGUCGGCUUAUUUAGCCGAAGCUUUUCUAAAGCUUCGGUUCCUGACUCUUGGCGUUCCAUUUCAACCAACUUGGUGGCUCUUUGGAUGCCACCAUGGCUUCCUCAUCUUUCAUGAGUAUUAAUUGAACUCCUUCAUCGGUCACCCGAAUAAAGGAAAUUUGAUCUAGAUUGGUCUCGGCCCAAUUGAUAUGGCUAAUUCCCUCUGAAUUAAUAUCCACCAUUUGAGGCCGCCCCUCGGCCCGAAUUUUCUCCACUUUGUCUCCUAUCCAUUGAAAUAGCUUCCCGUGGAGUGUCGAAGGUACACACUCGUUUGUGUGAAUCCAAUCAUGCCUAAGCAACAAGUUGUAGUGGCUAUCUGCAUCCACCACAGAAAAGGCUGUUUAGGUUUUAGAUCCUACCGUAAGUUCGGUUGUGAGCAUUCCUUUGGCCUGUUGACCGCUACCAGUGAAGUCGGUCAUCAUUGUGUCGGUAGGCUUUAAUUCAUCUUUACUUUUGCCCAAUUUUUUUAAUUGCCCAAUUUUUUUAAAAAAAUUGGGCAUGACAUUGACCAUUGCUCUGCCGUGCACCAUUACUCGGCCUACUGGCUGACCUUCUAUCAAGGCCCUUAUGAACAGGAGUCUCACAAAUCUUGUCUGCAUUGUCGAUAGUUUUUUGAAAAACCACAGAAUCGACUGCCUUGGCGUCUUCUAGCUGAAGUAUAGCCACCGUGAGCUCAUCUUCCUCAUAUAUUGCUUCUUCAUAUUCGAUUGACUCUACCUUAAAUGAUUGAGGCAGAGUAUAUACCAUAUUCACAUCGGCUGGACGUUCAUUAUCCGAUUUUUAUUGUAUCUUUUGUUUCUUUUCUUCCGAUCCCCUUGCCAUCUCGGCUGAGGAAUCACUUUCCAUGCAUCCCUCUCUUUCCUUAGGAGGCCAUCUAUCGUGCUUGAUUAUGGUCUCCAAAGAGGCUAUUUUUUCUUCUAACUCCUUUCGGGUUACUUUCUUCUCCAGUUCGGCCGAGAUUGGCCGUUCUAUUUUUUAUUUUAACCAGGGGAUAGGUGUCGAACCACCUCCCUCAUGAUCAUUCCUCAUUGGCCGGAAGAAAGGUUGUUGUUCAUUAGGUCACCGCCACACAUUCAAUUUCAACCCUUUAGCUUCCUCAUAAUAUUGUUUCGCUUCGGCUUGCAAUCUCUGCUGCCGAUGCUUCUGAGUCUUUGUUAAUAUCGGCCUCUUCCAUUUGGCCGAUACUUUUGCUUCGUGUCAUUAAUCGAUUGGCACAUUUGCUGGUACCUUUACUGUUCUGAGAUGAUUUCUCAGGAUCUCUCUUCUUUCUCAACGUCUCAGCCAAGGCUAAAUGCCGAGUUUAUUAACAAACCUUUGACCGAGGAAUUCUAUGUCCUCCUCGGUCAUCCCUUCAAAUUCAGGUUCAGGUCUCAGCUUGGCCUGGUGCUGCCAGUUUGGCCGAUAUUCUGGAAAUCUUUGUUUAGAGCCGAAUGGUUUCUCAGGAUAACUCUAUCGGCUAGUGCGCUCUUCUCUUCGACUGNAUGCCGAGUUUAUUAACAAACCUUUGACCGAGGAAUUCUAUGUCCUCCUCGGUCAUCCCUUCAAAUUCAGGUUCAGGUCUCAGCUUGGCCUGGUGCUGCCAGUUUGGCCGAUAUUCUGGAAAUCUUUGUUUAGAGCCGAAUGGUUUCUCAGGAUAACUCUAUCGGCUAGUGCGCUCUUCUCUUCGACUGUUGUAAUAGUCGUUCAAGACCUUUGGAAUUAAUAGGUCUUUCUUGCCUUUCACUGAAUCAACUUCUUGUUUAGAUUCAUUGGAGGUUUCCUCCGAGCCUUCCUCCGAUUUGUUCUCUGCUUCGGGAAUGUCCUCCCACUCCUCGGGAAACGCCAUGAACUCUCUCCAUUCACCGUAUAACUUCUUUUCGUGAAUAAUCGCUUCCCAAUCUUUUUUAGUCAUUUCGGCCUUGCACCUUAUGCAUAGCCGUAGCGUCCUCUUGGUAUGUGCAAUACCAUCAUUAGUCUUUCUAUAUGCAGACACCUUCCCUUUAAUGUCUGCCAUAUUAACCUACGAAGGAAAACGAUUUUAGUCAAUUUUCAUAUUUUUGUUUCCCUUAUCGGCAAAUAUGAGUCGACCUUCAUUUAUUUUCUUUUGGAUCUGCCUUUUAAAGGCAGUACACUCAUUUGUUCUAUGGCUCCAUGAGUGGUGCCAUUUACAAUAUCUUCUCAUUUUCAAUUCUUCUCCGAAAGGUAUAAUUUGACCAUCUUGAAGCUGAAUUCGUCUAUCUUUUAACAACCGAUCAAAAUCAUAUCGGUCUUCAACACAUCGAAAGAAUAGGUAUAUGUUGCCACUCGAGUCUUUGCUUCGCUGGAUUUAGCAGGCUUUAGUACAGCACACUUAUAUGGUUGACUAUUUUUUAUCAUUUUUGCCGCAUAUAUUUCGGCUUCAUUAGCCAAAUUCUCUAUUUCUUCGGACGUGUCCGGCUCAUCUUGAGCUGAAGAUUCUUCAAGAAAAGAAAUAUUUUUCUCUUUCCCCUUAUUCCAUUCUUUAUUUCGGCUCCAUCUAGGCUGAUCUUCAUUAUUUCCUUUUCUAAAUUGCUCAUAUUGAGCAACCCGAACUCCCAAAUCGAACAGAUUCGGAAAAUACUUGUCUUCAAAAUGGUCUUUAAUUUUGAAAUGUAGACCAUUGAAUGUCAUUUUGGCAAAUUCGGAUUCUUGCAUCCUCACAAAACAAUGGCUUCUUACCAUUUUGAAUCGGUUCAAAUAUUUCUCAACCGAUUCCCCUGUUCUUUAUCUAAACUGGGCCAGAUCAGCAACCGAAAGUUCCGACUCUGAUCUAUAAAACUGUUCAUGAAAUUUUUUUUCCAAUUUGUCUCAAUCUCGGACAGAAUUGGCUGGCAAACUCGUAUACCAAGUAAAUGAAGUCUUGGUUAACGAGGUAUUAAAUAACCUAAGUUUCAAGAAAGGAUCGACCGCAGCUUCUCGACAUUAAGCCGUAAACUGUGCAACAUGUUCGACUGUAUUUUCAGUCUCGUCAGCCGAAAAUUUGUCAAAUUUCAGUAUUUUCCAGUUUGCCGGAUAGGGAUGUUCCACAUCUAUAUUUGCAGGGUAAGGGGAUCUGAAUACAGACCGCAUUGCCGGCCUCGCUCCGAUUCCGAAAAUAUUUCGGAUGACUUCCUCAAUUUGGGUAUAGAUUUCAUUAUUGUUCCCUUAUAUGGGAACAUGAGCCUAUGCUUGAAUCGGGUUCGGUCCUUGUGGUAAUCCAGCGUUUUGCGCUGUAGGGCUAACUCCCUGCAUAGCAGAAUUCGAGGCUUGCCCCCCAGGUCUAGCCCCUACAUUUUGGGGCUAAUAUGUUGCCAAUGGCGGUGGAGGAGGUAAACCCCAGGCUAUCUCCGAUUGUUGACCAGCAUUUAAAACAGCCGGUCUAUAAGCCACUUGAAAGGUGCCCCCUGGUGUUGAGGUUGACCACUCACCGGUGUUACAAGAUUUUGUAAUACCGGUGUAACCAUAGGUCCUUGUAGACCUACUAUAGGCUGCUCGUUUCUUGUCAGCAAAUGCCCUAUUCGAGCAAUAUUCUCAUUAAAGGUCGUAAUUGCGGCCAGCACUGCAUCUAAACGAGCAGUGCUUCUGUGACUAUUUUGGUCCAGUACUUGCAGGACCCAUGUUAUUUGUCCAAGCGCUUGAGCCAAACUUGGCUCUUGUUGGUCAGAUGGACCACUAGCCUCACCUUCAGCUGGUAAAGUUGCUUGGCGCUCACCUGCAUUAUCAAAACUGCUGGCUUGGUCAUUCCCGAAAUUUCGAGGAACGACCCUAUUACGCAAAUUCAUGGCAUUAUCAUCAGCCAUAGUUCCUGUAAGAAAAGAAAUUUACCUAAAUGUGUCCCACCGGGCGUGCCAAAAUUUGUUAUGAGCCAAAUUCCUCCGCCGUUGACCUGGUCAAAGGCCUUCCUAGGGAAACGUGCAGGAACUAGAUCCGGCUUCAGAUGGUGAUCCUUGAAGCUUGCGCCCUCUGACGGAUCAAGCAAUUCGGCUGAUGAGGGAUCGGAUCAGCCGAGAUCGAAAACCCUUGCUGUAGAAACAAGUUCGGCUGAAUGAGCCGAAUAGAUGAAAUACACAGCACUUGGUCGGCUGAAAGAGCCGAAUGCCUUUAUAUAUUGCAAUUAAAUCUGGGAACUUGUACAAACGCGAGUGUGCCUUCGGGCCAUAUAGACUCCGGGAUGUCAGGUCCUAUGUGUUGGCAAGUUUUGUGGGUCGAGUCGGAGUCUUGAAGAAGUUCGGAGCAGAGUAUUGAAGAUCGAAGAAUCCAAGACUUCGAAGAAUCGGAAAGGACGCAAAACAUGCAAAACUUGAAUCACGAUGCGUAGGUAAGUUUUAAAUCUUGUUUAUGGUGAUUCAUACUUAUUUAUAGAUCUUAGAAUCAUAUUUCAAGUUUGUAAUUGAUUAGAAAGUUUUUAAGAGUUUGUAAAACCGAAACAAUGCAUUUUUCACGCGAAAAUUGCAUUGCUGUACCGGACAAGGAUUUUUCUGUCCAGGGUACAGCCAUCAGAGUUGCGCAGAGAAGUUGAUGGUUGUUCUGGUACAACCUUCAUGCUGUACCGGUACAUACAAGCCCGUUCCGGAACAAGCUGAAGCUUAUCCAGGGUACAGGAGCUUCGCAGAAAUCUUCGUCAUGGUUACCCUGGACAGCUUUCCAUUGUUCCGUACAAGGUGCUGAUUUUGGAAAGAAACUUUAUAAUUCUACUCCGUUUUGAAUUCUAAAGUUAAUCGUGAUUCAAGUUUGGCAUGUUUUGGCGUCCUUUCCGAUUCUUCGAAGUCUUGGAUUCUUCGAUUCAUAUACUCUGCUCCGAAUUCUUCAAGACUCCGACUCGACCCACGAAAACUUGCGCACACAAUAGGACCUACCAAUCUCCCCCUUUGGCAAUUUCGUGACAAACACCAUAAACUCACAAAUUAACAAUCUAAAGAAAAACGAAGUUCAAUGUCAUCACCAAAACAUACGAGACUCCCGUCGCGUGUAAUCCAAAUAACAAUUGAAAACUCAAAAUUACAUCAAAACUCCUAAAACACAGACUCUAUGACUAGACACAACAUGAGAGUUCUGAAGUAUCUUGAUUUCUGCAAAACACUUCAUUCAAAAUGAUUGAGCACUAAAUUCAAUACCUUCUCACCCUUUGUUCACAUCUCCCCUUUGUUCUUGAACUCAUCAUCCUCAUGCUUCAGUUCAAUCGGUUCAUCCAUGCUUCCCCCUUCAUCUAAGUUCAUUUCUGUUCAUCCAUGCUCUCCCCCUUCAUCUACGCUCUCCCCCUUUUCGUCAAAAAUUGCCAAAGAAAAGCAAAUAAGAGAGAAAACAUACUUAAGAAAAACAAUGAGAGUAGUCUAGUCUAUAGUUAAAGGCCUAAAACAAAAGUAAAACAUACUACAGAAAGAUAAGAAGGAAAUCUAAAACACGUCGUCCUAAACUCAAAUGCAGUGAAAGAAAAAGACUAAGCUCGACGAAAGAAAUCACUUCCGUGUCCUCAUCCAUCACAUCAUCAUCUUCAGCACCAGCUCCAGAGCCUCCAGCCUCAGGAGCAUCACCAGACGGUGGAAUGAAAGAUGUCUGUGAAGAUGACCGCUGAUACGAAGUAGAAGAUGGAGUAGGUUCCCAAAUAUAUCAUGUCUAACCCAUCUUAUCCAUUCAACCUUUUGAUACUCUAACUCAAACUUUUGAUGCUUGAACUCAACUUUCCUUCCAAUGUUGUUCACCUUUCUUUAACUUUCGGCAAAUCUUUCUAACUGAUUCGAAUGCUCGCUUCCCCCGAACUAGAUGAAGUGUCAUAAUUCCUCGAGAUGUAGGCGGAAGGAGCAGAGCUAGAAGCUGCUCUCGGUGGAGGUGCUGGAUCUAGAUGCUUCAGGAGGUGCUUCUUUGGUCUGCAUGAACUGACUUGAGAGUGCUAAACAGACUUAGCCCAAGUCACUGAGUCAAUAGGCCCAAGGCCAACAUCAUAUUUGUCACAAAGAUGUAUCCACUCCCAUUUGCUUGAAGAAUCCUCGUAAUCAGAACAGGGAAUGGUAGUAGAUGCCGUCGAGUGAACUGAAUUACUGAAUCAUCCUUUGCCAAAUCAGAAAUGGAAUGUUGAUGUUUCAACGCCACGAGCCUCUGCUCGGGAUGACUAAAGUAGAUAUGCAACACUAAUCUACCCAGCGGAUAUCUCUUUGUGCCGAUAGUUGGUUGAACAUUGUAGCUCAUAAACCAAGAUAGCAAGUGAUACUCGGGUAAUAAGUCCUUGGAUUCAAUGUAAACCAUGAGUCAUGUAAACACACGGCGCUUUGCAUAUAGCUCCAAGAACAAUAUCCAGUGUGAGUUGCUGCUUGAAAUCCUCCUAAAGUAUAGAGAAGACCUGAAGUGUCCAACAUGCAUCCCAAGAUCUCUCCAAUAUCAUAGGGAGUAAUGGAAAUCUCCUCUGACGCACAACAGUCUCGAAGAUAAAAGUGCCUGUUUCAUUAUCUUCAGCAAGCACAUUUCCAUUCAUAUAGAACUCGCCUAAAUAAGUUCUACACAGAAAGAGCCUUGUGCAGGACACCGUCAACAGGCUCAAUAGGCGCGCGCGCUGUAAUAAUCGUCCAAAAUCCGGAACCUCCGAAUCAGAUCAUGGAAGUUCACAAAGCGUUCAGCUAUUGUAACACUCCACAUCCCUCGUAAAAUCGUGCCGAGUUCCGUCAAAACGAAUGGAACACGGAAUUGAAGCUGAGUUAAAGUGGACCCCUAAUGCAUUGGAGUUCAUAAACGGAGCAAAAGUGACAACCGGAUGAGCAAAUUUGAAUGAAUUUCUUUUUUUAUUUAAUUCUUUAUUUUUUUUUUUUUUUAUUAUUUUUUUUUUUAUUUUAUUUUUUUUUUUUCCUUUUUGAAUUAUUUAUUUUUUUAUUUUUUUUUUUUUUUUUAUGAUUUUUUUUUUUUUUUUAUAUUUUUUUUUUAGUUUUUUUUUCAAUAAUUUUUUUUUUUAUAUAAAUUUUAUUUUAUUUUUUUUUUGACAUUUUUUUAUUUUUUUUUUUUUGUUUUUUUUUUUUUUUUUUUUUUUUUUUUUUUUAAGUUUUUUUUUUUUUUUUUUUUUUUUUGAUUGAUUUUUUUGUUUUCUUUUUUUGAUUUUUUUGUUUGUUUUUUUUUUUUUUUUUUAUUUUUUUUUUUUUUUUAUAUUUGGAUUUUUUUCUUUUUCUUUUUUUUUUUUUUUUUUUAUUUAUUUUUUUUUNNNNNNNNNNNNNNNNNNNNNNNNNNNNNNNNNNNNNNNNNNNNNNNNNNNNNNNNNNNNNNNNNNNNNNNNNNNNNNNNNNNNNNNNNNNNNNNNNNNNGCAGAGUAUAACGAAUAAAUAAGGGUGCAAGGCUCAAUAUACUAUGCGAUAGUAACAACAGAAGAGCAAGGGUAAGAAACCAUCACAAAGUGUGCACCACUGUACCGACGUCGGAUCGAAGUACCCACCUGUCACAAUAGCGUCAAAAACCUGGGUGCGCUCAAUCAGUAACCGGACCUAUGAAGAUCCACUAGGUUAGUAACAAACCCACAACUCUCGAAUACACAACUCACAAACCCCCACAAAAGAUCCCCGUAAUCGGUUUCCCAAAACCGAUCACCGUAACUCACCGAAAGUCCCGAAAACUACACCGGGACGCCAUCGGGACCCACUAAGUGUCCCGAAAUUCACCGACUCGUGCCACGAGUCACCUGCUGCACCAGAACACUCCGAUUUGGAUGUUUGGAAACAAACACAAGAUAACAACACUACACAAUUAUCACCGGAUAAUUGUACGAAUUCGGGUUCCCGGAAGUGUCUAUUUCGACACCGGAACCCACCGUCGCUCACCCAUCAUCACCGAACCUGCAAAAUGAUGAUGGUGACUAGCCAACAAGGCUCAGCACCACACACAAGACAACCAAACCACGUCAGAAGAAAUCCGAACCAAAACCGCGUUCUUUCGGCGAAUUUCGCCGAAAAACGCACCGAAAUCGACUCUUCGAUUUUCGUAAAAGCUAACGGAUCAUGGACAAUCAGUCCAGAGGUCAAACACACUCAUACACACUGUCCACAGUGGCCCUAGGGUGCACAAUUGCACAAAAGUCCCUCUAAUUACAUAAAAUCCUAUCAUUUUAUGUAAUUUGAGCGAUCAAGUGGCUCGUUCAUGCAAACCGAGGACUUCCAAAGUCCGCAGAGACAUGUACUGACAGGUCUCAAUGUGCCGGAGGCCGUGCUCAUGAUCCAGAGCACAACGGCUCGCUGUGGGAAGCGCGGGGGCAACCCGAAGGUUCAGUGAACAGCGUGCAGCCACGAAAAAAUGCACCGAACAGGGCUAACCGGACACUGCUGAUCCAAGGUAAGGUGAGCACUGUGAUCAGCACUAACCAGCGAUCACCGUGCUCACCUCCGGAGGCAUCGGAAUAGCCUCGGAUCGCCGAAAACGCACGCACAAACCCAGAACAACAGCCAAAAAGGCUCCACAAGGUCGACACCGCAAAAACAGCGGAACGGGGCCUUCCCGACAGAAACCAAGGUGAGCACGAUGACCAGCAACUUGCCAGGAUCAUCGUGCUCCCUUCCGUAGAGAUCGGGGAGGCUCGGGAAGCUUGGAACAGUAAACAUCCCAUAAACAGCCCUAUUUCGGGCUUGGCCAGAGCAAGCUUGCUCCGGCAGACUUCCGGCGGCACGGCGAGGUGCGCCCGGGCCAGGGAUGGGUGCGGGGGAGGUGAGGAGUGAGGUGCUCACCUCAGACAGCGGCGGAGAGCCGCGGCAGCGACGGCAGAGCAAGGCAAGCCCACACAGGCUCAGCUCGGGUUCCGCGGGCAAUGGCGGGCACGGCGGCGGCCGCGAAGCUCCAGGACGGCGGCGGAGGGUUGUCUGAGGCCGGAGGGAUGCCUUGGGUGUGGUCCCACGCGGCGGCGACGCAGGGAGGGCGUCGCGAGCUCGCCUCGGCCCGAGCGGGUCUGGGGCGGCUGCGGCUGGCCGAGGCGGCGACGGCGGCUCGCUGGGGCGGCGGCGACCGGCGGGAAGGGUCGCUGAGGGUACGGGGACGGCGACGGGGAAGGCAAUGUAGCCUCGGCCUGGGCUCCAACCCGAGAGAAAGAGAGAUAGAGGGAGAGGGAUGGAGGAGAAAGCUACAGGGAGAAGGAACCUCCUUCUCCAGCGACCGGCAGCGUGCGCUGGCGACUGGGGCGCACGCCGUGCACUCAGGGAAGGGAGUAGAGGCGGCUAGGUCAGCUAGGGUGAUGCGGCUAGGGCUAGGGUUAGGGUUCCAAGGUGAAAAGCUUAAAUACAAAGCUCCAAUUUGCAGAAAAGCCCCUCAAAACUCAACAUUCAUUCCGAGCCCUCACAGCACGAGUUAAAAUGCACGGAUACCCCUCCAUCAUGCAAAUCUCACGAUGAAACGUACAUAAAAUAUCGCAACUUUUUGCGAACAAUACCGUUUGCCAUUACCGACCUCUCCUCGAUCCAUCGCGCCAAUCUCCGCAGAUCGGUCCGUAGAUUUGGAACGGAUUCACCAGUGCACACAGCCGACGGAGACAACAAAGAUGCGACUUUCUGUUUCACCUCGGAUCGACCACGGAGUUCAUGACAAAAUCAACCUUUCUUUUUCAAUAGAAGAAACAAACGAAAUACAAUAUAAAACAUGUAUUCUUUGGAUUUUCUUGAAUCGUGUGUCAAACUCAAAAUCCGUCAGCGCCAUAGUUCCAGAACACUGAUAUCCGGUCAAACGGGCUAUUGGACCGCCUUCAUGAACGGUAGCGUCCGAUACGAGCCUGAAGCCAACAAUCACACAGUGGCUUCUCCGGAAAUAUCGAGUUUACUAUGUCAUUAUAGUGAAGACUGGAAAUCAGCAGUAGAAUUUUCCGUUUUAACUCGUUUUCUUUCGAAACUUGACGGGUGCUUUUAUAAUUAAAUUACCACCACAAACUCGUACGUCAAUGAGAGUUUAGCUACUACUGCAAAAUUAUCAGUCCUUUUACACUUUGUAGUUGGCAAACUUCUUGAUCUCUGUGUUAUGCUUGAAAUUUUUGACUUAGUGGGGAUAAUUUGGAAUACUAUGUAAUGUUUCGGCUAACAGUUAGUUUGUAUUGGUGAGAUCUUUCUCCCAAAUACGACAAAUGAGAAUAAACACAAUAUAGUUAAAGAAAAUGGUAACAGAGAAGACAUUGUGAGGUAUUAAUUAGAGGAUUCAUUAUAAGUUGAUAAUAGAUAUCAUACCUCAAUAAUAACAGAUCAAAAGGAUCUUGUGCAAGACCUUGAGAUGAAACUUUAUAUUCUUGACAAUAUAAGCACAUGUGGCAAUACUAAAAAGAUAAAGAACUAUUAGUCAAAGUACAUGCUACCUAAGAGCAUUGCUAUAUGUCUCUUAUUUAAUUGAUUUACUAGAGAAUGUUACAACCAUAAACAAUGGAAUUGAAUCGAACUAGUUAGUCUAUAAUGUAAUAGAUGAUGUAAUAGAGGAUGCAUGUAGCAAAAUGGCUCUAUAAUUGCAGCAAAACUUGAAGGUUUGGACUUUAUCAUAUUUCUUUCUUUUUCUUAGUUUGAAUAGCCGAGUUCUACUCUACAUUUCCGCAAACUUCAAGACUAAUUACUAUUUCACUUAUGAUUAAUUAGAAGACUAGAUCAAUUGCAAUUUGAUUGAUUAGUUUAAAUCCCAAGUUUCUGCUUUGAUGCCACUAGUUUGCAUUAUUUUUUGUGACAAUGUAAAGUAAGAAAUUUUUUACUUGUGAUCAGUAGAAACUUAAAACUCAUAUUUUUUACAGUUUUUUUUAUACUUUUUCCUACUAAAUUGUCUGACAACAUUCUUUAAUUGAGUGUAGUUCAAUCUCUUUGUGCAUCAUAUUGCUAACAUUAACCUCAUGGAUAAGAGUUGGAUGAAUAAACCGAGGUCUGUCUCUUAUUAAUUUUUAUUCUAUAAUUUUGAAAUUAUUUUAAUAUCUUAUUUUAUAAAUUAAUUUUUAUUUAAAAAUUUAUAGGGCAAGUGAAAAGUAUCUUCGUGGUGUUUCGGACUUUCUAGAUUUUGCGUUUUUCAAAGCAAGCCAAGAGGGGCUAAUUCUUUGCCCUUGUAAAAAUUGUAGCAAUCGCUUUUGGAACAGUAGAGAAAUUGUUCUUGAGCAUUUGAUUUGUGAUGGAUUUGUCCAUGAUUACACAUGUUGGGUUUAUCAUGGGGAAGACAUUACAUCAUCUUUUCUCGGAUCAGAUUAUGGUAAUUCUAGUGCAUGUGAUAAUAUGCGUGAGAUGCUAAAUGAUGCGUUUGGAUGUUUUGAUGAAAACAAAGAGGAAAUGCCAGCAGAAGAACAUAAUUACAAUGAAAAUCCAAAUGAAGAAGCGAAGAUAUUUUAUAAAUUAGUCAAAGAUUCUGAGCAAGAGUUAUACCCUGGUUGUAAGAAGUUCUCAAAGCUCUCUUUCAUUGUUCGAUUAUUUCACUUGAAAUGCCUCAAUGGUUGGACAAACAAUUCAUUUACUAUGUUGCUCACCUUACUAAAAGAGGCAUUUCCUAAGGGUGAAACACUACCAAAUUCAUAUUAUGAAGCAAAAAAAAUUAUCAACGAUUUAGGUCUGGGUUAUAAAAAAAUUGACGCUUGUCCAAAUGAUUGUCAAUUGUACUAUAAGGAGACCAAAGAUUCAAUAUCAUGUGCCAUUUGUGGUGCUUCAAGGUGGAAGUCAACUGAGAAGAAUGUGGAAUAUGAUACAUCGACAUCUACUAAAAAAGCUAAAAAUAUUUCAGCCAAGAUUCUAAGAUAUUUUCCUUUAAAACCAAGACUUCAGAGGAUGUUUAUGUCAUCAAAAACAGCUUCCCUAAUGAGAUGGCAUCAAGAAGGUCGAACAAGAGAUGGAGUGAUGAGGCAUCCGGCAGACUCCCCUGCUUGGAAAACAUUUGACUUUGAACAUCCCGAAUUUUCGUCAGAUCCUCGCAAUGUAAGGCUUAGGUUAGCAACCUGAAAAAGGCUCAACAGGGUCGACACCGCCGAAACAGCAGAACGGAGUCUCCCCGACAAAAUCUAAGGUGAGCACGAUGAUCAGAAAGUUGCCACGAUCACCGUGCUCCCUUCCGCAGAGGUCGGGGAGCCUCGGGUAGCUCGGAACCGCAAACCUACCUAACUAAGCCCUAUUUCGGGCUUGGCCGGAGCAAGCUUGCCCCGGCCGGCUUCCGGCAACGCCGCGAGGUGCGCGAGGGUCAGCGAUGGGUGCGGGGGAGGUGAGGAGUGUGGUGCUCACCUCAGUUGGCGGCGAGGAGCGGCGGCGGCGACGGCGGAGCAAACCGAGCCCGCACAAGAUCCUGUUCGGGCUCCAAGUGCAGCUGCGGCCACGGCAGCGGCCGGGGCGCUCAAGGACAGCGGCAGAGGGUUGCAGGAGGCCGGAGGGAAGCCGAGGAAGUGGCUCUGGGCAGCAGCGAUACGAGGAUGGAGCCGCAAGCUCGGCUCGGAUCGAGCUUGCCAGAAAACCCGCAGGGCGGCUCUAGCGCGGCGGCGGCCCUCGGGACGGCUCAGGGCGGCGGUGACCGACCACCUGAGGUCGGAGGGGGUGCCACAGGGUGGCCAAAGGUGGUGGCGGCGCGGGGAAGAGGUCGCAGACCUGCCUCGGCCUGGGCUCGGUCUGGAAGGCAGCAGCCGGUUGGUGCGGCUGCGGCGGCGCUCCGGGCGGCUCAGGGCGACAGUGGCCGACUGCCCGAGGUUGAGGAGGUGCCUCAGGGUUGGCCCGGGGUGGCGGCGACGCAAGGGGAAGGCCGCACGGUCAGCUUUGCCUGGGCUCGGCCAAGCUGGGCGCAGGAUGCAGCAGCGGCAGUAGUGAAGCCCAGAGGCGACGGCGGUAGGCGGGGAGGCUUGCCAGGGCACAGAGGCGACACCGGAAGGGUGUAGGGAGACGACUGCAGCCUCAGAUCUGUCUGCAACCCGAGAGGAAGAAAGAUGGCGGGAGAGGGAUGGAGAGGGAAGAGAAAAAGGUGGCUGAGGAGGCUGCGGUUGCUGCUGGCCGGCCGGGGCUCGGUCGACAGCGACCGGGAGGAGUGCGGCUAGGGCAGAGAAGAUAGAAGAAGUGGCUGGGGGCGUGGCUAAGGUCUAGGGUUAGGUGGAAGAAACCCUAAAAACUCUAUAUAUACCAAGGUGUCGAUUGCGAGUUAGCCCACGAAACCUCAGUAUUUCAAACUGAAUCCCUCACAGCGCGUGAACAACGCGAGAAUACCCCUCCACGUGCGAUCUCGCGUAAAACGGCACAUAAAAUGUCGCGACUUUUGCGAAAUUACCGUUUUGCCAACACCGACCUUUCCUCAAUCAACGCGCGAUCUCCGCAGAUCCGUCAGUCCGAUUUGCGAACGGAUUGUACCAGUGCGAUCAGCACGACGGAGACCACAAAGCUACGAUUUCGUUUCUCCUUGAUCGGUCUCGGAUUCGCAACGAACUCAGUCCAUCAUUCCAACGAAAGAAACUACGCACAAAUACAUAUAAAACAUGUAUUUUCGAAUUUUCUAGAAAUCCAUUCCUCAAACUCAAAAUCCGUCAGCGCCAUCGGUUCUAGAAUAACCAAACCGUUCGAAACGAGCUAUUGGACUGCUAUGAACGGAGUCCGAUACGCGCCAGAAGCCAACUUCACGCCGUGGCUUCUCUAGAAAAUCGAGUUACUAUUCACUUUAAAUGAAACUUGGAAAUCACGUAGAAUCUCCGAUUUAACUCGGUUUCUCCCGAAACUCGACGAGUGCUUUUGUAAUUAAAUUACACACAAAAACAUCGUCAACUGAGAGUUUAGCUACACUACCAAAAUCUCGGUCCUUACAAAUUAUCUGAUGAACCUUUCGUAUUAGCAUUUCAAGUGAGCCAAGUAUUUUAUGUACAAGAUACUAGUAACAAGGAUUGGAAGGUAGUUGUUCAAAUAAGACCAAGAGACAUGUUUGAUAUGCAGCAAGAAAUUCUUGAAGAUGAUAUAGAGGUUCAUAUGGAUUAUGGUACGUGUGAAAACACCAUGAAUAAUAUUGAAGGAAAGCUUAGUUGGAAUAGAAAUGAUGUGCCGGGACUUACAAUUGACAGCUAUGUAAUAAACACUCAUGAUUUGGAAGCAAACGCAUACGAUAAUGUGGAUACGGAAGAUGACUACGACUUAGACGAUUCGAACCUACUUUAGGUACAUAUUAUUUGCUCUACUUAUUAGUAUAUUACCGGUAUAUUGUUUAUUCCGGUUAACGGAUGGUAACAGUGAUAGUAGUAAACUAAGCCUCGGUAACCUUACCAAACCUGAAACAUUCAGUAAGUUUGCCCUUCCUGAAACGUGCCCUAAUCCUAUCACCGUUCUCCAUUUCAAACCUAAAUAGCCUCAAAGAAGAUCUCCCUUACUAGGUUGGACAGAAACUACUUUAUUUAAAUCAACAAGACCAUCACCACAACGAUAACACAGCCGUACAGGAACGAACUAAACUAAACGUGAGAGUGACAACAUUUCAUGGCCAACGAAAAGAUCCACGUUUAAACUUUCAUCAACCCGUUCCAUCGGUACUUCACGUACGAGUUCACAACGACUCCAAACUAGACCUGCUCUCACUGUAAGUUUUACUGGAACUAGAUUAUCGUAAAGUAGUAUGAGUGAAACUAGUUUCAUACCGACAAAACUUGAGAAAGGAAAAAGAAAACACGAGAAGUACUAAUUAUGGACAUAAGUCACUUCAACUUUAAUUCAAUGAGAUUUCAUGUUAUUACUGAUCUACGAAGUGUUUAUAUAAUCAGUAUUUUUACGAACUUGUGAUAUGUUUCUAAAGUAUAUAUUGAUACUGAUACAUAAAUAACAUAGUCUGCGACAAGGCGAUAUUAAAUUUGUUUUACUUUGUUCGGUCCGUUUACUGUUGAUAAACGUUGUGAUUUUUGUGUAAGAUUAAUUGAUGAUANNNNNNNNNNNNNNNNNNNNNNNNNNNNNNNNNNNNNNNNNNNNNNNNNNNNNNNNNNNNNNNNNNNNNNNNNNNNNNNNNNNNNNNNNNNNNNNNNNNNNNNNNNNNNNNNNNNNNNNNNNNNNNNNNNNNNNNNNNNNNNNNNNNNNNNNNNNNNNNNNNNNNNNNNNNNNNNNNNNNNNNNNNNNNNNNNNNNNNNNNNNNNNNNNNNNNNNNNNNNNNNNNNNNNNNNNNNNNNNNNNNNNNNNNNNNNNNNNNNNNNNNNNNNNNNNNNNNNNNNNNNNNNNNNNNNNNNNNNNNNNNNNNNNNNNNNNNNNNNNNNNNNNNNNNNNNNNNNNNNNNNNNNNNNNNNNNNNNNNNNNNNNNNNNNNNNNNNNNNNNNNNNNNNNNNNNNNNNNNNNNNNNNNNNNNNNNNNNNNNNNNNNNNNNNNNNNNNNNNNNNNNNNNNNNNNNNNNNNNNNNNNNNNNNNNNNNNNNNNNNNNNNNNNNNNNNNNNNNNNNNNNNNNNNNNNNNNNNNNNNNNNNNNNNNNNNNNNNNNNNNNNNNNNNNNNNNNNNNNNNNNNNNNNNNNNNNNNNNNNNNNNNNNNNNNNNNNNNNNNNNNNNNNNNNNNNNNNNNNNNNNNNNNNNNNNNNNNNNNNNNNNNNNNNNNNNNNNNNNNNNNNNNNNNNNNNNNNNNNNNNNNNNNNNNNNNNNNNNNNNNNNNNNNNNNNNNNNNNNNNNNNNNNNNNNNNNNNNNNNNNNNNNNNNNNNNNNNNNNNNNNNNNNNNNNNNNNNNNNNNNNNNNNNNNNNNNNNNNNNNNNNNNNNNNNNNNNNNNNNNNNNNNNNNNNNNNNNNNNNNNNNNNNNNNNNNNNNNNNNNNNNNNNNNNNNNNNNNNNNNNNNNNNNNNNNNNNNNNNNNNNNNNNNNNNNNNNNNNNNNNNNNNNNNNNNNNNNNNNNNNNNNNNNNNNNNNNNNNNNNNNNNNNNNNNNNNNNNNNNNNNNNNNNNNNNNNNNNNNNNNNNNNNNNNNNNNNNNNNNNNNNNNNNNNNNNNNNNNNNNNNNNNNNNNNNNNNNNNNNNNNNNNNNNNNNNNNNNNNNNNNNNNNNNNNNNNNNNNNNNNNNNNNNNNNNNNNNNNNNNNNNNNNNNNNNNNNNNNNNNNNNNNNNNNNNNNNNNNNNNNNNNNNNNNNNNNNNNNNNNNNNNNNNNNNNNNNNNNNNNNNNNNNNNNNNNNNNNNNNNNNNNNNNNNNNNNNNNNNNNNNNNNNNNNNNNNNNNNNNNNNNNNNNNNNNNNNNNNNNNNNNNNNNNNNNNNNNNNNNNNNNNNNNNNNNNNNNNNNNNNNNNNNNNNNNNNNNNNNNNNNNNNNNNNNNNNNNNNNNNNNNNNNNNNNNNNNNNNNNNNNNNNNNNNNNNNNNNNNNNNNNNNNNNNNNNNNNNNNNNNNNNNNNNNNNNNNNNNNNNNNNNNNNNNNNNNNNNNNNNNNNNNNNNNNNNNNNNNNNNNNNNNNNNNNNNNNNNNNNNNNNNNNNNNNNNNNNNNNNNNNNNNNNNNNNNNNNNNNNNNNNNNNNNNNNNNNNNNNNNNNNNNNNNNNNNNNNNNNNNNNNNNNNNNNNNNNNNNNNNNNNNNNNNNNNNNNNNNNNNNNNNNNNNNNNNNNNNNNNNNNNNNNNNNNNNNNNNNNNNNNNNNNNNNNNNNNNNNNNNNNNNNNNNNNNNNNNNNNNNNNNNNNNNNNNNNNNNNNNNNNNNNNNNNNNNNNNNNNNNNNNNNNNNNNNNNNNNNNNNNNNNNNNNNNNNNNNNNNNNNNNNNNNNNNNNNNNNNNNNNNNNNNNNNNNNNNNNNNNNNNNNNNNNNNNNNNNNNNNNNNNNNNAAAUACUAAUAUCAACAAAUUACAAUAGGGCUUUUCCAUUUGAUAUUAAUUGUAAAACCAACAAUCUGUAAUAUCCGAAAAAAAAAUAAGAGUCAUAUUACUAAAUUGCAAUAAGAUGAUACGAUCAUUUUUGAAACAAAACUAUAAGCAAUGAUCUAGAGCAGUGAUAAAAUGCAACAAAAUAAAUUUUUAUAUUCUAAUAGAAAUCAAUACAAUAGAAAAUUUAUUUGAACCCCAAAUGGUAGAAAGCUAAGAAAAAGAAAAGUAAAAAGCUCCAGCUAAACAUUCUUGAAAUGCGAACAUCAAAUCCUGCUUGUUGCUUAAAUCUGUAAUAAAAAAAAAUUGAAACAUAGAAGUUGCAUAAGCUCAUUUCAACAGAAAAUCUAUCAUAAGUAACAAAUAGUAAAAAAUAAAAGUAUACAUAACAGCCAUAAGAACUAAAUCUUUUUAGUUCCAAUUAUUACUUCUUAUGGCUUGAUCAGCUCAGCUUGAUCAAACAUAAACACAAUGAUUAUAACUUGAUCAGCUUAGCUUUAGAAGCCUUUUUAUUAAUACAAGAGAAACUGACAAAAUCAUUUACCUUCAGAUGAUCCAUUGCUGCAAGGUUGAAACCAACCGUGUCUUUACAUUCCUGCAGAAGACAAACUUCCAUUAUAACUUGAACAUUAAAGAGGCGAAAAAAAAGAAGGAAAUACAACUCCGGGAAUUUUGCUUACAUACACAUUACCAUACAUGUAUUUGCAUGCAUAACCUUAAAAUUAUGAUUUCAGCCUACACUCCUAGAGUAGCCCGGAUUCACAAAGAUACUCUCAAACGUUGGGUUGCACUGACACCCAUAGGAACGGCGGACAUUUUCGUAUAUCCUCUUAUCGAGAGCUAUAGCAUAAGCUUUCAAGUAGAAGAAGGGAUGUUUCCAAAGGUUUGCAUCAUCUAAAGCAGAAAACAAGCUAGUCUGGGAAAGCUCUUCUGGCACCAUAGGAGGGGAACCAGGUGUAUUUAUACACGUGCGAGUUUUCCUGCAAUACAAGCAGCAGCUGCUAUUACAAAUUUUAUAACUUCUCCUGAAUCUGCUGAAAAGUUUUGAUACUGGUAAAUAAGCAAGGACUUCGUACACUUAACAAUGGUAGCACGUUGAAAGAACUACAAAGGAAUCAACUAAUUUAGAGUGUGUACCUUCAUUAAGCAGCAACUGGACAAGAGAAGGUGUCACGCCCCGAGGUCCCUUUUAGAUUGAAACACGGCGGAAAAGCGUCUAAAUUUUUUUGAAAACCUGACCCCAGAGUAUGCUAGAUCCGCCACAAAUACAGGGAUUCCACUGUUCACAUGGACAGAGUCUCCCCUGUAUUUGCACGGCGUCGCACAAGUACAAGAUGUAAAGUAGGAUACAACUACAACUAAAUGAACAUACAAACAUCCAACAGUUUUAUAUUCAUACACCAUUCACCACAGGUUCAUUCACAUAGUUUUAAUCAUGAAUCAACAUCUAUCAGUUAAAAUGUUUCCUACCCGGAAACUGGUUUUGAAAUACUAAGUUACAAAACCACGAGAAAGCUGUUUGAAAUCCGUUUUUCAUAAGAAAACUCUUUUCUUUUAAAACACGCUACCACGAGGGGUAGAAAACCUUUCCAUUUCACAAAAUCCACAAAUCUAUUUAUUACAUUCAUGAAAACCCAUAUUUUCAAAUGUAAUAAAAAUACUGAACCAUAUAAACUAUCUAAGCUAUAUCAACAGAAUAGUAAGGGUAGGAACUAAACCGAAUAACCUGGGUCGGAAGCUCUAUCGACCGCUACGUACAUAUCUCACGUCUCGUCUCAACCCUCACCGCCUGCGAUACCUGAAAAAUAGUGAGGGAGGUGAGAACAUGUAAACAUGUCUCCCCUCCCAGUGGGUACCGCAAGCCGAAGAAGACGAGGAGUACUCACCAGAUCAGGAAGAGCUAAACAACAGUACGGGUCAGUGGAAAUAUAGUAGCAAUAAUAAUGAACGAAAGAGACAUAUAUAAAUGAAAGUAUAACUACCGCUACUGUAAUGAACAACUGAAUGUAUACAUGCAACAAAACUAUAGUAGCAAGACAAUGUAACAAAAGAAAGAACUGAAGGUAUACAAACAACAACCGCUACUAUAGCUAUAUGCGUCAACCGGUCAAGAAGUCCAAAUAUACCCAAUCUGAAAUCUACUGCUCUGUUGGUCCGCGCCGGAACCUCAAGCCUGUGCCCUGGAGGUUCACACCGGAGACCUCCGUUCUACCAUGCAUCUAACCCCUCUAGGGCUCACGGGUCGACACCUGCAACCACUUUUCCGGAAAAGAACACCCUCUUGCGGUGAAUCAAACCGCUGGUGUUCGUGAAAUGCGAACGAGUCUCGGGCGGUCAAUGCUGAUAUACUCAAAGGCCAAACGUCGGCAACCAGCCGACAAUCCUGCCCACAGGGCUCAUCGACCGUAUAGGUCAUCAACUGUAAGGAAGCACAAGAACUGACCACUCAGAUCAACUAGGAUGGGACAACAUCAACAUCCUCUCAAACAUAUGCAAAUACUGCUCAAUGAACCACAAGGACUGACCACUCAGAUCAACUAGGAUAUAUGCACAACGAAUCGACGAAAAGGUCAUCAGGGUGUAUCAAUAGAAUCCAGAACUACCGUCGACCACUAGCCAACAAUCCAACCCCUCUAGGGUACAUCGACCACAACGGUCAUCGAACGACAGAAGUUAAGGAACCGACCGAAUGUGUCACAAAUACGAAGUACGAAAACCAACCAACCAGGUCACUGAUACGAAGAACAAGAAUCGACCAACCAAGUCACUGAUAUGAAGUACAAGAAUCGACCAACCAGGUCAACAGAUACGCACAUAGACAGAACCACUCUACUCCUACUCAGGAUACUAAGCAUGCACACAACGAGUAGAGUAUAAUGGAAUAACAUGGGUGCAAGGCUCAAUGUAUACUAUGUAAUAAUAACAACAGAAGUAUAAGGGUAAGAAACCAUCACCGAGCGUGCACCACUGUACCGACGUCGGAUCGAAGUACCCACCUAUAAGGAUGUCGCGUCUGUCUCCUGACUGCAAAAGAAUGUCAACAGGACCUAUAAAGGGUCCACCGGGUUAGUAUCUAACCCACAACUAAUAACCACAGUAUCCACAACCCCACAACAAUUUCACGAAGAUCGGUUUCCCAAUACCGAUUACCGUAACUCGCCGGAAGUCCCGAAAACCACACCGGAACGCCGUCGGGACCCACUAAGUGUCCCGAAACUCACCGACUCGUGCCACGAGUCACCUGCUGCACCAGAACACUCCGAUUUGGAUGUUUUGGCAGCAAACACAAGAUAACAACACUACACAAUUAUCACCGGAUAAUUGUACGAAUCCGGGUUCCCGGAAGUGUCUAUUUCGACACCGGAACCCACCGUCGCUCACCCAUCAUCACCGAACCCACAAAAUGAUGAUGGUGACCAGCCAACAAGGCUCAGCGACCACACACAAGACAACCAAACCACGUCGGAAGAAAUCCGAACCGAAACCGCGUUCUUUCGGCGAAUUUCGCCGAAAAACGCACCGAAAUCGACUCUUCGAUUUCCGCAAAAGCUAACGGAUCAUGGACAAUCAGUCCAGAGGUCAAACACACUCAUACACACUGUCCACAGUGGCCCUAGGGUGCACAAUUGCACAAAAGUCCCUCUAAUUACAUAAAAUCCUAUCAUUUUAUGUAAUUUGAGCGAUCAAGUAGCUCGUUCACGCAAACCGAGGACUUCUAAAGUCCGCAGAGACACGUACUGACAGAUCUCGACGUACCGGAGGCCGUGCUCAUGAUCCGGAGAACAACAGCUCUCUGUGGGAAGCGCGGGAGCAACCCGAAGGUUCAGCGAACAGCGCGCAGCCACGGAAAAACGCACCGAACAGGGCUAACCAGACACUGCUGAUCCAAGGUAAGGUGAGCACUGUGAUCAACACUGACCAGCGAUCACCAUGCUCACCUCCGGAGGCAUCGGAAUAGCCUCGGAUCGCCGAAAACGCACGCACAAACACAAAACAACAGCCAAAAAGGCUCCACAGGGUCAACGCCGCAAAAACAGCGGAACGGGGCCUUCCCAACAGAAACCAAGGUGAGCACUAUGACCAGAAACUUGCCAGGAUCAUCGUGCUCCCUUCUAUAGAGGUCGGGGAGGCUCGGGAAGCUCGGGACAGUAAACAACCCACAAACAACCCUAUUUCGGGCUUGGCCGGAGCAAGCUUGCUCCGGCCGGCUUCCGGCGGCACAGCGGCGCGCACGGUGGCUAGGAUUGGGUACCGGGGAGGGAAGGAACAAGGUGCUCACCUCAGGUGGCGACGAGGAGCGGCGGCGGCGACGGCGGAACCAACCCAGCCCGCACGAGGUUCGGGCUCUCCGAACGGGGGUGGGUGUGCCGGAGGCCGCGACGGAGGCCGCAAUGAUGGAAAAAGGGUGGCUGCGGCGCUGGGGUGGAGCUACCAGGUCUGCUCGGCCUGAGCAGACUUGGGGCGGCUGCAGGAUGGCCGUAGCGGCAGCGGCGGUGGUCGGCGGGGUGCUCGCCGGAGCACGGGGCAACACCGGCGGAGGGUCUAGAGGUGGCGGCAGUCUCGGGCUUCCUCACAACCCGAGACAAGAGAGAGAGAGAGAGAGAGAGAGAGAGAGAGAGAGAGAGAGAGAGAGAGAGAGAGAGAGAGAGAAAGAAGGUGGCUCCGGCGGCGGCUGGCCGGCCGGGGCUCAGUCGGCGGCGGCCGGGGGCGUGCGCAGCAGGUGCAGGGAAGAGGGAUGGAGGUAGCAGGGAGCGGCUAGGGCAGCAGGGUUAGGGUUUCCAAGGUGAAACCCUAGAACAAGCUUAAAUACCAAGUGCAAUUUGCAAAAAGGUCCACCAAAUCUCAGUAUUACUACUGAGUCCCUCACAGCGCGUGUUAAACGUGCGAACACCCCUCCACGUGCGAUCUCACGUGAAACGGUACAUAAAAUAUCGCGACUUUUGCGAAAUUACCGUUUUGCCAUUACCGACCUCUCCUCGAUCAACGCGCAAUCACCGCAGAUCCGUCCGUCAGAUUUGCGAACGGAUCGCACCAGUGCGAUCAGCACGACGGAGACAACAAAGCUACCAUUUUGGUUCCUCUCGAUCGGUCACGGAUUCGCGACGAGAACAGCUCCAACUCUCCAAUAGAGGAAACUACGCACAAAUACAUAUAAAACGUGUAUUUUUGGAUUUUCUCGAAAUUCGUGCGUCAAACUCAAAAUCCGUCAGCGCCAAUAGUUCCAGAAUUGCUGAACCGGUCGAAACGAGCUAUUGGACUGCUAUGAACGGAGUCCGAUACGAGCCUGAAGCCAACUUCACAACGUGGCUUCACUGGAAAAACCAAGUUACUAUUCACUUAAGUGAAAAAUAAAGAUCGCGUAACUCCUCCGUUUUAACUCGUUUUCUCCUGUAACUUGACGAGUGCUUAUGUAAUUAAAUUACACACGUAAACAUCGUCAAUAGAGAGUUUAGUUGCACUGUCAAAAUCUCAGUCCUUACAGAAGGAACCCGGCAGAAGCGAAAAAGUAUCAGGAAAAUAACAAAGGCUGGUAAAAAAUGAUCUUCUUGAACACAAAUCACUAUGAAAUGUUGAAAAUCUUGAGAGAAAACAAUUUAUCAACUCCAAAAUAUUAUCUUCUAGGCUAUUAUACGAGCAUGAAGGCAAUAAUAGCCUACAGGACCUACACUACUAACAAAAUAAUCAAAUUUCUAUAAUUCUAUUGGACCCUAAGCAUCAGCCCCAAACCAAUCGGACUGAUUCAUAGGCCAAGAAAUUAAUCUAUUCUGCUCAUAACCAACCAAACUAAGUUGUAAAACAUCAUAAAACUUAAAAAACAUUAAAAUAUAACAUCAUAAAGCUUGAAAAACAUGAAACAUGAGAAAAGUUCUUAUGCCUGGUUGUCAACUAUUACAUAAGUAAAUGGUGAAAUUCCCUGCUCUGAUACCUGAAAAAAGAAUGCCCUAUAAGAAGAGCACAUAUACUUCCUUUAAGAACAAACCCCUAAUUAGCCUUUAAAUAAUUUAAAAGUUAGCACAGAGGUUUCUGUACUGUGAAGAGAAUAUAAAGCUCUCGUAGUUCAGGAGUUGUUUGCAGCUUAAAAGCUACGUUUUAAUUGUAUUUGGUGUAAGAUAGUUAACUCCUAUUUCAGUUCUUUUUCUAAAGUACAAGUACAGCCCGUGGGAUAGUCUUUAUUAUUAAAUGAAAGAAGCGAAUUCAAUGUAGCUUGGGCUUUCGGUGAAACCUGGAGAGAAGAAGAGUUGCCGGGAUAGAGCGUAAGUACAAGUCCAUUGUAAAAGAAAAAAAGAACUUAUUUGAGUCAUAGGAGCUAAUAAAGUCGUUUAUGAACGAUGAAUAAGGGGAAAGGACAGAGAACCAGUGUGCUGUUGCAUGAGAGUUUUUGAUGAGAUAAAAUAAUUCAUGGGUGAGUAUCGGGAAAUCAGUGCAUGAUGACGACUCGCAUAACAAAUAACAAUAAAAGGGCAAUGAUAAAUGAGAAGUGAAUAUUUGUUAGUGCUUUUUAAACACUUGGUCAAAUCAAAUUUAAUAUUUGUAUCUUCUUAUCUAGACCAAAUCAAUUUUUCGUCACUUUUAAUGUGUAUCGAUGAAUUAGGGAUUCUGUCUGCUGGCAGACUAAAUGCUCUGUUAUAUUAAACCUGGACAUUAAACUCUCUGAAAGUCAAAUCUAAUAAACGAAGUACUCUUAUAAGCAAAUAGUAGAAAGUUGCUAUUGGUUUGUAAGUAAACUUAUUUAAAAAAGAAUAUCACAGAAUGAUUUUUACUUGCAGAUUAGGUUCUUAAUAUUCGACUAAGAUUGAAUCAUAACUAUUGGCAUGAUAUAUACUGAUCUCUAAAUUUGUUGAGAUCGCAUCAAACAAUUUUCACUUGGAGAUUAGGUGCUUAACACUUGACUAAGGUCGAACCAUAACUAUUGGCAUAAUAUAUUUUGAUCUCUAAAUUUGUUGAGAUCGCAUCAAACAGUUUUCACUUGGAGAUUAGGCACUUAAUUAACACUAGACUAAGAUCGAACCAUAGCUAUUGGCAUGAUAUAUACUGAUCUAUAAAUUUAUGGAGAUCGCAUCAAACAAUUUUGAGUUGGAGAUUAAUACUGUCACGCCCCGAGCCCGCCUAUUUGGUCGGUUUCGGGCACGCCGACAGACCGCCGAACGGACAGGGUUUUUCCUGUACCGCGGACAGUCUCCCCUGUACAUUCAAGGCGUCGCAAUCAAUACAAUGUACAAAGUUCCAACCAGGAACACAUUUCAAUCAAGGAUUGCAUAAGGAAGUAUCAAAAACAUAAUCUACUUGCUAUUACAAGCAUUCACAUUCACUAGAUACAUUUUACAUCACAAUUACUUAUUACAUUAAACUUCCAAAUACAAUCUAGCUUUUAUUACAAAUUAUUAUAAUUUGAUUCUUUUCAUUUUCUUACAUCCCUAAGUAAAGGCCGACUCAGGGUACCGCUAUCUCUGGUCUCGGUGGUAGGGCGUUAACUAUGGAGAUACGCCCUCGCCUCGCGCCGCCGCGGCGCUCACGUGUGAACCUGUAAUACCCCAAAACCACGUGGAGUGAGAACCAACUCCAUGGUUCCCAGUGGGUACGACCACCCAAGAGAAAAGCUCGACCAAUAGGUCCAAGGGAGGCAACUGCAAGUUAGUUCAAUAAACAGAUAGAUAUAUAUCUUGAUUAUGCAACAAAUGAAACCAUGCAUUGCCUCACGAAUGCAAUAUGAAGAUCAUGCAAUGAUGCGACUAUACAAUCAACUAGUAAUUCAAUCGAUUACUACUUUCAUCCAAUUGACAUUUAAGGUUUUCUGUCAUUUACCAUUUUAAUCAUAAAGUUUUCAUCUAUCUUUACAAAGCUAACCGCCCGACUCGGUCUUGAGUCAAUCGUCUGCAGAGUACCGCACAAAGCCAGGCCCAAGGCGAAGGACGUCUCACUUGCACCUCGGCCUUAAAUCCCCUCAACUAGGACAUCACUAUAGCUCAUAAGUUUAUUACCCAAUCACUUGGCUAACCCAAAGGUUUCGCCCUCAACAAACUCACCAACACCAAAAUCUCAUUAACCGGGGAGAUACCCGCUACAACCCGGUGGGACCGGUCCUCUGGGAGAUAACCGCUACAACCCAGUGAUGUCGACUCCGGAGCACAUCGCCCGAGGGGGAGCUACCGCAACCUCGAGCAAGGACUAAAGGUGAGUAUGAAAAUGAUCAAAUCCAAAAUCUUGAGGAUGUCAGUUCAAUCCAUUCCUUAACUUUAGGAAGACUAUGCUCAAAUGACCUCAACUCUAGGGUUGAAAUGUCAUAAUAUUUCCAUCAUUCCUUUCUUUACAUUCUUUACUAUCACUUGUGUCAUAUACACUACUAUAUUCUUGGACUCAUGCCACACUUGUUUUCUAAGUGUUCAACAUGCCAUAAGUGUUUCCACUAUACUAAUCAUAUGCCACUCGAUCUAAUAUAUAUAGAUUGUCCACGUCACAUAUCAUAGUUCAUAUGUCAUUAUUUUUCAAUGUCGAGUUCUCUAAUUCACCUAGAGUUUAUCGACCCAAGUUCAACAUGCAUGUGUCAUUUAACAUAAUCCACAAUAUGUCAAUAUACAUUCAUCUAGUAUAUUCUACAAUAAAUCAACAUGCACUCAUUCAUCAUAUUCCACAAUAUGUCUACAUAUAUAGCCAACCAUCCAUAUGCCAUCCAACAUGUUCCAUAAUUUAUCAACAUGCAUAUUACCUCUAACAUAUAUAUUACUAUAAACAUUAUUUAUGCAUUCAUGUAACAAUUAACUCAUACAUUCAUUUAGCAUUAUGUAACUUGCAUCAUAUCAUUACGCAUUUCUACUUGGCAUUUACAUUAACAUGCAUCAUUUUCAUGCUUCAUUUACAUUCAUAUGCAUCAACAUGAAUUCUUAAUUUGCUUAGACAUAAAGGCGACCUAGUCGCUUCGGUAAGCACAACCCACCUUAACUCGCGUUCCGAUCGCUUGUAGUCACUUGCAAUCGGCCUCCGCGGCACCCGUGACCCGGUUUGGCCCGAACUCUGUGCGACCACCCGAACGGCCACCAAUCCGCGAUCCGUCUGUUCGGAGUUUAUUCCCGUUACCACGAUGCUCCAGAUCCAUUUUA
RNAcentral lists this long non-coding RNA (122835 nucleotides) under Ananas comosus (pineapple). Its description in RNAcentral is "long non-coding RNA (ACOM_LNC025978)". Lineage: Eukaryota; Viridiplantae; Streptophyta; Magnoliopsida; Poales; Bromeliaceae. The record is from RNAcentral.